AAAGCAAUGAAGGUCAUCCACGACAUCUUUGAGAAGAAGCGUUCGGGCAAUGAUGGAGCUACGAAUGACUAUGACUUUGCGGACCAUUUACUUGAGCAAAUAAAGAAAGAAGACACUUUUUUGAAUGAAGAAAUUGCGAGGGACCUGGUAUUUUUGUUUCUAUUUGCUGCCCAUGAAACGACUUCAACAGCUUUGACUGUGGCCUUGAGGUAUCUAGAUGGCCAUCCACGUGUUAUGGCAGAACUAAAGGUCCAUGACUUUCCGAAACAAUUUCUCCCGUUGUUAUCUGUAUUUACCCUUUAAUUCUCCAAUUCUUGUGCAAGUUCAAUACUUAAAUGAUUAAUAUUUUAUAUUUAUUGACGGUAUACAUUGUUAUGAUUAGAUGUUUACACUAACAAAAUAUGAAAUAUUACUUCAUAUUUAAAUAGUCAUUCAUUUUUGUAGAGAGAACAUGAAAAUAUUCUUAAAAUGCGAGAAACAGAAGAUUCUAAUAUUUCAUGGAAAGAGUACAAGUCUAUGACUUUCACACACAUGGUAAGUUCCAAUUAACCAGACAUUUCAUUGUAUCUAUCAUUUGAAUCAUAUAGUGAGCUAGACCAUUUACAUCUUAGGUUUUGUUGUCUACUGUAGGUUAUAAAUGAAACACUUAGGCUUGCAAAUAUUACUCCUGGGAUUUUGCGCAAAGUUGUCAAGGAAGUUGAAGUAAAAGGUAUGCUUCAAUAUGUCAUUUGGCAUCUUCUUGAAAAUCAUUUGUCACACUUUCUUUAUUUUGGACCAGUGAUACCUUUCUCCUGCAGGAAAAAAGGAAAAAAAGAAAAAGAAAGAAAAACUCUCUUUAGUAACUACUUGGGUUGGGCAUUUUUUCAUGGGAGUAAAAAUAUAGAAAAUAAAUGAUUUGUUUCCUUUGUUCUUCUUUUCCUCCAUUAUAACUUCCAGUUUUGACUAAUAAGUCCGAAUGAUUUGCAGGGUAUACAAUUCCUGCUGGCUGGACGGUAAUGGUUUGUCCAUCAUCUGUUCAUUUGGAUCCUAAUGUAUAUGAAAACCCCCAUGAAUAUAACCCAUGGCGAUGGGAGGUAAUUUGAUCAUCGACAGAUUUGAGUAAUAUAUGCACACAAGAAAGAUAAACUUACAAAACAAAAGUUAAACAAAAUCAAGUAAAAAUGAUUCAGGGUUUUCUGCUGUUUUUUCAAUCAAAAGGGCAAAGAAUUACACGCGGGAUCAAAAAAAUUCAUGGCAUUUGCUGGCGGUACGAGGCUUUGCGUUGGUGCUGACUAGGCAAAGGUGCAGAUGUCAAUUUUCUGCAUUCCUUGGUCACAAAAUACACGUAAGGAUUUCCAAAUCACAAUCCUCACCGUCUUCGCUUAAAUACAUAUAGAAGAAGCUAAUUCCUAUAUAGUAUAAAUUGAUGUCCACUUAACUUCUUCGGUUAUUGCAAGAAGAAAGUGAUAACUGAUCAAAAAGCUUGUCUAAUUUGAACUUUCAGCUGGAGAGUUACCAACGGAGCAGAGAGAAUUCGGACACCUACUGGUAUUCGUUUCUCCAAGGGAUUGAAUAUUGAGAUUUCAGAGAACAAAUAGAUUUUAAGCCGGACAUGCACGAAUAAAGCUUGUACUUUCAGAAGCGUAUUUAUGAUGCAGUAAUUUACUGUCAUAUAGUAAUUUUACCUUCCAGCUGAGUUGUAAUAUUGUAAGUAUCCUAAUAAACAACAUUUUAAGUGGUGUCUUUCUUGACAUUAUUGUAAUUGUUGAAGAUGUUAUAAUAGUUGCAGUUUGAGCUUCGACUAAUUGUUUUUCUUCACCAAAAUCAAUACAAUGAUCUUAUUUAUGAGGACAAAUCAAGCCAAGAAUAUGCAGUAAGUAUUGCUCCUUCCAUCUUAUAAAGUUUGCCGCACUUGAAGAAUUGCAAUUUUUAUUAAUAGUGGAUAGAAUUUGAAACUUCAUUUGUAGUUUCUAGCUCAUAAAGAAUUGUGGGGCCAUGAUAUUUGUUUAAUCCUAGGUUUUGUUGAAAAUCUUAGAUAUUUGAAAGUUUUACCAAAUCUUAGAUUGUUGUUGUGGUCUUAAUUACUUGAUAACUGCUACAUACUACAACAGUUGUUGUUUUACUUUCUUGAUAAUAGUAUGUGGACUCAUAAAAAAAAAUACAUGCAUUGAACUUUUACGGAGUGUCUGAGGAGUAGAUGACUAAAUGGAGAAAUUAAAUAGAAAUGUAUCAACUAAUUUAUUGACAAAGAAUGGUAAUCUUAUUCAUUGAAAAACCCAUUGUUUUCUCUUGUACAAUCGAAAGCUUAUAUAUAGAAUUAGUAGCAGACUAUAGGCUAAGUAGUAGACUCCUAGGCGGAUUUGGGGCAGGGACGAUCAUCAGUAUGACCAUCCCUGCACGGUUAAGGGCCAAGAUUUGCCCUCAAAAUUUUGUGCGGCUGAGAUUACACCAUGUAACUCGAUUUCCGCGCCAAGUGUGGGGCCCACCACUAUCUGUUCUGAAAAUACAUCCUGUGAAAAAAAAGUUACAUCGUGUUUAACCAAUGUUACGCGCAGUGCAAAAUGAGGACAACCGGCACAAACAGUUGCAGGUGCAACCGUUUGUGCCCCAUAUCCACUCCUAGGCUGACUACUAUUCUAACUAGUAGACUCCUAGGCUGACUACUAGUCUAAGUAGUAGACCACAAAGACUACAAAGACUAGUUCGGAUGGUAUACGCUAACAGCUCCCCUCAAGCUGGAGUGUGGAGGAACGAAACACCAAGCUUGCGCAACAAUCGUUGAAAAGAACUAAAACCAAGCGCUUUGGUGAACAAGUCAGCAGGUUGAUCCUCUGAAAGAAUGAAAUGGGUACAAAGCUCAUUGGACUGAAUCCGUUCACGAACAAAGUGACAAUCCAUUUCAAUAUAUUUGGUGCGCUCGUGGAAGACAGGAUUAGCAGCAAUAUGGAGUGCAGCUUGGUUGUCACAAAACAGAUGCAUCGGCUGCGAAUGAGGAAUGGUGAGAUCAAAUAAUAAAGCCCGUAACCAUAACAAUUCACUAGUGGUACCAGCCAUGGCACGAUAUUCGGCCUCAGUAGACGAGCGGCUCACAGUAGGUUGUUUCUUAGUACGCCAGGAUAUAGGCGUGUGCCCAAGAGAAAUAUAAUAACCUGUGAUAGAGCGUCGCGUCGUAGGACAUGCACCCCAAUCAGCAUCACAAAAACCCGUGAGUUGCAAAUUGUUCUGAGAAGGAAAAAAUAAUCCCUGGCCUAGAGAAUUCUUAAUAUAUCGAAAAACCUUCAUUGCUGCAUCAUGACGAUCUAAUGUAGGGGAAUGCAUGUACUGACUCAAAAUAUUAACAGCAUACAGAAUAUCUGGACGUGUGAUAGUGAGGUACAAAAGUCGACCCACAAGACGACGAUAAAACGAGGGAUCAGCCAAGGGUGUACUGGUUGAACGCCCCAAUUGAUGUUGUUGAGACAUUGGAAUCAAACUGGGUUUUGCACCACUAAGACCAAUAUCCGUUAAAAUAUCUAGAGCAUAUUUCCGCUGACUCAAAAAAAUUCCUUCAAGAUUCCUAGCAACUUCAAGGCCGAGAAAGAAUUUAAGGGGGCCAAGAUCCUUCAGAUGGAACUGUCCAUGCAAGAAUUGUUUAAAUUUUUGGCAUUGAAAGGAAUCAUUUCCUGUAAUUAUCAUAUCAUCGACAUACACCAAAACUGCAAGAAAACUGGUAUUAGUCUUCAGGGUAAAUAAAGUAGUAUAUGCUUGAGACUGAAUAAAACCAUAUUGUUUGAGGGCAAGAGUUAAUUUAGAAAACCACUCCCUGGAUGCUUGUUUAAGACCAUAGAGAGAUUUACGAAGUCGACAAACCCUCUUGUCACCAGAUGGUAAAUAUCCAGGGGGAGGGAUCAUGUAUAUUUCCUCAUCUAAAUCACCAUGGAGAAAAGCAUUAUUCACAUCAAGUUGAUGUAAUUCCCAACUUUUAGCCGCAGCAACAGCCAUUAGACACCGUACUGUAGUUAGCUUUGCUACAGGAGAGAAUGUUUUAGUGUAAUCCAGUCCCUCCUCUUGAGUAUAUCCUUUGGCCACUAACCGAGCUUUAUAACGCUCCACAGUGCCAUCUGAUUUAUAUUUAAUUUUAUACACCCAUUUACAACCAACUGUUUUCUUUCCUGUCGGCAAGAAUGCAAGAUCCCAUGUAUGAUUUGCAGCUAAGGCAUCAAGUUCAAUUUGCAUGGCAUACCUCCACCUUUCAUCUUGACUAGCCUCAGAGUAAGUAGAAGGCUCAGUCUCGGUUAAUAAAGCCGUAAGAAAAGCUUGAUGGGAUGGAGAAAAGCGAUGAUUGGAGAGAUAAGAAUUAAGAGGAUAGGGAGUACCUGAUGCUCUGGAAGUGGAAACUGAAUUGGAGUGGUAGGAACUAUUAGGGUAAUCACAUACAUAGUCUUUUAGAUAAGCAGGAGGUCUUCGAAUCCGCUGUUCUUGAUGUGGUGGAGAAGUUGGAAUCUCUUCAACACGAUUAUCCGUAGCAGAGAGCUCAUGAUUGGGAAUUGAGGGAAGAGUGGCAUCGGAAUAAUGGAUUUCAGGACCAUAUUGAUCAUCAUCAUCAAGAACGGGUGAGGGAGUGUUAGGUGUUAAGGUGGAAGGCAGCGUCGAAGAUGAUGUGCUAGAAGGAAUUUUGAAGGGAGAAAAGGUUUCAUGAAAGCGUACAUCACGAGAAAAGAAAAAUCUUUUUGUUUCUAAAUCAUAAACUUUGAAACCCUUUUUAUUUUGAGGAUAGCCUACAAACACACAAGGCCUUGACCUGGGUUGAAACUUGUCCAAAAGUUGUAGAGGAUUAACAGCAUAACACAAACAGCCAAAUACUCUAAAAUGAUUAUAUGUUGGUGGCUUGCCAAAAAGUGCUUCAAAAGGGGUUUUACUUCCAAGUGCUGAUGUGGGAAGUCGAUUGAGAAUAUAUGUAGCAGUUAAAACACAUUCUCCCUAGAAUUUAAUGGGCAAGUUACUCUGAAAUCUAAGAGCACGAGCCAUAUUAAGAAUGUCUCUAUGUUUUCUUGCGACAACCCCAUUUUGCUGAGGUGUACCAGCACAAGAAGUUUGAUUAACAAUCCCUUUACUUCUAAAGAAUAAUUUCAUGUCACCUUCAGUGAGUUCUAGUGCAUUAUCGCUUCUGACUUGCUUAAUUUGAAAUCCAAAUUGAGUUUGAAUCAAAGAAUAAAAAUUUUGAAAAACGUGGCAAGCUUCAUUCUUGUGUUUUAAUAAAUAUGUCCAAACUGUUCUCGUACAAUCAUCCACAAGAGUUAAGAAAAAAUGAGCCCCAGAACUUGAAGGUGUUUGAUAGGGUCCCCAUAUAUCGAUAUGAACCAAAUUAAAAGGAGUCACAGAUUUAUGAAUGCUUGAAGAAAAAACUUGUCUAGAAGCCUUUGCCAAAGGACACACAGUGCAUUCUUGGCAAAUUUGAUCAAAACGAAUAUGAGAAAAGUUGGGUAUUGACGCCAACCGGUUGUGUGAAGGAUGUUCGAGCCUUUGAUGCCAGAGAACAGCAGAUCCUGCGACCGUAUUAGCUUUGCCAUGAUGUGGUUCAUCAUAGUCUGUGGUGAAGUAGUAAAGACCGUCCCGUUCCUUACCUACCCCAAUCAGUUUCCUCGAGCGUAGGUCCUGGACAACACAAAAAUCAGGAAAAAAUAAGGCAACACAAUUGUGUUCUUUGGUGAGACGACUGACAGAAAUAAGAUUACAAUGAAAACUCGGAGCAUGCAAAAUGUUAUGCAAAGUAAUCAGGGAGUUCAAAUGAUGACUACCAUAUUCGCAGAGUUGUUUCACAGUGACAUCAGGUAGAAAUAUAUUAGCAAAUUUUUUUGAUUUAACUAGGUCAAACAAAAAAGUUUUAUCACUUAUAAAGUGAUGAGUAGCACCUGUGUCUAGUAACCAAGUGCAACAAGAGGACGAGGAAUUUGGAGUUAAAGGAUGGGUUACGUUACCAGCAAAAUUAACCGAGCCAGAGCCAGAGCCAGAGUUUUUGUCACUAUUCAACAAUGACAAAAGUUGUUCAUACUGUGUGGCUGUCAAACCAUUAACCGAAGUAGUGGAAAUUGAAGAAUUUGUUGUAUCAUUCGAGCACACAUUUGCAGCGGUAGGAUUUUUCCUUGAAGGCUGCCAAUUAUUUGGAUACCCUAUAAGCUCCCAACACCUAUCUAUGGUGUGGCCAGCCUUAUUACAAUGAUCACAUCGUAAUUUGGGCUGUUUCGAAGAUUGAUUUCCAUUCUGACGUGGCUGGCCUUGCUGUCGCCAAACAUGAAGCCUCGCAGAACCGUAUUGAGAUGUUUGCUGUUUAACAGAACUAGAUCGUGGCUGCUGCUGCUGCCGAACAUAGAAGGCUCCUGCCCUAUCAGAGCCUUGUGGGCCAAGAAGACUCAGUUGUUUCUCUUCCGUCUUAACCAUGUUGAAUAUACGAUUAAGUGAAGGGAAAGGCUCAGUUGCCAGUAUUUGAGAUCGAAUGGUUUUAAAUUUUUCAUCCAAUCCCAUAAAAAAUUGGUGUGAGCGCUCUUUGUCCCUUUCAGCUAGCCAUUCUUUCAAUCCCCCACAUGAGCAAUUUGGAGGUUUUGAAUAGGCACUCAACUCAUCGCAUAAGGCCUUAAGUUUGGAGUAGAAAGUGGUCACCGAUGCUGUUCCUUGAGUAGACAAAGCAAUGUCCUUUCUUAUUUCAUAAAUUCUGGGUUCAUUGCUUUGACCAAAACGUUUUUCCAAAUCCACCCAAAGUUCCCUAGCCGAGUCAUGAUAAGUGAUUCAAUCAUGCAGAUCCGGACUAAUUGAAUUGAUAAGCCAGGAAAGAACAAGCCCAUCACAUUAACUCCAAAACAAUGCUUCACGGCUUCCAACUUCUGGUUGCGGCAAUUCUCUAUUCACAAAUGGAAUUUUAUUUUUGCUUCUCAAAGAAUUCAAAAUAUUUCGUUUCCACCGUUGAUAAUUGUCACUGUCAGGCAACGUUGGGACUAACGAAGCAUUGGUGUAAUCGGCAGAGGUCAAAAAAUAUGGCGAGCUUGGAUCACGGAACAAAUCACCAGUCGAGGAAACUCCUGGAUUCUGUGAAUUGAUUUGCUCCACCAUUAUUCCAAGACGUAACAAGAAGAGACAAAAAAAAGGUCAAAAUAUAGAGAGUAGAGCAAGAAGGAUAGCUCUUACGCUUUGCACUGAUCAGUCAUGGACUGAUCAGUCAUGGACAGCGCUUACGAGAAGGUUAUCCGAGAAGGUUGAGAAGCUUGGAAGAAUAACGAAACAAAGAGAUUCUGCCAUAGAAGCUGCAAAAGCCAUUCAAGGUUUCUUACAGCAGAAUGAAGUUUUCCCUCGUGAAAAUAGCUUUGCCUGCUCUGAUACCAUGACAAAGAAUGGUAAUCUUAUUCAUUGAAAAAUCCAUUGUUUUCUCUUGUACAAUCGGAAGCUUAUAUAUAGAAUUAAUAGCAGACUAUAGGCUAAGUAAUAGACUUCUAGGCUGACGCUAUUCUAAGUAGUAGACUCCUAGGCUGACUACUAGUCUAAGUAGUAGACCACAAAGACCACAAACACUACAAAGACUAGUUCGGAUGGUAUACGCUAACAUUUAUAUAAAUGACAAAUAAUUUGGAACAAUCCAACAAAGAAAAUACGGCAAUAUCAAUGGGAUGGAGGGGGAAUUUCUAUGGCCUGACCCUAUUUAUCAAGGAAUUGUAUACGGUAAGAAUGGUAUCGGCCUUCCCACCGUAGGAAUGUCAAUCUGGUGCCAUUUAAGCACAACACGUAGCUGAAUUCUGGAAGGCACCAGACAACUAACAAAGCGCAUCAGUUAAGACCAUGCAUGUGUUGCUCCCAAAACUCUGACGUGGUUUUUCUUCUCACUUCCCCACAGCCACAAACACCAAAGCAAACUCCGGUAAGUUCAUGCACAGAAGGUGCGCCUUUGCCUCAGCAGUUAACAAAAAAAGAAUAAAUCCAUCUUUUACUUGUAGGUGGAGAUACUGGCCUGAAGAUUAUACUUCUCUUCCCUCUAAAUUAGGAUAAAUUAAAUUAUAAAAAUAUUAUUACCGUAAAAAAAAAUUGAUGUACAACGGGUGCUGGUGAAAUUACUGAUGCAUCUAUUUUUUAAAAAAACAUGAAUGACCUCAAAAUCACCAAAAUCUAACUAUUUUUUGCCUGUAUUAAGAACAUGCUUCCAAGUCUCCAUCAAAGAACUUUCAAGCUCUACAGAAGUAAUUGACAUAAAAAAAAAGAAUAAAAAUAAACUCUUGGGCCACAUCUCAUAAUUUAGUGGAGACGAAGUUGGGGUAGUCAUAAUUUACCACACUACAAUUGGCCCCUUUAGUAGAUCUAAUCCAGGACGACGAAUUACGAAAACAACUUGCAUUUUGGACUCCUCUGAAUGAGUGUAAGAGUCUUUUAUAGGAAUAGCAUCUGUGAAAGUAUAGAAGUGAAGUUUAAGUAAUCGAUUAGAAGUUGAACAUAUGUGCUUUACAGCUGAAAAUAAAAUAUGGUUAAUUCAUAACUCGCUUGUGGCUAAAAGAUCUCCCAUAGUUUAUGGAAAUAAUUUCAUGUUUUUAUGGAAGUAACACAAAAUUUUCUAGAUUAUGUAUAUAAGGUGUUGGAAUAUUUUAAUAAAUUGUUAAAUUCUCAAUUAGAUGUGUAAGUUAUAAGGAGAAUAAAUUGGUGAAUAUUUUUGAAAUUUAUUGGUGUUGGAAUGAUUUUUGACUAAAGAUUUAUUAUAUAAAAUUAUGGCUUUUCAAUUACAAUAAAUUUUGUAACCUACAAUUCAAAUUAGAAUGUGUCUUGAAUAGCCAAUAAUUUUCAGCAUCUACUUAGCAUAUUAUUAGUAUAGGUUAUGUUUGACUAAUUUUUCUUGAUCUAUAAAUAUGCGUUGUUGAGAUAGAAAAAGAUGCUACAACAACUUAUGUUUUUUGAGCUACAAUUCAUAAGAGAAAAUAUCUACUCUUUUGUUAUUUUCUAUCUCAUAGAUUGGCAGAAAAAAAAAUAAGUGUUUGUAGAGUAAUACUCUCUCAGUUGUACAGACUAAUGAGAGUAACAGUAUGUGUGGUUAGACUGUUGUAUCCUGAGAGUGACAAGCUGAAGAUUCUACGACACCGAAAUUGAUUCUUUUGCAGAGGCUUGAAUCAUCUUAAAAAAAGCGAAAUAUCCAUACCUCAACCCAUUACAUUUGUGCAUUAUUAUAUUAUUAUUUUGACUAUUUUAUUAUAGUUAAUUUUAUUAUUGUUAUAAUUAUUAUUAUUAUUAUAACCAUUGUUAAUUUUUCUAUUUGACAUUUGUCUAAUUGUUCUAGCGGAGCAACAAUUUUAAAGUGAUUCAGAACAAGAUGGAGUUCAACUUACAAGUCACUUGACUUGAGUAGCCUACCUAUGGACAAAAAAUGAGAAGAUCUCAACUAAUGAAACAUCCUUACACUAUAUAAGAACGAGUUUAGGACAAAGACGGUUUUUAGAUUUCAACCGCAAGGGUGGGGCUAUUUUGGGAAUGUGAGAGUGUUUGAAGUGUAAUUGGAACAUUGAGUACAAGUCAUUAUAGCUUUAAUUUCACUACAAUUACUUAUAUAACCUUUCAGACAUUUAAGGUUAGGGGCAAGUUUGGUAUGUUACAAUGUUUGGUGCCAAGUUGAGUAUCAAGUACAACUGAAUUAAGCUUGUGUUUUGAUAGAAUUACAUAAACGCCCUUUUAAUCAUUUAUUAUACUAACAUCCAAGCCUUCCAAUUUCCUGAAACCUUUCUCAUCCGUUAAGGAAUUAAUUGGAUGUUUACAUAAUUGGAUUUUAAUUAUAAUUAAUUAAUUUAAUUAUUAUCUAAACAAUCAUUAUCAUAUUUAUACCCCCAUGUUUAGCCGAUUCCCUUUCUUCUUUUUCGGUUUCACCCCUUUGGUUUUAUUAUGGCUAUUAAAUAUUUGGUGGAAUGCGUAGCUUUUCCUUUAAAUUGAGGUGAGUUCUUUGGGUUUGUCUUCUUCGAUUGUAGUUUUUUUUUCUUCUGAUGAUUAGUUUAUUCAAGAACUCCAUAUAGUUUGUUUUUUUUAUACUUCUAAUUCCAAAAACUGACUAAUUGUAUUGUUUUUCUUAGUAGAUCUCAGAGAUUCUGUCUCUGGUCAAAGUACAAUUUGAGAUAAUGUUGUCACUUUCUAAAAUAAUCAGAAAAACAAUUUUAUCAUCUUCUCCUCCUCGGCCAAGGUAUUCUCUCUUUAUUUAAGUCAAAUAACCUUAUUUCUCAUGAACUUUCUCCUAUUGUUCUUGACUCUAGGGAUCUAUUGACUACAUUCCAGCAGUUAUGGUUCAAGUAGUUAUUUUUUCAUGUAAUAUGAUUUGGAAUUCAGCUUGUGUUAUAUUUUAAUUGGGAAUUUUAUAAUUGUAAAAUUUAUUAACUUAGAAUUUUGUACUUCAUUGAAACUAAAAAAGAAAAUUAAUCAUGCUAUACAGUACUAAGAUGUCAUUUGCACUCUAUUUGCUUUCCAUGUUAUGAUCUCGUUCUUGUAUUCUACUGUUUAUAUAGUUUUAAAUACAAAAAAUUUGCUUUUUAUGCUAUCUAAAAGAAUUUGUAGUGGAACUUGAUGAGUUUAAAUGCUUUAGCUAUAGCACCAUUUUGAUUGCAUUGUAUUAAUUCAUUUACUCAUAAUUGUAUGUUGUACAAUGAUAAAUAAUGUUUCUUGAUUUGAUUGAAGCAACUAUUAUCCAUAGUUCAAACGAAUCAAUUAAGUAGAGAUGCUAUAUUGGAUACUUAUAUAAGUAAACAUUAGAAAAUAUCAUUAAACAGUUUCUACCUAUAGUUUGCAAUUCGAAUUCAUAUGAGAAAUUUCUUCUGAUUUUAGUUACCAUUUUUCUACAAUUUCAAAUUUAGAAAAUAUUAUUUGCACUAAUUUUUUAUAAUCAAGAUAGUUUCAAUUCAGAUCUUUAACAAUUAUGCAGAUUUGAACCUAUUUAUGAGAUUAUAAAGAAAUGCCACUAGCAAAAAACACCAAAUCUGAAUAGUUUCUACAAAACUUCGAAAAAGAUCACUUAAAUUUCUUAUCUAUCUAUCAUUUUUGGGCAUUAUUAUCUCUGUAAGAAAUAUGUGAUUAAGUCAUAUUAUGCCCACCAAAUUAUAUAAAUAGUUAGUCAAAAAUAAAAUUAUUUUAGAUUAGAUUGGACGCAAAGUGAUUGAUGCAUAAACUUGACUUGAUAAUUCAGGUUGAGCUUAAGUUGAUGAAGAAAUCAGAAGCAUUGCUUGAGGGAUAUUUCACAAACAUAUAUAGAUUCGAGAGAUGAAGGGUCCAAUUGAUACUUUAAAAUGUUUUAUCAUCUUGGAUAAGUUUUAGAAAAGACCUUUGGAUACUUUUCAAUUGCACUUCAAACAUUCUUACAUUUUCAAACUACCCUUAUCUUUGCAGUUGAAAUUCAAACAUAACCUUUGAUCACAACGGAUUCUUAUAUAGUAUAAUGAUAAGGAUGUCUCAUUGCACAUUAUUUUUAUUGACUCACUAUGUAACUUAUGAUUUUUCUAUUAAAAUCACAUGAUAAAAUCAUCAUACUUCAGUUUCUAUACUACAAAAUAUUAAACAAUAAUUAUUAAUUAUCUUGAAUCACAAGUACCAAAUUCCCGCGCAUCGCGCGAGAUAUCCCUCCCUAGUGUUAACAAUAAAAGAAUGCUUAUGAAGAAAAAUUUAAGAAAAAGGGAAGUUGUUGAAUUCCAUUACUAGUAUUAUAAUGACUUUUAUAGUUUCUAUGAAACUUCUUGUCCUAAUACCAAAAGUCUUGGAAGGCUUAAUAGGAAAAUAUGGCACUAGAGAAGUAGAUCCGAAAGAGUUCAAAUUGCUGAACAAUUACAACUUGUUGCUGCACUAGACAAGUUGCUACCAUGCAUUUUGAAAGAAAUUUUUAAAGAUGCCUUCUUAACAAGUAAAAGUAAACUUCCAAUGGGCAUGAUUAAUUGGGUCAUUUACUCUAAUCGCAAUAGAUAUAUACUCCAUUGCAUGAUAUAAAGUUGUGACAAAUAGUGGGGUUUCAUAGUAAUUUCUAUGCUAAUAUGCAAAGAACUUGAUCUUUGAAUGUGAUGUGUGUUUAGUUGUGUAUCAUUAAUGCACUAAAAUAGUGGGGGGUUUUUUUUUCCUUUGCUAAAAAUUAAUGCAAAGAAUCUGAUAUAUUAUUGAAGAUUCUCAAUAAUAUGGAUUUUUAUUGUGAAUAACGAAAAAAAAAAGAAUGUGUAGAAUUUCAUUUGGUACCAUGUUAUUUUUGCAACUUGUGAGUAUGAAUUUUAAAGUUGCAAUUAAGUGCAAUGUUAAAUGACAUUGAGUAUAAUGGUUUUGGAUUUCUUAAUUCUUUCUUUGAAUUUGUGCAAAUGGAUAUACACUCAAAAGUGUGAAUAUAAUGUGAAUACACUUGAAGUAAGUAUUUCAUAUUCUUGCGGAAAGAAGUUCUAUGGAAAUUCCAUUGAGAUAGCAAAAAUGGUUCCAAGUAGGUCUAUGGAAUUUACUGCUUGAAGGUUGGAAUUGGCCCCAUUUGAAGAGUAGAAUCGUCAAAUUUUCAUCUUCCAACUUCUAUUCCAAUUCCAACACCUUUGUAGAUGAUCUCAGGUUCUUUGUUCUUUGGACUAGAAUAUCUGUGUGAGCCCUAAUGCAACGCUUGAGAAUGCCCAGACUUUGGUUAAUUUACAACUUUAGCAAAUAUGUAAUCAAGCAAUUGGAUACUGAUAUGCAAAUAAAAUUCUCAAUUAAAUAACUUUUAUUGCUUAAAUAAACUUUUUAAAGCUAUUAUAAUUCAAUACACCGAAUUCACAGGCCAUAUCAACAUAAGAAAAUACUCUAUUGAACUAAAUACACCAAAUUCAUACUAGCAUCAUCGUCUUGCAGUGCAUAAAAGAAGCAUUAGGCUGCAAAUUCCUGAGCCACAAAAUUUUGAUCAGAUUUCCAUAGGGCCAAAGAGUUUCACUCUUAGUAACAAAGUCAAACCUUCAUUCCUUUGUCUAAUGCUUGUGAUGUGCAGGAUCAUAUACAAGAAUGGUCAUACUCAUACUAAACAUACUCCUAACAACGGUGAACUUUAUUACUCCAACGCCAUUGUUUCCGGGACCAGGAACAAGAUUAAGCAAGCAUGUCCUAUGCACUGACCCUUCCUACCGUUCGUGUGCUGCAAUGGAGUUGAUCUCGUCUAUAAAUCUGUUCAAAGCACCUUCAUACCUGCUGUUAAUCACCAUUAGCACAUGAGUAACAUUUGAAAAUUUUGCAAAUGAAGUAAAAUUUUGUUUAGAAAAUCACUCAUAUUCUCGCUGUAUCAGACCAGAAAGUUGAAGCUAAGUGAGCCUCAACCAAGUACAGUUCAUUGGAAAAGAAGUCAAAAUUCCGACUCAGUAAAGAUUAACUUAUGUAUCUUUGUGGAUUAAAGAUUAAUGAAUAAGUAGAAAGACUAAUAUCUUUCAGGUGUAAAACUCAAAAGACACUAAAUAAUCAUAAACUUAAGCACAGUCUUUUAAAAUGGCAAAGAAAAAUAUGUACAACAAUCAAAAUUUUCUUGUAAUAAAAAAUGACAAAAGAACUAAUAAAUUAAACUCCUAGAUAUAAGGCUCCAAGGUGAACAAGUUUUUUUCUUCUAAACCCUUGCCUAUUGCCCAAAAACUUCAGAUUCAUGUGAAUGUUUACACAAUCUCGACAAUUGCAUUGGGAGGCAAAUAGGGAGAUUAUACGGUUAUCUAAAAGUAUUGGAACCCAUAAAAGUACAUCAUGUGGACAUGGCUCUGAGUUUCUUCGGCUCUGGUACCACAGACCUAGAUGUUACGCAAAUAAAUUACUAUAAAAAUAAAAAUUGCAAAUUUGGCAAUACUACAUAGAUGCAUCCUAGAACCAAAAAGUUAAUGAAGACCGUACGUCAGAUAAAGUGAGAAGAUAAGGAGAAUGAUGAUGAUUUUGGAGCUCAGUUGAAUUCACAUUGAUAUAUGAACAUCCCAACCCAACCAAUUUGAUCCUCAAAGUGCUCAAUACUAGAGCUAGAAGGAGUGCAAGACACACUGAUAAGAGUGAGAAUGGACCAGGGAACUUCAAGAGUAUGUAUCAACUCUUCAAAAGGGGUAUGGCAGUUGGGCAUUCUAUACCUUUUAGAUAUACAUUUGUAGGGACAAACUGAUUUGGUAACAUCCCCUGUAGCAAAUCAUACCCAAAAUUAAGUUAGAUCUAUCAUGUCCAAUAAUGGAGCAGAUAAUUGAGAAAUAGAUUUCUAAGAAAAUUAGAGCUCAUUGCAUUACAGCACCUCAUACACAGAUAAAAAAAAUGCAUGACUGUUAGGGUGGAUGUUUAUAUUUAACUUUUGGUGAAAACCAUCACCUAUCAAAAUCUAUAUGGCGAUUAUUAAGAAAUAAAUUAACAGAAAAAUUGCGGAAGCAUACCUUGAUUCAUGUUGACAAACUAGUGCUUGAAUCCCUAAAGAUUUUGGGGUGACCUUCCAGGUCAACACGUAUUUGCCAAUCCUUGAGAGAGUCCUUUAAUUUUUCUUUGGUAUCUUUCUUGACAAUGGGAUAUCAGGAAAGAGUUAUUUUAUCUGCACUAGAAAAUACGACAAUAAGAAUACUUGUGAUCUGGGGACCAUAACCCUAUUUAUAGAUAACAUUCCUGUUACCUUUUGGAUUCCUAUUUCAGAUUAUCAUAGAAAUAGAAAAUACUCUUAAAUCUCUACACAUUAAAGGCCCACAUCGUGUUAGAUAUAUUAAGCUCAAAUCAUAUUUGAUCACUUUAAUUGGACUUAGCCUUAUUUGACAAUUGCAUCACAUAAUUAUUCAGAUAUAGGUCCAACGUUGGAUUAAGGAUCCAAUAAUCUCCCAUUUAGACUAUAUGUGUAACCUUAUAAUUAUGUUUUGCAAUAAACUGCAUGAGCUCAACUUUACUAUUAUUUACUAAAAUGUAUCUAUAGCCAAUUCGGUCCAUCAAUUACACCAACAUAGGAUCAAAGCGGCCUUUGCUACAAUUUUCAUAACUCGACCUAUUAAUGGUCACAUAUAUUGAUGCAAUUGAAUGACAUGAAUCACGAUGUGGAUGUGUAGCAUAAAAAUUUCAUGUAAUAUAAUCGUAAUAUGACUAUUUCCAACGGUCCAUCUUAAAUUUUCAUGAAAUCAAUUUAUACCAAAAUUAGAAUGUAAAUGAAUUCAAACUUUAUUUAUGCAUUAAAUAUCCUUAAGACAUUAAUAACCAAAAAUAUAAUAUUGCAAGAGCAUUUCAAAAUAACAAACUCCUACUAAAACUGCACAUCAUUUAAUAACAUGAUACCCAUAUGAACAGUAUACUCAUGAAACAUUUUGGGUGACAAUCCCUUAGUUAGCGGAUCCGCAACCAUGGAGUUUGUUCCGAUACGCUCUAUUGAUAUCUGUCCACUCUAUAUUCUUUCUUUAACAAUUAGGAACUUUAUAUCUAUAUAUUUAGAUUUUGUCGAACUCCUGUUAUUAUUGGAAUAUAAGACUGCUGAGUUAUUAUCACAAAAUAAUUUGAGUGGUCUUUCAAUACUGAUAGGGUACAUUUAGUUGGUAUAUUUGCUUAUAUUUUCCUUUUUAUUUAUACUAGAUAUCACCUUAUUUGACUGUUUUCCGAUAAUUGGUAUUUUUGUAUUAAUUUCAGAAAUUGGAGCGAAAAAGGCUUAAUUGGAGGAUUCCUAACGAUUUGCACAUAGGACGCCAAAGUUCAAGGUUCAAAACUAGAAAUUGGCAAUUUCCUAACAUCGGACACUUUCCCAAUCCAAGUCAAAUUCCAAAAAUUGACGACUGCUGAAGUUUCCUAUUCUUUGGCAAUCCACGUCAGUCUCAAGCAAUUGGAGAGCUUUUAGGAAACUAAAUUGAAAUAGGACUUUUUAGGAAUUUGAUUAGUAGCAGGAGACCAAUCAAUUAAGAAGUUAGCCAAGUAGAAUUCAGUAGAGAGGAUCUUUGGCUUGAGAUCGAAAACAUAGUGUUCGUGUUCUAUUUCCUUUUGGCUGAUUUUUGGAGGAGGAUGAAGAGGUGAUUUUUGGUUGGUAACUAAAUCGACCUGGAUCAGUCCUCUCUGAGAAGAAGUGAGGUGAACUCCUGUGUCCGAAGUGAACCUCCUUGUCCGAAGUGAGUGGCGGGGCUUCUCCCCUGGGAUCACUCCGACGAUCAAGUUAGUAUGAGAACGAGAAUAAUGAGAAUAUGAGUUAAUGAACAGUGUAGGCUUACUUGUUGGGAGUGUGUCUGGGAUAUUUAUAGAGGGAGAGUAGAGGACAGAGCGGAGGGCUUAUGCUGGUGGGACCCACCCUCUGGUCAUUACGGCUCUGUCCCGUGUCAGGAGGUCUGACUCUGACACUGUAGCUGCCUGAGCAUGAUGACGGGGAGUAUUGUGCAGGUGCCAUUAAGUGCCUCCAGUGCUUUUCAGAUAAAGCACUGGUCCUGGGUGAUGUCAGGUGGCUUGACAUCAUCAGCGUGCAGCUGAGGUGGGGGUGCCGAGGUCGGCUACACGGUAGACUAGGGACCUGGUUGAGCUCAGGGAUGAUGCCCGGGACACGGAUGAGCUCUGAUGAGGGACGAGGUGAGUUCACCUCGGCCACUCGGGAUGGCCGAGGUGAGCAUCCUCAAUAAGCCCCCCAAGCCUCGGAUGCUCCGAGCAAGGGAGGUGCCGAGGCUUCCUUGUGCUGAAGUCAUGAAGAGUCGAGGUCCCGAAAUCGCUCCGGAAGAUGCGGGGACGCGACACGUGGGCGAGUCAGUUGAUAGGACGUGGUCACUGGUAACCGUCGCGUCGUGAAGUAGUGGGACGUUUCGUGCAGUGGGUGUCAGCCGAAAGGACGGGGCAUUAAUGAAGAGAGAGAGACAGAAGGGCGAAGAGUUGCCGCCUUUCCGUAUUCUGGCUGCCUCUUCGGGUUCUGGCCCUCCCCUAUAAAUAGGGGGUCCUUUUCACCGCAUGGCCCAUCAUUUUCUUCCUCUGCCUGGGACUUGCCAAAUUUACGUCUGUUGCCGAGAUCAAUCCUGCCAGCCGAAGUCACAGCCGAAGUCAUCCACUUCGUCCAGUUCCGUAGACAAUAGUAAAUAUCCCUUUUCUUUCUUAUCUCGUCUUUCACUCAUGGCCAAAACGGCUAAAACCCACAAGGAGACCGUGACACCGGGCUACCAGACCGAGGUGAGGCCGGAUCCGGAGGAAGAAGCGACGACAUCCAGCUCGGAGGGGUCAACACCGAGUUCAGAGGGGUCGACCGAGGUGAGGGUCGGAGAGACAGCCUCAGAGUUGGAGUCGUCCGAGAUGAGCGAAGAGAGUUCCGUGGUGGACUAUAACGAGGAGCUCGGCGUCGAGAUUCCGCACGAUGAGAACGUAUUGGAGCCCGUUGCUCCUAAGGAUGUGGCCAACUUUGACUUUGGCAAGAUGCCGAAGUUUAGGAGUCACGUAGGACGAGAUAGGGCCCAGAAGGUAGUGAACAAGUACUCAUUCCGGCCGGGGUACGAAAUUCUGCCACCCGAGGUGGAUGACACAGCCGCGAAGCCCCCCUACGGCAUGGUGGCCGUCUACAUUCAACAGCUGGAGGCCGGGCUGAGGAUGCCGACGUCGAGGUUCCUCAGGGAUUUGCUUCGUCACUUCGGUGUGAGGAUCACCCAACUCACCCCAAACGCGAUCCGCAUCAUCGUGGGGUUCGAGAUGCUUUGCCGACAUCAGGAGGUGACUCCCUCCGUCGACUUCUUCCGCCGAUGCUAUACUCUCAAGGGGCACGGGACGGAUAAAGGAUGGUUUUAUGUUGGCAAUCGAAACAAUGCCAUCCCGAAGUUGGUGAUCGGUGCUCCCAGCUCGAUCAAGAACUGGAAGCGCGACUACUUCUUCGUGUCCGGAGUGGACUUCCCGAGGGGUUUUUGGUGGAGGUCAAUUAAGGCGAAGGCCGACCCCUCGGCGGGGGAUGCCGAAGAGGAAUCCUUCCAGAAGUUGAUGAAGUCGGGACUUCGGCUGUUCAGCCAUGAUUACCCCGAAGCCGUGCUCGUGGAUGGGGGGAUAAGUCGAGCCGUGAUCAAUACUACCAAGCCUCCCUUCUUUUCCACUGAACUUGAGAUACCUUGUAAUUUUUCUUUCGUACCUUUGCUUUCACUUCGGUUAAGGCAUAUGAUAAUAUUUAUUUCUUGUGCAGUGACUAAACUGUCCGACCUCGUCGUCUCUGGCUCGUCCGAAGUGGCCAAGAGGCAGAAGAGGAUGAGCACUGACGAGACCUCAGCACCUCCGCCAAAGAAGAAGAAGUCACAAGGACCAGCCGCUAAGACUUCGGCGCCUAAAGGCACUCCCACCAAGGUUGGUCAGAGCAGCUCGGCCACUGCGGCUACUGGGUCCACCUCGUCUGUACCAGAGGGAGUUCCCCUUGGAGUUGUUACAACAGUCACACCUCCUUCUGGCCGAGGCAAGCAGCUGAAGCCUCCAGUUAAUCCGGUGUCGGGGACCUCGCUAUGGAAUCGUUUCCAUAGCCCCCCAGUGUUUCCCGGAGACGAGAAGACGCACUCCGGCAAUCAUUGGUGUCCGAACUGGAAGAUUUCGGUCAACGACAGGUGCCAACAUUCUCGGGUCGCUCAAGAGCUAGUAAUGCACUCCACUCUGCUAAGGGAUAUGGAGUUCAUGAAAAAACUAAGUCCGGCCGAGCUGGUUCAAAGUCUGAUGGUGACCACGACUUCCAAUUCAGCUUUUGCGGCCGAGAUGGCUCACAGAUACUGUGCUCUGGUCGAGGAGCAGGACACCGGCAAGCUGCAGACUCAGAUCUCCAAGUUGGAGAAACAACUGGCGGUGUCCGAAUCCGAGAAGUCGGAGCUUCAGAGGCGACUUCAAGAGGCUGAAACUAAGAGUGAGGAGGACGAGGCUACGAUGAAUAGUCUCAGAUCAGCCCUCGAGGAGGAGCAGAAGAGGGGGGACGAAGUGAAGAAGUCCCACGCACAAGCUCUCGAGGGUGCUGGAGCCUCGGCAGUGGACGCGUUUCGAAGGUCCGAUGCCUUCAUCAAGGACCUCGGCCAACUGCUUACGCCUAACUUCAUGUUUGGCUUCACAUCGGCCAUUAAUGAGGCUGCGGCUCACCUCUCCUCCGAAGCCUUGGAGUCUUUGAAAAACCAUGACAGUUACAAUGAGAACUCCAAGGAGUUAUGUGAUCGGAUGGGCGAAGGCAUUCAGGCAGGAAGGAAUUUGGCCGAAGUCCAGGUCGAGUUCAACAAGUGGCUGUCCGAACUCGACGUUGUGUUCGAGGAGGUGGAAGUAGAAGAAGUUGGAGGAGAGGACGCUGAGGGAGACGAAGCCGCCGGGGACGAAGUCGGAGGGGACAUCGGCAAAGAGCAUGGAGAUGAACACCCCGGCGGAAAAGAGGCCGAAGAAGAGGCUGCCCAGGAGGGAGCCAAGACCGGGAAUGGAGCCGAGACGGGGGUCUAGGCUCAUAGGCUUCGAGGGGGUGGUCGAGGUGGAGAGUGCUUAGUAGCAUUCGGACCUCGGCCUUGUAUUUUUUGUAACGCUCUUUUCUGUUGAAUGAAAUCUAUUCCUUCUGUUCUCAGCAUUUCAAUUUCUUGUUUUGACUUCUUCCCUUGCUUGUCCCCCUUAUUUUUUAACUGCGUAAUAACGAUGUUGAAAAAUAACAUAAUAGCCGAAGUCAUAACUUGACAAGAUAACUGGAUAAAGUCAACUUUGAUGAAAUAAUUGAAUGAAGUCAUAACUUCAAGCAUAAUACAACCUAAGGUUCUCGGCGUGCCAAGACCUCGGCACUAAUGAGCCAUCUCGGUAGCUCAGUUUACAAUACCCCUUAGCGUCAGAUUCCACAACUCGGUAAGGGCCUUCCCAUUUCGGGCAUAAUUUCCCUUGCGGCUCAGCUCGGCUAACUGAAUUUUUCCUGAGAACCAAGUCUCCAGGACGGAAUCUACGAUGUCUGACACGGGCAUUGUAAUAGUGUGCCAGUGUGUUCUUGUAUGAAGUUAUCCGGGCUGAGGCGAGAUCCCUUCGUUCUUCGACAAGGUCGAGGUCCAGCUGCCUCUUUUCAUCGUUCACCUCGGCGGCAUACGCUGCCAGCCGAGGACUGGGGGUAAGGAUUUCAGCCGGGAUGACAGCCUCGGCGCCGUAGGUCAGGGAGAAUGGGGUCUCUUGCGUCGCUGACCUCGGCGUGGUCCGAUACGACCACAAGACACUGGGGAGUUCCUCCACCCAAGAUGACCCAACUCGGUGUAGUCGGGUCUUGAGGCCAUGCAGGAGAGUCCGGUUGAAGUUUUCUGCUUGACCAUUGGCCUGAGGGUGGCCUACCGAAGUGAAGUGUUGUUUGAUGCUGAGGUUCUCGCACCAAGUCUUGAACGGGUUCUCGGCAAAUUGUCUCCCAUUGUCCGAGAUGAUGAUCUGAGGUAUGCCGAAGCGGCAGACAAUGCAUUUCCAAAAGAAUUUUUGGAUGGCUAGACCCGAGAUGGUCCGAAGUGGCUCGGCCUCGACCCACUUAGUGAAGUAGUCCACAGCGGUCACUAGGAAGGUAUAACCCCCGACGGCUUUAGGGAAAGGACCUAUGAUAUCUGUCCCCCAUUGCUCGAAUGGCCAAGGUGAAGUGAUGGGGACCAUGAAAUUUGAGGGCUGGUGAUGCUCGGGUGCGUGGACUUGGCAGGAAGGACAGCCGAGAACGAGGUCCUGGGAGUCUUGCCGAAGUGACGGCCAGAAAUAUCCAUGGAGCAUAGUCUUCUUGGCUAACAUCCUGUGGCCGACGUGAGCUCCGCACAGGCCUUCGUGGAUCUCGUGGAGGACGUGACGUCCGGCCUCGGGAGUGACACACCUCAGCCAUGGGUCGAGGUAAGAGCGUUUGUAUAGUUCUCCAUUGCGGAGAGCGUACCGAGCCGCCUUGCGUUGUAUCCUUCUCGCCUCGGCUCGGUCUUCAGGGAGUGUUCCCUGACUCAAGAAGAGGAUGAACGGGGUCAUCCAGGUAUCUUCGGAGUGCACGGGGCAGGCCUCCUCUUCCACAUAUCCGGGUUCACUCAGAACUUCCACUAAGACCGUUUUGUUGAGGUCAGAGAAUGAAGUGGAGGCCAGCCGGGAUAAGGCGUCGGCUCGCUUAUUCUGGGACCGGGGGAUUCUUUGGAUUUCGAAUGACUCGAAGUAUGCGGUGAGUUGGUGAACUUUGGAGAGGUACCUUUGCAUGGUCUCAUCCUUAGCCUCGUAUUCACCGAGAACUUGGCGUACCACGAGCUGGGAGUCACUGCGGACGUGGAUUUGCUGAGCGCCGAGCUUGCGGGCUAGCUGGAGUCCAGCGAUUAGAGCCUCGUACUCGGCUUCAUUGUUGGUGGCCGGGAAGUCAAAACGGAGGGCGUACGAGCACACCUCCCCCUGAGGUCCUUCCAGGAGCAGUCCGGCUCCGCAGCCGUCUCUAUUAGAGGAUCCAUCGACAUACAAUGUCCACAGGGAUGAGGUGGACACCUCGGCUAAGGCUGAGGUGGACUCCGGACCUUCCGUGAAGGUGAGCUCAGCAAGGAAGUCAGCCAAAGCUUGAGCUUUUAUGGCGGUGCGUCGCUCGUAGGACAAGUCAUAUUCUCCCAAUUCGACAGCCCACUUGGUGAGGCGACCAGAAGCUUCGGGUCGCACCAAUAUUUGCCGAAUGGGCUGGUCAGUCCUGACCGAGAUAGGAUGGGCUAAGAAGUAGGGCUUCAACCGCCGAGCUGCGUGGACUAGUCCCAGCACCAAUUUUUCCACCUGAGUGUAUCGAGUCUCCGGCCCGCCAAGAGCUCGGCUGACGUAGUAGACCGGCACUUGGGUGCCCUCAUCUCGGAUGAGCACAGCGCUGACAGCCUCGUCGGCUGCAGAGAGGUAGAGGUAGAGCUUUUUCUCGGGCCGAGGUGAAGCAAGGGUGGGUAGAUGAUGCAAGUACUGCUUCAGCUGGUCGAAAGCAGCCUGACACUCCUCAGUCCAGGCGAACUGGUCAGCCUUUUUUAGCACCUUAAAGAAGGGCAGAGCUUUCUCGGCGAAUUGGGACAGGAAGCGAUUCAGCGCGGCCAGGCGUCCAUUCAACCUUUAGACUUCUCGGACGUUCCGAGGUGGGGACAUAUCUUGAAUGGCCUUGACCUUGUCGGGAUUGGCCUCGAUUCCCCGGCGGGAAACCAAAUACCCCAAGAAUUUUCCGGAGGUGACGCCGAAGACGCACUUCUUUGGAUUCAAUUUCAUCCUCGAAUCCCGCAGGAUGCCGAAGACUUCCCUCAAAUCGGAUAGAAAGGCCGAAGUGGCCUGGCUCUUGACAAGGAUGUCGUCCACGUAGGCCUCCACAUUGCAGCCGAUCUGGUUUUUGAAGAGGCGAUUGAUCAAUCUCUGGUAGGUCGCCCCGGCGUUCUUUAGCCCGAAUGGCAUGGUAGUAUAACAAUAAGUACCUUGGUCGGUGUAGAACGCCGUUUUCUCUUGGUCCUCUUCAUUCAUUCCUAUUUGAUGAUACCCUUUGAAGGCAUCUAGGAAGCAGAGGACUUCAUACCCCAUCGCCGAGUCGACGAGGGCGUCUAUCCUUGGCAGGGGAUAGCAAUCUUUGUGGCAGGCCUUGUUGAGGUCGGUGAAGUCUACACACAUUCUCCAUCCACCGGUGUCCUUUUUGACCAUAACUGGAUUGGACAGCCAGGUGGGAUAUUGGACCUCGUGAAUCAUCUUGGCCGGCAAGAGCUUAUCGACCUCAUCCGAUAUGGCCUUGCUACGCUCGGGGCCGAAGUGCCUCCGUUUCUGCCGCACAGGUCGUGCCUGUGGGUUGACGUUAAGUUGAUGAAUCAUGAGCUCGGGUGGCACUCCGACCACUUCAUCUGCGGACCACGCGAAGAUGUCUCGGUGGUCCUUGAUCAGGGAGAUCAUUUCCUCUUUCAGGGGUGAGGGGAGUCCGGCCCCUACUUGGACCACUUGGUCGGGUUUGGCUUUAUCCAAAACCACUUGUUCCACCUUAUCCCCGGGCUCAAGCCUGCUGGGCUCUCCUGCCUUGUGAGGGUCGAUGCAGUCUAUGGAGAGGACAGCCGGCCUCUUUUCUUCUGACCUCGGCGGGGGCUGAGGUCCGACUGCAGCUUGGAUGGUGGCGAGGUAGCAUUCUCGGGCGGCGCCCACGUCGCUGCUUACCUCGGCCACCCCCGCAGGUGUUGGGAAUUUGAAGCUCAAGUGGUAGGUUGAGUACACAGCUCUCAAGGCAUUGAGCGUGGGCCGGCCUAUCAGCAUGUUGUAAGGAGAGUCCGCUUUGACCACCGCAAAGCUGACAGGCACAGUUCGGCAACGGGGAUGACGCCCGAUAGUCAUCGUUAAAUUCACCAUGCCCUCCGUGUGGACGACGUGUCCCCCGAAGCCGACAAGGGGAGUUCUGACCGGAGUGAGUUGCUCCCGGGUCAAUUUCAAACUCUCGAAAGUUCGGUAGUACAUGACGUCUACCGAGCUUCCGGGGUCAACGUAGACCUUUUUGACUAUGUAGUUAUUUGUGAGGACCUCAAUCACUAGGGUCUCGUGAUUGCUGGAGGCGGCGGGGACAGGGUCACGGGGACCAUAGGUUAUCACCUCGGACAGCCUCGAGCUCGGCUCGGCCACCUCCAUGCCGGCUUAGCGGUAGGUCCGCUUUCGGGAGUUCUGGCUGUCUCCUCCCGUGGGGCCACCUGAGAUGGUGUUGAUCACCCCGGCUAUGUUUGGGCCGUAGCCUGGUGAUCCGUCACGUGGAGGCCUCUGAUCUCCCUUGCGGUCCUCAGGACCUCGGCAAUUAAGCUUGGUGUCCCGCCUGUCCUCUUGGCGAGGACCUCGGCUCUCCCGGUGGGAGGCACUUCGGUUGAAGCUCCCAUCUUUGCGGAUGAACUGCUUCAGGUAUCCUUGUCGGAUCAGGUUUUCGAUCUCUCGCUUCAGAUCGUUGCAAUCUUCAGUCUCGUGCCCAACGUCUCGGUGGUAGGCGCAGUAGAGGUUGGAGUUCCUCUUAUCUCUCCUCCCAGAGAUCUCAGGAAGUGUUCGGCCGAGGUGGUUCUGCCUCAUUACAGCCAAGACAUGAGAUCGGCUGGAAUUGAGCGGUGUCAGCUCAGCGUCCGAGGUGGACGACCGGCCUCUCACGAUCCGGUCGAAGACAGUCCUGCGGUCUCGGAGUGGGUUUGAAGUGCUACUUGGGCCGGGUUCACCUCGGCCAGUGUCUUUCCUUCUCCGGAGAUCUUGCCCCGUACGAGAUGCUUGGGCUUCUCGCUUCAUGCGGUUCACAUCCUCACUUCGGAUUCCCUGGUCCACUCUAUCCCAGAGUUCCCGAAGUGUACGGGGGUACUCCCGAUGGAUUUCAGUGUUGAAGAUUCCCGCCACCAAUCCGUUGGUAAAGGCCGCGAUAGUUACCUGCUCGUUCUGGUCAGGUAUCUGCACAUUCUCCUCGUUGAACCUUUGAGUAUACGAGCGAAGGGACUCGCCCUGACCCUGUUGCAGGUUCAAGAGGUAAGCUGAAGUCUUGGUUAUCGGUCGGGACGACACGAAGCGGUGGAUGAACCGGUCUAUCAGUUCAUCCAGGGAGGAAAUACUCCCCGGCUCUAAACUCCAGAACCACUUGCGGGCAGUCUCAUGUAGGAAGAUGGGGAAAGCCCGGCAUAUCACGGCGUCGGGGACGCAGUAGAGUCGGAAGGCAGAGAUGAAGGCGCGGAGGUGAUCCUCGGGGUCACCUCGGCCGUCAUAAGUGUGCAAGUUUGGGAGCUUGAAGUUCGGGGGAACCAUCUCCCCAUUGAUGUCAUCAGUAAAGGGCGGAGCCCUCAUGUACUCAGAAGCUAGGCCCCCGGGGCGCCGAGGUGGGUCCUCAGCUCGUUUCCCCAGCAGUCCCCGAGAAAACGCCCGGGAGAUGGAGGCAAGUUUAGACGUCGCCUUGGAGGAGGCGCGCCUGGAGGUACUCCGAGAGAGUCGCCCCUCAUCUGAGUCUUCACCUGAAGGUACCUCAGGGGACUUCGUCGGCCUCCUCUUGGAGGACUCGGCCUUUUCUUUCCCCUGUCUUUUGAGGUAUCUUCCUAGCUCCUCAAAAAUGGUAGGGUUGUGUGAUACGAACUCGGCCAUCUUGGCGAUGGCCUCCUCGUUGUUAGGCUGGGUCCUCGGGGACCCUUGCCCUUCAGAAAUGCGAUCUUGCUGGGCUCCCGAGGUCUGCCCAGCCCCAGUUGAGGGAACUCGACCACUUCUGGAGCGCGUGGAUCUCAUUUUAGUAAUAGUAGUCUCGUUCCCACAGACGGCGCCAAUUGAAGAGGUGAUUUUUGGUUGGUAACUAGACCGACCUGGAUCAGUCCUCUCUGAGAAGAAGUGAGGUGAACUCCUGUGUCCGAAGUGAACCUCCUUGUCCGAAGUGAGUGGCGGGGCUUCUCCCCUGGGAUCACUCCGACGAUCAAGUUAGUAUGAGAACGAGAAUAAUGAGAAUAUGAGUUAAUGAACAGUGUAGGCUUACUUGUUGGGAGUGUGUCUGGGGUAUUUAUAGAGGGAGAGUAGAGGACAGAGCGGAGGGCUUAUGCUGGUGGGACCCACCCUCUGGUCAUUACGGCUCUGUCCCGUGUCAGGAGGUCUGACUCUGACACUGUAGCUGCCUGAGCAUGAUGACGGGGAGUAUUGUGCAGGUGCCAUUAAGUGCCUCCAGUGCUUUUCAGAUAAAGCACUGGUCCUGGGUGAUGUCAGGUGGCUUGACAUCAUCAGCGUGCAGCUAAGGUGGGGGUGCCGAGGUCGGCUACACGGUAGACUAGGGACCUGGUUGAGCUCAGGGAUGAUGCCCGGGACACGGAUGAGCUCUGAUGAGGGACGAGGUGAGUUCACCUCGGCCACUCGGGAUGGCCGAGGUGAGCAUCCUCAGAGGACAAUUGAAAGCUUUGAACAGAUUUUUUUGGCAUGGCUUGUUCUCCAUUAAUGGAGAACUAAUUUCAUAUUGCUAGUCAAGGAACACUGAGGAUUUGGUUCAGCUAUCACUGUAAGAUCUAAUUGAUUUUAUUUAUCUCAUCUAUUCUUUGGUAUUUGUACGUUUUCUGCUUUAUAGAGUAUGAUUAGUGUGUGUGAUUCAAUAGGUGCACAAUAUUUAAUUAUACACGCAAUCUAUUUGCUAACUGGAAUAGUUGAAUCCGUAAUUGUUUGACUAUUAUAAUCCUGGUAGCAACUAGUAUAAUUGGGUUUGUGUCGGGGAAACGUACAAUCUAAUUUAAAUAAACUCUCGUAGCAUGUUUAUUGAUUAGAACAGGGUUUCUCUAGUUUCUAAUGCAAUUGAGGAAUUAAAUCCUAUGGUGGUACCUAGGAUUAUUUCUAAAUUAGGGUAAUAGUCAAUGGUCGUACCUUAAUCAUCGAACAGUAAAGAGAAACUGACUGUCAGAUUAUAUCAGCAGUUAAAAACUUGUUUGUUAAAGAAUGUUGGAAUUAUAACUGCAUCAAUGAUUUGUUACAUGAACCAUCUCUAAAGUGUAAUUUUGGCUAGAGUUUUCUCCAUUAAUUGUCUUCCUAUGCCUUAGUAAACUUGAAGUCGUACUAGUUUUCGUCUUCUUGAAUUUUGCAUGGUAAUGAAUACACUCCGACAUAAGAGUUUUUUGAGGGCCAAUUUCAACAUCUUUGAAGUCAUCCCAUGCUACUGAUUUUUUAAUCCUCUUUUUUUUUCCAAAAAAUGUCCAAGCCAUCAUCUGCAGCAGCCUCUUGAUUGGUUGUUUAAGUCGUUGUAUGUGUAUCACCUUCUAAUGGCUUCAUCUUCACUCCCUAAUUCUUCAUCUCCAAGAGAGAAUUCCAACUUUUUGUCAACGUUAACAGCAAUACCUUUGUCAAUGAUAUUCACCGGACUAGCAAAAUCACCAACUGAUCUAAUAAUUGGUGAAGACUGCUCUUGAUUGGGCGUAUCCAUCUUAUAUUCUUAAUUUCUUUUAGCUAUGCCAAAAGCAAAAAACAAAAAACAAAAACAAAAGGACAUGAGCAGGAUUCUUUUAGUCCCGGAAUUAGUCUAUGUAUAUUAUUAGGCAAAAACCUCUAAAAUGUUCAUAACUUCAAUAGAUGAUAUAGAACUACAGAUGUAGGGCACUAGGUGAGAAGGAAACAACAAAAAAAUUUACAAGUUCUAAUUGCAAUAUAGAACUUGCAAACUUUCAAUUUCAGAUAACAGAUUUUUUAGCUCUCAAGGAAAAAAAAUUGUUGAAUCCACAUGAAACAAUAACCAAAUACUUAACUAUUAAUUUCAUACUAGUCCAUGUUUUUAAAAAAGCAAUACUCACCAUAGCUAUAAAGAAUGAAAAGAAUUAACAAUAUUUGGAAAAACUUAUCCCAACAUCAGAAUUCGUGGAGAAAUGACAAUAAAAGUGUCCAUCAAAUUAUGCUCAAAUCCAUGUGCUAAGUAUUACACAAUAGCUUGUUGCCCUUGUUGGAUGCCUAAAUUUUAACCAAUAAUACUCCAGGAAAGACAGCUAUUGGGCUAGCCAAUCCAAGUCUAUCAUUUUCUUUCCCACUUUAAAAGAGUGAUAUUCACAUGAAAAUGUGGCAUGUGAAUUAGGACAACUUGAUUAUAUACUAUAAAUACCAGUUCUAAUCUUAAUAAGUAUUAAGUGCUUGAAUAAACUUAGCUACUACUAGUAAUAGAUAAGCUAAUGAUAAAAAAUACUACCUAUCCCUAAUUAAAAUUAAUAUCUAGUUAUAAUACUUAGCUUCUAAAGCCAAGGUCCUUGGAGCCAUUUGUCUGAGACAUUUCAGGCAAGUCAGAAUUCAGAUGCAUCUGCACGGAGCUCAUCAAUCAUCAUAGUAAAGCAAAACAACACGAGUUAAACGCCUCUCUGACUACCAAUUGCAUGAGAGUUUCUUGUUAUGUUCUUAUGCAAGAUGGUGUUAAAUGCGACAAUUAUUACUGUAGAUGCUUUUUCAAAGACCUAGACAUCAUCAAUUGCUUUAAAAAUCAUCAAUUAAAUCAUAUGCUUAAGUAGAUAAAGUACUUGUAUUAGAUGCAUCUAUGUUGUACGCUAUGGAAGAUAAACAAACAAAAAAAAUUUCAGCUAGCAUAAAAUUGAAUAGUUUCACGUAGACAAAAGUAUUGAGCAUGAGACAAGAACUUAGACAACAACUUCAUAACUAGGGAAGACAUAUAUACAAAAUUCAUAUAUUUGCAUUCAGAUAAUGAUGGAGACGGACUAAUGGAGAUCUAAAAGAGAAGAUUACAGUAAAUAAUGGCUAAAGGUGAAGUAUGAAGAAGAACAAUAUACAACAAUAAAUUAACGACAACCAAAUCUAGUUUCUUCUUGGGAUUGUUUUACCCUGCAAAGGGUAGUUUUUUAACUGGAAAGAAAUAGAAAGAAAACAAAGAAAAAAUGAGAGCUAUGAGUUUUUUUUCUUUUUGCCUGAGAAUAAUAAGCUACAGAAAACUUGUUCAUGAAAACAAGAAUUUUGGCUAGAAAAAGCUUUGAAAGGAGGGACCUGGGGAAGAAAGAAAAAAGAAAAGGAAAAAAAAAAAGAAGCUAAGUACAUACCUGCAAAAUCUAGGGAGAAAAUUGAUUUUCUCUUCAGGGGAAGAUCUAAGCCUAGCUAUGGCUGCAGAAAGUGUUAUGUUGUUGCGGAGUAACUGCAAAUUUGCAAUGUAAGAUAGGGUUGAGUGAGUGUGAAGACUUUGUUUGGGUUUUGACCGUUAGAUGAAAUGAUCUCGGGCCAGUGACUCAGGCUUCUCAAGCUCCGUCAACUCAAGCUCAGUAGCAAUCAAGUGCCGGCAGUGGACUGAUCUAAGGAUGUUAGACAUAGUAGGGAGUGGUGGAGGUGGGCUUAGUGGGUUGCACCGAAAAAAGAGCUUGGAGGUGGAGCUAGCAAAGAUAGCGGUGGCGGAAGUGGGAAUUGGGAGUUUGAGAGUUGGGACAGUCGGCAGAGAAAGAAGUUCAAAACUUCGAUCGGAUGGAGGAAGUGAGGAAUUCAGAAUUAGAUAACCUAAUAGAGAAAGUGAGAAAUAGAAGAAGUUGUAAAUUUUAAUUGAUGUAAGUGUAUUUUACUUGAGUCUAUCGAGUAGCUCAUCGAGCUAUCGAGCCGAUGAAAUGAAGGCAGGUGCUCGACUCCUUUGUUUUAAAGAACGGCUUGAGCUCGGCUCGAGCUCGUGCUUUGACUCGAACUGCUCGUGAGUUGCUCGAGUCGUCAGCAGGCCUAGUACACAUAGCCCCUAGAUUCCGAAAUUAAAAAAAUUAACAUUUCUAAAAAAUUUCAAAAUUAAUAAAAUAAAAGAUGUUUGAUGCCUCAUUUUUUUUCAAACGUAAACAACAUAUCAUAUAUCACCCAUAACAAAUUUACAUAGUUUGCUUACAAGUUUGGAGCAACUACUCCUAAUCUUCUCUAGCUAAUCUAGUUAACCAGAGAGGGAAGGAUACCUUCCAGUAAAUAUCCUUUACUAGGUUCAAGGCAAAUCUUGCCAAGCUAUGACUAACAACAUUUCCUUCCCUUCUAAUGAAAGAAAAGCAACGCUUGCUGAAUUUUUGUUUUAACAGCUUGAUAUCUUCAACCAACGUUCCAACCUUAGCAUCCCUUGUUCCUUCUUCCAAAAUCUUGUUUACUACUAUUUUGUGGUCAGAUUGUACUUCCAUAUUCAUCCAACCUCAUGCAUAGCUAUAGUUAAGGCGUUCCUGAUUGCACAGGACUCCUCCACCACAGGAUUAUUGCAACUUUCUUAAUUCCAGCCCAAGCUCUAAUGAUAUCACCAUUUUCCUUUCUAACUACUAUUCCCCAGCUGGCUUUUCCUUUCUAUAUAUCUGUUGCUGCGUCCGUGUUAAGCAUCACCACUCCUUCUGUUGAUGGUUUCCAUCUGUGUAGAUUUGUUAGGUGUAUUUCUUCUUCAACCCUUUAAUUUUCUGGUUGGCCAGCUCAUAUUCUUGCCACUCUUGCAUUGCUUUGUUAAACACCGUCCCUGGACAUUUUCUUUCCCUAUUAAAUGGAGCUUCAUUCCUUGCUUUCCAAAUCUGCCAUAUAAUAUUUACGGUCAGCACAAUGUGCUAUUUUCCAUCCUUUCUCUACUGAGCUUCCAUCAGGCUAUUACGCCAUAACCAAAAAUUAUGCGUGAAGUUCUCAAUUCCAUCCCAUUGAUCUGGUGCAGCUUUCCAUAUCAUUUCUGCUUGUUGACAGAAGAAUAACAUAUGCUCCAGUGUUUUAGUUCCCUCUCCACAACAGAAGCAAUUUUCUUCCCCAUUCCCAAUUAUCUUCUUUAUGGCUCCAUUUACUGCAAUAUCGUGUGCAUACAUUUCCAUAUAAAAUGUUUAGCUUAUGCUUCAUAUUUAGACUCCAAAUGGAUCUCCAUACCUUGGUAUUCUGCUCAUUUCUACUAUCACUCUCUACCUGUCUCCUAUUCAUUACAUGCCUAUUGCUCUUCUCUUUUUGUAGCUCCUUUGCCAAUGUAUAUCCUAUCUUUAUAGUGUACUUCCCAGAUGAUAAAAAUGGCCGCACCAAUCUAUCCUUACUGUUGCAAAUGCUAAUAAGGAUGUGCAUGAUACUUUUGUAGUCCUCCUCAUUAAAAAUGGACCUAAUGAGCUCCAUAUUCCACUCCCCAUCCUAAAUAAGAUCACUUACUCUUUGUAUAGGAUAAUCAGAGGGCUUAACUGUAGUAGCCAUUCCCUUUCCUCUAUCAAUGAUCCACCUAUCUUUGUAUACAUCAAUUGUAUGCCCAUCCCCAACUCUUUUCCUUGCCCCCUUCUAGUAACUCUUUUGCACUGAGAAAACUCUUCCAUAUCCAGGAAUCACUCUCAUUAAUUUUCGUUUUUCCAGAUUGACUCCCCCCUAACGUACCUUCCCUUUAGUAUCCUACUUAUCAUCAGGCUUGGCCUAGUUAAAAUCCUCCAUAACUGCCUUGCUAGCAUUGUAGUAUUAAACUCCAUUAAAUCCCUAAAGCCCAAUCCCCGUUUUCCUUUGACAUCUGUAAGUCUCUCCCAGCCUAACCAAUGAAUUUUCCUUCUUUUUUCUUCUCCCCCCCCAAAAAACUUAGCCAUUUCCUUACAUAUAUUAACACGUAUUCCAUUUGGUAGUCUAACACAAUCUAUUGCAUGUGUAGGCAUUGCCAGUAUGACAAAUUUUAGCAUUACUUCCUUUCCAGCUGGACUUAACUGUUUCUCCUUCCACCCCUUCAACCUAUUCAUCACUUUCUCCUUUAUAUAGCUAAACAACUGCUUUUUUGACCUUCCUAUUACUACUGGUAAACCCAAGUACCUGCUCAGUUGGACUUGCUGCAUUUCUUCUAGCACUUCCAGCACCUCUCCUUUUUUAUCCUCUCUCAUAUUUUUCCAAAAAACACAGAUGAUUUAUCAGUAUUGAUCACUUGGCCAGAUGCCUUUGAGUAGGUCUUCAAAAUCUGCAACAUCUGUAAUGCUUCCUCCUUUGUUGCUUUGCAGAGAAUUAGAAUAUCAUCUGCAAAAAUCAAAUAACAGACAGUCAAGCAUUCCUUCGCUAUUUUCAAUCCAGAAAUUUUUUGACAUUGCGUAGCAUGCUUAAGUAGGCUAGAUAAACCUUCAGUGACUAUCACAAACAGGUAAGGGGAUAGUAGAUCCCCUUGUCUGAGUCCCUUCUCAAGUCUUACAUACCCCAUUUUUUCCCAUUAAUAUGAAAGGAAUAGUUAACAAAGGACACACAUUUCAUUACCCACCGAAUCCACAUAGGACAUCUAUUCAACUCUAUCAUAAGCUUUGGACAUGUCCAACUUAAGAGCCAUAUGCAUAAUUUUCCCUGUUCUUUUAGUAUUCAGGUGAUGAAACACCUCAUGAGCAAUUAUCACAUUAUCUUGAAUCUGCCUACCAGGUAUGAAAGUUGAUUGAUUCAGACUAAUACAGUGCUGAAGUAAAGGCUUGACUCUAUUGACCAAGACUUUUGCAAUGAUUCUAUAAACUACAUUACGCAGACUUAUAAGCUUAAAUUGUGACACCAACACUGGAAACUCAGUCUUUGGAGUUAAAGUAAUAAUGGUUCAUUUAUAGAUGUCAGAAAGUUAUCAGCAUAGAAGAAGCUAAAUAUUGCAGUAGUUAGAGCAUGUUUAAUAAUAUUCUAGAAUCUUUGGAAGAAAAUUGGUGUCAUACCAUCAGGUCCAGGUGCCUUGAUAGGAUACAAAGAGAAAAUUGCCUUUCUGAUCUCCCAUUUUGUCACAGGUCUAGUUAAUCUCAAGUUCAUCUGACUGGUAAUAGUCUGAGGAAUUCCUUCAAGGAUUACAUCAAAUUGGCUUGGCUAUGAGGAUUCAAACAGAUUGCCAUAAUAGUUUGUUACUUCCUCCUCCAUUCCAAACUCAACACUACACCAAUUUCCAUCCUGCUUCUAGAGUAUAGAGAUCUUAUUUGUUCUUCUUCUAUUCUCAACCACUGCAUGAAACUAGCUUGUAUUUUUAUCACCUUCCUGAAGCCACUUUACCAUAGCUUUCUGUCCCCAGUACACUUCCUCCUUCUUGUAAGCAUUAGCAAGUUGUCUCUGCAAGAUACUGGUGUCCUCUUUCCUAUUGGGUCCCACUACCUUCCUAGUAUCUUGAAUUUUCUGCUUUAAUUCUGCAAUGUCCUUCUUAGCAUUUCCUUUAAGCUUUUUAUUCCAUCUCAUGAGUUCAAAGCUACAUUCUUUGAUUUUGUUUUGAAGUCUAAAAAAUCUGGAUCCCUUUUGCUUUUUCCCCCAUGCUUUUUUAAUAACCCCCCAACUUCGAUAUAUUCAAACCAUUUUCUAUCAAAAUAGAAUCUCUUUUUCCAAUUUCUUCUUUUUGGUUCAGUUUCUAACAACAGCAUACAGUGAUCUGAUGGUUCAAUAUGGAUGUGAGUGCAUUUUGCCCUGUCAUAAGCCUCCUUCCAUCCAUUAUCAGUCAAUAUCCUGUCCAGUCAUUCUUUUACCUCAUCACCUUUAUUCCACUUAUUACGCUAGGUCCAUGGUUUCCCAUCAAAUCCCAAAUUUAAAAGUUGAUUUUUUCUGAUAAAGUUUUGGAACAUCUAAAACUAGACUCAAGCCUCUUAUUACCUCCCCAGUUCUCAGCAUUUGAUAGAAUACCAUUCAUAUCUCCUACUAAAAUCCAGUUAUCCCCCCAAAUACCUUUCCUUUGGCUAAUAAUGUCUCGCUAUUUUUCUCUAACCAGGUCACCUGAGCUGGCAUAUGCCUAUGAUCCACCACUUGAAAUUUUUUUCUUUGGUCAUCUAUCUGUAAUUCAAUAGUAAAAUCAGUAUAGCACUUUGUCCACCUUAAUAUCAUUUCUCCACAUAACAGCUAAGCCUCCAACCUUCCCUCUUGGGUCCACCACAAAUAAUUUAUCAAACCUAAGUUUCAUCUUCACCUUGUUUAUAACACAUUUUUUAUUUUUAGUUUCAAAUAAAAGAAAUUAAAUCUGGGGAGUGGAGUUUAACUAUCUCUUCUUGUCACGCCCCAUUUUUUGAUAAAUAAAUAAAUUCAAUUUGUGAUUAGAAAAUGAAUUGUGAUUUAAAAGAAAAAUGGGUCUAAAUGGGGGGUUGAGAAUGCGACGAUUUGACCCAAAAUUAUAGUUUAAAAAGGGUUUUUGAAAUAAAAAUUGGAGUCGCCACUUGGUAAUGAGUUAAGGUGUACCAAGUCAUCAAAAAAUGAAUUUUUAAAGAAAAAAUAGGAAAAAGUAGUAAGAAACCCCUUUUAAACGACUCCUAGUCCACGUAAACCAAAGAAAAGGUUCGGGAGUCACAUUUGACAAAGGGGAAGGCAAGGAUAAAAUCCAGGCACCCCUUUGACCUAGCCAAGGCUAGUUGCAUGAUUUAAUCAAAGAUUUUCUUGUUUUAACCAAAGAAUUUAUUACAUUUGGAUGCACUACAUGAAUGCAAACCCUAGACCUAGGGGUAUUGGGGGAAAUUUCUCUUCAAAGGUUGAGUGGUGCCAAUCACAUUAAUUGUGAAGCCCAAACUUUGAAGAAGUCACGAAUAAUGCGAGUGGGAUGCAAAUGAAUGGAAUGCAUGUAUGCAAUGUGAGGACAUGAGUUUGAAAAAGUAAUAAAAAACAAUAAAUAUGUAAAUGAAAAUGUGCACGUGAGUGGGCAAGGUACGGUAUGUGAAAUGAUAAUAUGAAGUGCAUGUGUGCAAGUGAUGAUAAAGUGUUCGUGUGCAAGUGAAGAAACAUAAAGGUGCACGUGUGCAAAAUGGGAGGAAAAAUGAAAGUGUGAUGAGGGUAUAAAAUGAUAGAGUGGAUUUAAAAAUGCAUGAGCCUAGGGAAUUCAUGCAUAUUGGGUACGGGGAGACCUGAAUCGUGACUCAAUUUGCCCUUUUAUAGAGGGAAUACAAGCGUGCUAAGGCUUAGAAAAAGCCACACUCGUCUAUAUCCCAUAUUUAAGGGGACUCUCAAGCAAAUGAACCCUAUAACUAGCAUGAAAUGCAAAAAUCCUAAAAUGGAGGGAAAAGGGGUUCGAGGGGCAUGCAAAAUGAUAAAACUAAAAAAAUGCAUGACAUUUAAUGAACAUGCAAACAUAUACUAACGAAGGGAAAUCCCUAAAGGUCUAGCGUUGGACUAGCCCAUUCUAUGAAUUCCGACUAGCGUUGGACUAGCGGAAACAUACAUUCAUCCAUCACAUUCAUUUAUGGCUAUGGAAAGCGAGUAGACAUGCCAAACACUCAUAAACACAUAGCACAUAACAUUUAGCAUGCUCGACUAGAUGCAAGGCCCUAACAAAGCAAAUUAACACGUAGCAACUAAGCAUGCAAGACACAUAAGACAAUUAAAGCCCUAACUAUUACAUUUGCUAGCUAGGCACAUGACUUCGAUAGGUCUUCAUUGAAUGCUCCUCCAAGCCCUAUCUAUUACAUUAGGGAGACCCUACUACAAUCUAAAAGGGGGAAAAGGAAUAAAAUAAUUAAAUCCCUAACUAUUACAAGCCAAGAGGUGUACACAUACCCCAUAAAGAAUAACUUAAAUAAAAAAGCAAAAGUAAAUGACAUAAAUAAAAGAAAUUAAGGAAAGGCAAGGGAAGCAAGUAGACAUGCAAUUUUCACUUAGCACAUUGGAUCACAUAGUGGAGAGACAAAAGGAUAAAAGAAAAGUUAUACCUCCUUCGCGAUGGUAAUCAAAUGAAGUAAAAAUGGCUUCAAAACAAUAAAAAGGUCAAGGUACCACUUUAUUUAAGAAAAAUUAAAAGGAAUAUGCAAAACAAAGCUUACUUGAUCAUAAAGUCCCUAAAGUCAUGACUUAAGCGCAAUUGAAACAAAGCAUGGUAGUUAAUUGAAGCAAACAAGCAAUGAAGUUGCACAAACUAAAACUACCAAGGAUCAAAUUGAGGAGAUUAUUCAAUUGAUUGGGUCAUAGCAGCAUUAGUUAGAAAUCAAGGGGUCAAAAUGCAAUUUUUUUUGAAAUCAUUUUCAUGCAAAAGCAUGCAAACAACGUUGAAGCUUAGGCUUCUGUACUAAAAUGCUGCAUUUUCAAACACAAGCUUUGGACUUCAGCACACCAUCUUUAACCAAACCUUUCACCCAAACAAAAUCAUUACUUCAACACACAUAAAUACCAUAAUCCAAUGAGCAAUGAGCAUGGAAAGAAGCCACGCAAACUUUUUAAACCUUUCAUGCAGGUUCGGAUGAAGCUACUGCAACAGACAACUUGCUGCACUUCUAAGCUUUUAGACGCAAGUUCCAUACAAAACUUUAAACAAAGCCAGCAAAAACCAUUGCUCAAAAACACUUUAUCAACUCAGAUUCAAAUAACUCCACAAAUUCUCAGCUCAAUCCUGGUUGUUCAGGUUUAAUGAAUCCUUCAGAUAGACCCCAAACCAGGUAAACAAAGAUAAAACAGCAAAAUGCAGCAAAGGAAAAGUGAAACCUGCGCAAGCUGCUGCAACAGGGUCGAGAGCUCUGAGCUUGUUGCAGCAGAUUUUAUGCGCAACUCUAAGCAUUCUUGAAGUUCGACAAACAGGCUUAUCAGACAAUUUCCAAACCUUGUGAGUGGUCUUAAGACAUCAAAAACUGUUUUUCAAAGCAUUAAAACAAACGGAAACUGAAAUGAACAGCAGAUUUAAAGGAAUUAAUGCGAUCGAGUUUCCAUCGAGUUUCACUACGCGAGUGCCAAGGGACUAGUUCGACAACCUACUGCUGCAAUUCGGGAUUUCUAAAUGCAAUCUUUUUGUUCGGACAAGAUUAAUGACUUAACUCACAAGUGCUUGGCCUGAAGUAACAAGGUUACCUAACAUUUUCCAUUUUUCCUUCAAUGUAAGAUGAGACAGCAAGCACGCACAACCUGGACUGAACAUUUUCUCAUGCAAGCAUUCGAACUAUUUCUGCAAUUUCAUUUGCUGCUACGAACCAUAACAGCAGAAAUUCUACCCUAAAGGUCAACAUCAAGAAUUCAAACUCACUUCUCAACGAAAUCUAAUGACCGAACACUUCACAGGCAAGAUUAAAACACUACAGGCAAACAAGGAAACACAUAAAUCAGCAAGCAACUACAAGCAUUAGCAGCGACAAAACCACAAAACACAAAAACAACUCAAGAACCCAACUCAACCUCGAAGGAAUAUGAUAGAGCCUAGGAAUUAGUUUAAGAAGAUACCUGAGGAAGCUUUUGGAACGAAAACAGAGCAGGGAAAAAACGUGAAGUAGGCGCUGAAGUUGCUCCGUCGCAGCUUCGAACCCGCACCAAUGAAGCCAGGCAGCAGUCUUUGGGAGCAGAUUCGAAGACUUUACCAAUGUCCUCUGCGAUCGAUCUCUGAACAAAAUCUUCUCCCCUUACUUCCUAGUUGAUGCAGAACUCGAAUUUUUCUUGAAAUCAUCAAAAACUGAAGAGAUAUGAGGGCUGAAACAUAGCUGAUAAUCAGCUUUUGUUGAAAAAAAGGUUGCAGCUUUUCAUUUUUUCUUUCCCGGAUCCGUCUCUUUUGUUCUCUCCUCAAAGACCCUCGCCGUUACUCUCUACUCCCCUUCCUGAUUUCUCCCUUUCCUUUUCUUUAUCUCACGGUGGUUCUUACCCAAACCUAGCCGUCACCUUCUCCUUUUCUUUCCAGAUUUUUCAGUUUUCUCUGAUCUUGCUCAGACUUUUUGACGCUGGCUCUCUCCCUCAAUCUUCUCAGCCCUUUCCGUUAAAAGCCUCUCCUGGUUUCUCCCAGUUUUUUCAAUCUUAGCCGUCACUCUUUUGUUUUUCCUCUGCCGUCAGUCCCUCUGCCUCUUCCUUCCUUCGCCGCCUCCCUCACUUCUUUCGGUUCUUUUCCUUUCUUUAGCCGCUCCCCCGUAACCUCUCUCUCUAUUUGCGGCUGUCCACCCUUUUGCUAUUUAUAUGGGAACUUCCAACCCUAAAACAACUCAGUCCUCUUUCCAUAUUUGCAGCCAGGGGCUGCCCCAAUACUUCCUUGCAAGUUACGACAAAACGCAGCCUGCAUGCCGCAAGACCCUUUUUUUUUUUUAACUAUUAAUACAAAAAUUAAUAAAAUAUAAAUAAUAACAAAAUAACAGAAUUGACAAAAACCAGGUAAUAAUAAUAAUAGUAAUGAACACAAUUUGAAACAACUAAACAAAGUGGCCAUUGUCAAACUUUUCUACAUUUUUCUUUUUCUUCUUUUUUCUUUUCCAUUGUUUUUUCUUUUCUCAUUUUUUCAUGAUUUUCCUUUUUCUCUUUUUUUCAUGAUUUUCCUUUUUUCAUUUUUCUUUCGAAGAAAUUCUAUGCUAAAACUUAAAAAUAAAACUAUAAACUAAAAACUAAAAAUCGAAUAAAACUAACAUGACAAAUAAAACUAAAAAUAAACAGUAAAUGAAAUUACACCAAAAAUUUGGUAUCUACACCUCUAAUUGGGGAAUUAUCAAAGGGCCCCGCACACCUCUACAAUUCCACACCAGUACAUUUAUUGACAACUUGGAGCCCUUUUUAGGUAGGACUCCACCACCUUCAGAUUACUCUCAUGUUCUUCCCAAUAAACACUCCCUUUGAUCCUCUUAGUUUGACUAUCUACUUCCAUUCCCUCACUAUUGACACCAUCCUCAACUACCACUUUUCUUUUUACUAUCUCCUUUGCCCCAAUAAUUCUUGCAGUACAAUCUGCUAAAGGCUUCAUAUUCCCUAUUUCUUUCACUAGUAUUUUCCAUCCUAUAUUCCCUUUCUAUUUUCCUUUCUUAUUCUCUUUCCCAAUUCCAUCUUGUCCACCCUCUUUAGCUUCCAACAGGCUUCCUGAUUUUUCCCUCGCACCUGCCUUUCCAUUCUGUGAUCAUUACUUCCAUCUAUCCACAUAUUGUCCUCCUGCCCUACUUCCCCUAUCUCUUCCUCAACUCCCUCAAUACCCUUUCUCACAAUAUCCGUCAUUUCCUUUUGCUUCCCCUCACUGCCCUUUUGAGAUUUCCCAGUGUCCUCUUCCCCUUUCUCCCAAAAAUCAUUUUUACCCAUUACAACAUAGUUUUCCUCUCUCAUUUGCUCCUCCCUAAUGAUCUAACCACUAUUUCCUUUAACUCUAGCCCCAUCAUCCUCAUUGUCCUCCCUAUUUCUACCUUCAUUCUCUUCUUUUUUCCCCCUCAUUAUCUUUCCAAGUUAUCAUCGAUCAUUUUAUGUCCCCAUUUUCAUUUUGUGUAUUGCUUGCUAUUUCAUUUGGAUCAUCCUCAUGCUGUCCAGAUCUACCCUGUUUCUUAGUAGGACUUUUAGGAUUGCUAGCCUUUAAUGAAGUUCCAAAUUGAGGUUCCUUUCCCAUAUGGGUUCCUUUCUCUUUACAGUUUCUCUAAGUAUGCCUCAUAACGCCAUAGUUAAAGCAGAAAUUAGGAUACCUUUCAUACUUAAAUUCCACCCAUUUAAUUAUACCGUUCAUUUUAACCAGAUUUCCCCUCAGCAUUGGUUAAUUCGGGUCAACUUCAAUUAAGAUUUUCAAUGUUUUCCCUUUUUAGUCCCACUAUUUGGUACAAUAACUUCCUUCACAGACAGAAAUACACUUCCAAUUUUUCUUCCCGUGUCUUUUGUAAUCCAAUGUAAGGGAGAUUCCAGAUUUGUACCCAUAUCCAAGUUUUGUCGAAAGCAUUUUGAUCGAUUUCCAGCCCCUCCUUCCAUGAAAGUAUUACUAACGGCAAAUUAUCAUAAACCAAUGGUCUACUAUUUAACGCUCUAUCUUUAUCCUGCAUAUUAGCAAACACAAACUGGAACAUAUUUACCCCAAUUUCCAUCACCUUUAAGUUUUUUGGAAAUAUGCAUUUUACUUGUGAAGAUUCACAUACCUGCAAUUAGGCGAGCGGCUCGAGUCGAGCUCGAGUUGGCUAAAUUGAAUUCGAGCUCGAAUUCGAGUUUAAAAUAUUAAACUCUCGUGAGUUCGAGUACAUAUAUAUCAUUUUAUUUUUUAUUUUAAUAGUAAAAUUACAUAUAUAUCCCUAAUAUUUUAUUAUUUAUUAAGAAAAAAUAAUUAUUUAUUUUUUUAUUAGAAUAAUUUCCAAAAACUCGAGCUAACGAGCUGCUCACAAGUCAGAAAUUCGAACUACAUUAUGAGCUAACAAUUCGAUCAGCUCGUGAGCCUUAUCGACUCGAGUUCAAGCCUGACUUCUCUUUAGUCGAGUUGAGCUCGAACUCAAUUUUCUUGGUUCAUCGAGCUCGAGCUCAAACUUGAGCCUACCUGUUAUUAAGUCGAGUUCUGUCGAUAAGUCCAAAACUCGACUUGACUCGGCUCAUUUGCAGUCCUACCUGCAAUGUUCGCCGUUUUUCCUCCUACAACUUUUCCAAUAGUGCUUCUCUUACACUCUUCUAGACAGUGCGAGACAUCUUCUCUUUCCACCUAGAUCCCUGCUACUUCCUUUUCCGACAAAGCAAACUUCCUCAUAAUUUCCUCUAGCUUAUCUGCCAUUUUAUUUAAUCCUUAUCAGUUUCCUAUAGAUCUUACCUAUCGGAUAGCCCCUGUUAACUACCUGUAAAUCAGAGACAGAUCAGAAAAAUAGUAGAUCUUUAACACGCACACAACCCACACUACCGCAUCAACACUAUCGCUACUGAAAGCAACUACUGAAAUAGAAACUAAAGACACAGAAUACAGGCUUGGUGGUCUACUGGCUAAGAUCUGAGCUGAAAGUCGUCAACAAUGAUAGAGGCCGAAAGACACAAAGAGAUUUGGGUUAGACUUUGAGCUGAAUGCACUGCAAAAAAGGAUGAGAAAUCGAAAGAAAAAGACAAACUACGAAGAGGCUGAUGACAGUAUCAGUCUGGUUCAACAAGCUUCCUUUCCUUCAACAGAUCCAUGAUAUUGCUAGUAAAAGCUCAAGAGUGUUAAGACAGGAUUUGAAAUCGAAGGCUAAAUUUAUGUGCUUCUGCCUUAAAUUUAGAGUCUGGAUAUGUUGCCAAGAACGAAGGUACGGAAACUUUGGAGUUUGAAAUAUUUGAAAACACCCACAAGGGGGAAAUUCGCUCCCAAGCUAGAGAGAGAAAAUGCUCUCAAGAAGAGAGAUAAUCCUAUGUUGGGGGGGGAGGGGUGCCUCAGGUUAGUGGUGCCAAUUUUUGCCGAUUUUAGUCCCCCUAGAUGAAGAAAAGACCCAUCACUUCCCUUAUUUUGUCGAUUUUUUUAACAAUACUCUAAGAAAUAUUAUCUUAUUAGAGUAUUAGGGAUGCAGAGAAUACUUGGAAUAUUAUCCUAUUAGAUUACUGUUUCUAAUUCAUUUGCAAGUACUUGCUUCAUGAAAAAUUUCAUGUUAGGCUUAGAGCAACCAUCAGUAUUCAACUUUAAAAUACCACCACCUCGCCUGAGCCACUUAACCAAUUUCAAGCUGCUAUUAACAGACAUUCCAAAAACUUCAUCAUAGAAAUCAAACCCAAAACCCACCAAGCAUUAGCAGAAUGAAAGUGCAAAUUAUAUAAUUCCCUCAAGUAAGAAAACACCAAGGAACAAAUCGCCUGAGGAGAUAAACACUUCCCUUCAAACACUGCCAAGUUCUAGAAUUUCGAUAGAUGCCCGCAUAUCAACAAAGGAAGAAGAUGAGGAAUAAAUUCCAGAAACUUAUGCCACCUAGGACCAUACCACAAGCCACCAGUAUAAGCGCGAACGGAGGGACCUAAAUUAACCACUCCACACACUGAACCAAAAAAAUUCCAAACCCAUGAAGCAGUUUCACCCGAGCAAAACACAUAAUCCAACGACUCUAUAUCAGGGUUUACACUGCAAAAACACCUACAAGGAAGGUGAAAAACCAAUUUGCAAAGAGCGGAAUCUAACGGCAACCGAUCUCUCAACAUCCGGAGCGCAUAGAAAGAAAUUUUAAUAGGCAAUCUAGCAUGCCAAAUCCGCGUAUACAUGGAUGAAUGACUAGAAUGUAAUUUCGCUAUUGAAAAAGCGGGCUUAAGGAAAUCAAACCUGAUUGGUCGGGCAACCAAUUCAUCUUAUCUUGCAAGUCCAAAGCUGAUGGAGCUGAACAAGUAAUUUCCUAAACAAAAUCCGGAGGAAGCCAUUGAUUCAGCAAUUCAAGAUUUCAAGCUCCAUUAUUGCAAAAGUCCCGAAUACAAUGAUCAGAAAUACUAUCCAAACAACCAGCCAGUGCUCCCGUCCCCAACCAAUUAUCAAACCCGAAACUAGAAUUUCCCGAGCGAACAAUCCAACCAAUGUGGAACUCAGCCUGCUCUCUUACUUGCAACAUUCUCUUCCAUGCAUAUGAACUUCGAGGAACUAAAUCUACCAUAUAUAUAUUAAGGCUUCAUUAUUCAUCAUUAAGGCUUUGCGAGAACUAGUUACAGCUCAUUUUGCAGCAAUUUACGCAAAAAAAAAAAAAAAAAAUAGCAGUGGCCGUUUUUGAAAUUGAAUUGGUUAACUGUCGCAUUGUGACAAGACCUGUUCAUUGUCUGUUCUUCUGUCAAAGAAGAUAUCUGGGUCCGCCUGCUUGCUCACUUCAUACACAUUUCCACUCAAAGUACAAAACUACAGCUUCUAGUUAUUUUGGAUUUUAUUAGAGUGAGAAAGCAUAUCGAGCUCCAGCACCGUAUUGUAGUUAACAAAAGCUAUCAACAUUUGUUCUUGUGGUCCUUUCGAUUGUUCGUACAAUUAAAUUGGAGGUUACACGGUUCAUGAAACGACAGAUCUACUCAAUGUUAAAGAUUUUCUUCUAGACAAGCUGUUGAAACGGGUUUUAUAGCUGCAGAAAAUGCACAAUUAAUGCUUCCCUAUUUACAUUUGACAGGAAGCUACCUCAAAAUUUUCCAAUUGAAAGCUUCUAGUGUGCAAAGUGGGGGAUUUUCUUCCCACCGACGGAAGGCAGAAGGACUAUAAUCAAAGAAAACACAGCUUGGGACCAUUGUCAAAGGCCUUUGAAUCCAACUGAGUAAGGCAACGGCCAGCUGUGGCACAGGGCUGGGGUAAAUUAUGUAGUAAAAAAUGUGGGAUAUUUUAAAGGAUUGAACGGCAAAUAUGGAUAUAUAUUCGACAGGGAUCGGUAAAUUAACCAUCAUGAUCAUCGAUGUAAAUGCACAAAAGGGAAAAAAGCCAAAUAACUAGUACACAAAAAGACAGAAAUUCCAAGCAAGGUGGAAAAGACAGAACACAUGCACGGAAGAAAACGGCGGUGGAAAAUGAAUGGAUAUGACAAAUGAGAUGGUGUGAACGGAAGUUUAGUUCCCACGAUGCAUGCCUUUUUUGAACAUGAAUCCGAUGACAAUAAUUUUCCAAAUUCUAAUACUGUCGGUGAAAACUACCCAAGUAACUAUAAUUUUCGUAGGUGAGGAAAAAUUAAAUCCUUUUAAUAAUAGGGUGCAAAAGGAAUUUAAAAGGUGAAAAUUGUGUAUUAACAACCCAUAGUGAUGCCCCCAAUUAUUAGAUAGAUGGUAUAAAAAAGAUGACUCUAAAUUAAAUUGAUAGCAUAUACACUAAUCAUGUCGAUGCAUGUCACAUGUGCAAAACUUGAAAUUUAAAUUAUUUGUCAUACUUAUAGACCUACUAGGAUAUACACUACAAAUGGAGGAAAAGAUUAAUUUAUACAAGGAAAAACCCUAUUUUAUAAAAUGUGACAAUUUUUUGGUUUAACAAAUUUUAUAGGAUUCUCAUUCCACAAGGUUUGAUUUUUUGGUUUUUUCCUAUUUUCCUUGCUGCUACUCUAUAUAUAUUAGAGGGCAGGUUUUUGAUAAGGAGCCUUCACAAGCAUCAGAAAUAUAAAUCUCUUUUUACUGCAAUUUUAGAUUUAUUUUAAUAUAAUAAUCCUUAUUGCUUCUCUUUAUGCCUUUUUCACUUUCCAAUUUACGUGACCGACAAACCCACAAAAUCAAAACUUCAAAAUUUUAACGGGCAAAUUCCACUUUACCCCCUGUGGUUUAACGUUUUUUUACAUAACCCUUCUAUGGUUUCAAAAGCUAUACAUAACCCCCUUAUGAUUUGGAUUAAAGUGUCAAAGUGACGGGAAUGACCAUUUGUAACGGAGUCACCUAAAAUGUCAAAAAUACCCUUAUGUAAAGUUAAAAAUUAUUUAUUAACCAAAGGGGGUUAUGUGUAUAUUUUGAAAAUCAUAAGGGAGUUAUAUGGUAAAAUAUUAAACUAUAAGGGGGUUAUAUAGUAAAAUAUAAAAAUCAUACGGGGUUAAUGUGUCAUAUAUUUAUAAGGGUAAUUUCGACAUUUUUAGAAGUUUCGUUAUAAGUGACUAUUUCCGUCAUUUUGACACUUUAAUCCAAACCAUGAGGGGAUUAUGUAUAGCUUUUAAAAUCAUAUGGGGGUUAUGUAAAAAAUGCUAAACCGCAGGGGGAUAAAAUGUAAUUUGCCCAAAUUUUAACUUACAGAUGACCCACUAACUCACAAAAUCAAAACUCCAAAAUUUUAACAAAUAGAUAAUCAUCACCCUACAAAAUCACAUUUGCAAAUUCCAUAACAUAUUUUACUCUCAUAAUCAUUCAAAAGACUGACAAUCACUAACCCAAUUUCAUUUGUGAUCUACACCAAUCAAAUACUGUGAGAAACAAAAAAAAAAAAAAGAACAAGAAUAUGCAUCAUACUCUCAUCAUGGACGAAUCUCACCUGCGAACAUUUCAGUGGCGUCUCAAUUCCAAAUUUGCAAGAUUGCAAAGAAGAAACCAACUAAUCACAAAACGAAACCCACACCGAAGUGAUCCUAUUGAAAUAUUUCAAAAGCUUCAACAAGUUUACUUCGAAGAAAAAACAAGUCUUUCUGUACAGUUUUUUAUAGUACGAAUUUCAUAAAAUUCAACUGCUUCAAUCAAACCAUCAAAAUUGGCUUUCGUACUAAAGAUUGAUUUGUGUGAAAAAUGUUUGUACUUUCAUACAAGAUUAUCAAAUCAAAUGCAUAAUGUUUGUAAAUAUUUAAUUUUGAUAUCAAAUAAAACAUGCAAUUAUGUUCAUUUCUAUUCAUAUGGCAUUCAUUUUCUAAUAUAAAUUUCUAUUAUUAUUUUAUGAUCCAUCUUCUGCAAAAAUAUAGUUCUUAAAUAAUGUACGCAUUUUAUUAUUCUUUGAAUUAUUGCUAGACAAAUCUUAAAUUUUAAUUAUAUUGCUACAAUUGUUUUUUACUUUUUUUUACUUCAUUCUUUUUUUUAUUUCUUUUAAUAACAUUAACACCAUGCGUAGCACAGAUAUUCACACUAGUUUUGUUUGUAUUUUUUUCCUUGUUUCCUCCAUUUUUUGGGUUACUCUAUAUUUUCAUUCAACCAAUCCUACUCAUUUGUAAUUUCACUUUCGCGAAUCACUGGUUACCAAUGUCCAUGCGAACCAAUAACAUGAUAUUGGGUUAACUUUCUUUCUAACCUUUACUUCCAAAGAGAACCAAUAUUUUUAACAUAACAUCGUGUUUAUAUCGUGAAUCUUUUAUUAACAAGCAAAUUUUUCAUCGGCUAAAUGCUACAAACUCGUCAAUUGUUCGUACUCCACUAUUUAAUUAUUCAUAUGAUGAUUCAUACUGCUCCUCCACUAUGUUAUCAUAGAAUUCUUCUUUGUCUAGUAGACGAAUCUAUAUGUGUACAUCUGAAAGUUGUUAUUUCAAUCAAAUGUUUUCUCUUUCCUACUUGACAUUGCCGGUUGGACAGAAUUAAAGGGUUAUGGGUUAUUUAGGUUUUACUGAUUAAUGAAUCCUACUUAGAUUAUAUUAUAUGUUUAAAAAUUAUCUCUAAUUUUAUAAUAACUUUAAAAAAACUAAUAUUUUUAAUAAUAUCUACUUUCUGUCAAAUUAUUAUAUAAAACUGUGGUAAAAUCUCUUUUUUCAAGUCACAAUUGUUGAAAUCUUAUAUAUCUCAUAAAUUACUUUCUUUCACUACCAUUUCAUUGAUUAGUAUUUCAAAGUGUUCAUCAUCUCUUCCAUUAUUGCUACUAUCUUAAAAAAUACAAAAUUUAAAACGUCAUCUCUAUCAACUAAAAUUUCUCAUUGUUCCCUUUAAAUAUACUUAAACAACAGGUCUUUUUCGGUUGAAAUUUUACCUCAUUGAGAAGAUAUCAGCUUUCCUUCUUUGUGUUCACUUGCUAAAGUUUGUGUAUGUUAAUUCUAAAGUUUGUACAUGUAUAUAUCAUUGGUGAUUUUUUUUGUAAUUAUUAAAGUUUUAAUUAAAUACCUAUCAUGGUUUAUUUUAGCACCUAUUUGACCAAUUUCUUUGUUAUGAAUACACAUAUCCUGUGAAAAUUUGAGAUUGGUAUGUUGUCCUAAUGCAUCCAAUUUUUUCCUUAUUCUAGUACAAAUAUGGGGAACAAAAGAAAGAAGUUUAAAUAAGGUUGAAUUAAAUCAAUAGUUUUCAAUUGCAUUUGAUGACUUUGUUUGUUUUAAUGUUUUGUGGUGUUAUGCAAGCAAAAAUUUCAUUUUUGUCAAGUGGUCAUCUCCUCUAUGUACCUUUUGUAGUUUAAGUUCAUAUUCAUGCGUGGAAACUAAAAUUCCUGUGUUCCUCCAAUUGCAAGAGCAGGAGUCAUUUACCAGGAUCACGAAUUGUAGAGGACAUAAAAUUCCAAGAUCAUGAAAAGAAAUAGGGGUGGUUUAUCGAAAUUAUGAAUCGCAGAUGACAUAAAUUUCUAAAAUCAUGAAUUUCAUUUUUUGCAGAGGACAUACAAUUCUAGGGAUUCAAAUACGCAACCUUGCCACUUGCUAAAUCUUCAACUAAACAUCAGUUCGGGAAGGAUCUCAUCAAAUAUCAUUCAAGCCUUCAUUUGGUGUUUUAUUAUUUUGUUGUUAUACUUCCUCUCCCUUAUAACAAUAUCAUUUUUAUCCAUAUGAACUAACUUGGUGCAAAAAAGAAAAUUAAUUGUUACACCGAUAGAUUUAUCAAUAUUGUUAAAAACUGAAUAUUUGUUAAUGAAGAAAAAUGGAAUGUUAGAUUUUUUUUUCUACUUAAUUAAAUGUGAAUAUAUAGCUCUAGCUUUAUGGUCAUUAUAAAAUUUUAAUUAUCUAAAAGAAUAUUUAUAAAAAAGAAAUAUCUACCAAGUUUUUUAUAUGGGGUACAUUAUUUGAUGUAUAUUACGAUAUUAUAGUAGAAGUAUGUAAAGAAAUUUUUAAAAAUUAGUAAAUAAUUGAAAUUUUAAAAUACAUUAAUUUUUUUAAAGUUAAUAUGAAUGAACAUGUAGGAUCGCUAUUAAUUUUUGUAUUUAAAUUAUUUAUAUUUAUACAAAUUCACAAUAAAUAAAUAAAAAAAGUCCGUGUUAAGACAUGGACAAAAUUCUAGUAUUUCAUUGGUUCUUACAUUAUGUUUUUAAUGAGAAUUUUACUCUUGUAAGAAACAUUAUCUGUUCCCUGUAUUAUUUAGAUAUGAUGAUACUCUCCGUUUAUUUGUGUUCCCUUUUAUCAAAUGUCCAUCAUAGGGAAUUUUUAGUGUUAAUUCCAUACUAUUUUUUUGAUACGAAAAAAGUUUAAGUAAAUUUGACUCUGGUCAUCACCACAUAUUAGAAUGUGCUCCUGAUACCAUAGGUCACUUACAAGAGUUUUUACAUAUCAUUUACCAACAGCCCCAGGGCAUCCAUAUGGAAACAUAAUUUUGAUCCAACUACUUAAAUCUUGGUCCCAACAUCAACAUUUAUUGCUUUCGUUAAUUGUCACAUAUGUAAUUACAUAUAAAUUCCUUAUUCUUCCAUUUAUAUUUACACUCCACAUCAAUUAUCCUUCUAGAACACUUAUUGGUCCUUUGUUUGUGAUCAUUAGUGUAGUUUUGUUGCUUAUUUGUAUUGUCUAAUUUAUUAAAGGUGAACUUUUAAAUAGUAAAAUGUGUGUAUUAAUUGUUGCUAAUUUUUAAUUAUUUUUAUUUUUUUCGAAUACAACUUAUAUACAUGCAUAAGGGGUAUUUAUGGAAUAAAAGUUUCAUCUCUCUCCUUAAAGUACUUUUUUAAUUCUACUUUUCUAAUUGGACUAAUUUUAUUUUCAAAACUUUUACCUUAGGAGAGAUUUGUGUAAGUUGGCAUGCUUCAAGGGAGACUAGUGAAAUUGUUAGAAACCUCAGGGAGGUUUUUGAAUUAUCCUUUUUUCUUUUUGAACAAGAGAAGAUGGUUUAAGAUGAUAUCCGACACUUUUUUUUUGGUAGCAAAAUUAGUGAAAGAAUUGGUAAUUCCUUCAGGAAAAAAAAGAAUAUGUAACUUUCAUUUUUUUGGUAGUAAAAUUACCAUUUUUGCAAUCAAGAGGUAAUUUUCAUUAGAUAUUUAGCCAUGUUUGGAGUUGCGAUACUUUGGUUAAAAAAAAAAACACUUUUAGGUGCUAAAAGUACUUUAAAUUGUUAUUUUUGUGACUAAAUUUACCAAUUUUAUAUUCAAAUUUACUACUUUACCUUCUUAUCUUACUUUUCAAGUUUCUGAGACUUGAAAACUUGAAUGACCACCAGUUUUUCCAAUGUUUUAUUAUUAAAAUAAUAUUUGCAAAGUGACUUGAUGAUAAGUCACCACAGCAUUAUCCUUUAGUAUUUGGCUCUUCUCUAAUAAAUUAUCUUUUCAUUUCCUAGAAUGCACCUGUGGAUGAAAUACGUGUGUCUUUAUUUACUAAAAAAGACAGGACCAUUUCAAGUUUAACUAAUUUUAAGUCUUGUUAAUAAAUAAAGACGCAUGUCAUACAUUUAAAUAUGUAUUAUAAGAAAUGAAGAGAGAAUUUAGUGGAGAUGAGCCAAAUCCUUAUCCUUUAUAGUGAUCAAACUAGGAAAAUGCACAUGCAUUGCACGUGUAUAGUGAGUAAUUUAUCAUAAAUUGCUUUUCCAAUUAGGUAAAUCACUUAAUGAUUGAUUUAAUUUCUUCUCUUUUCUUUAGUUAUCUCCUAUCUUAGUCGAUCUUGGAUUUGUUCAUGUCCUUUUUUACAGUUGGGAUCCUCGGUGACAUGAAUCCAAUGCCAAUCAGUGCCACCUAUAGUAUUGCGCCACUUGGCCUAUUAUUAUUUGCACUUUAAUUUUUUAAUAAUUCAACUUGGUUUGGUUUAACACAAAUUUUCCCUAUCCUCUAAAACUUUGAACCAAAUUAACCAAUCGGUCUAAUUCCAUUACCAAUACUUUCAUCAUUGAUUACCUUCAACAUCUCCUAUCCACUCUGAUGACAUCCACAUCUUCAGAGUCGUCGUCCUUUAUUUCCACCACCGGCUCCACCAUUCCACGCGGCAUCAUCUUCACUGCUGAUUGCCUCACAGUCAAAGGCACCAAGGACGUCCUUAACAAGCCCUUCUCUUUCGAGCUCUCCAUUGGCAGGGAUACCAUGUACUUCAUGGCUGAGUUUGUAGAAGGAGAAAGAAGAUUGGAUCAACUCCAUCGGAUGCUCAAUUGUGCAGCAUUCCAGGUCCGUUACUGAUUCUGAGGUCAUUGAUUACGAUAGCAAAAGGGCUUAAUUUCUGAUUUUCCAAUGUAAUUUUGGCGUUGCCCUUCUACUUGUAGCCUGGUCCUAGUAUUUACCAAACGUUCUUCCUCACGACAACGCCGUCUACAGAGCUCUCCUUUGCUGCAACUCUGCCCUCUGUAACUUUUCCUAUUGCUGAUUUCCUUCCCAGGUUCUUGUAAUUUCUUUUUUGCCAUUUUCCCCACUCUUUUAUGUGCCCAUUUUCUUGCAGAUGACCCUUUCGGUGAUCCAAAGGUGAUUGGCGACCCCUAUUGCAUGAUUUUUGUGGGCCGUCUUUCCCACUCCACCACUGAAGAAACUCUUCGCCAGGUCCUUUUUUUUUUAUUUAAGUUUCAUUUUCUUGAUUUUCACUUUGUUUUGUUGUUUUUUGGUUAUGGCGUUUUAUUUCAAAAGAUUACUUUUUUGAGCUUAUCUGUUGAAUUGGGGAUAUGGGUCUUGUCUAUUUCUUCAGGCUAUGAGCAUAUAUGGAAGAGUAAAGAACUUGAGAUUAGUCAGACACAUUGGUUAGUUACUAAUUUAUCCACUUAUUUAUACUGUUCAGUUUUUUUUAAUCAACUUUAAUUUCAAUUGUAUUUUCGGUUUUGAGUAUUAUUGUGUUAUAUUUUACUUGUCUGUUUAUGAUUUGUAAAGGAAGUUAUAGUUUUUCUACAAUUAAAUGUGAAGCACCCUAGCAACCAUCAAUCGUUACAAGUAUAUGAUGAUAUAUGGUUUUUCUCGGCCUGGAAUUUUGUCUUUCUUUUCUUCAGUUGCUUGGAAGAAAGUAAGAUGAAAUGCUCCAUUAUUAUAGCUUUGUCAUGUAGCAAAUCUUUUUGCUCACAGUUUGUUGCUUGUAGAAAGAACGAAAGAAAUAGAAGUGUACUUGGUUUUGAAAUUGUAACACGCCAGGGAGAUGUUAAGUAGGUACUUGGUUUUGUAAUGCAGUCUAGUAUCAGUUGUAUAGAGAGAACAAAUGCAAAGGAGAAAUAUAGGGAACCUAUUCUUUUUUUAUCAAUUGUAACACCCUUUCUGUUGCAAUGUAUAGAAUGAUCCUAGUUAAAUCCAUGACUAGAAUUAGUUGAAUGGUGAUGUUAAGUUUGUGAUGUCUUUGUUUAAUCUAUUUGUAAAUAACCUUAAUGUCUUUGGUUUACUUUUCAUAAUUCAGAGGUGGUUGUUGCAUGAAUUUCAAAGUUUUCCUUGACGUAUUCUAAACAUUGUGAAAUCCUUUGUUUUUCACCCUUUCAUUUUUCUUCUGUGGUUUUUGCCUUGCUGGAAGGAACUUGGCUUUUGGUGAUCUCACUGUAGGUAAAACAAAUGAUAGUCGCAACACUUGCUGGAAUAGUUUAGAAUAUAUAACAGCAAAGUUUUGAUAUUUUGCAAUGCAGAAAAAUUGUUAUUAUCUAUAGUUGUUUCUAUAGGGAAUUGGUUCAUGAUGCUCUGUUAACGAUUGCAGUAACUCAUGCCUUACCUUUUAUGCAUCCGCUUCCAGGAAAUUCUUAGAAGUUAUUUGGAACAUUUUCUUGGAGCAAGAAGCUAAUAUAUUAAUCCAUUUUCUGAUUUGGAAAGAUUGACAAAGAAGAGUGGCAUAGCCUUGUUCCAAGACAUCCUUCUCUUUUGAAGAAUAUGACUCUUCAAUAUCUUAAGUGAGUUGUGUUUGUGUUAUCUUUUGUUCUUUAAAUCAUUUUAGGCCCCGUCGAUUUUUAUUUUGGACAGCUUUCAAGAUCUAUGAAGCAGGAACAUGAUAUGUGAAUAAUAGAUGACUUCUUGCCCUUAAUUGAUGAUAGCUUUGAUGACCUAUCUGUAAUUUCUAAGAUUUUUUAUUUGUUCUUUCACAUGAAUUAUAUUCAGUUCUUGCAUAGAUCUUUGAGACAACUUAAUAGUUUGUGAACUGUGUACCGUCACCAUUCUGCAAAUAGACCUAUUGAUUCUGGAGUUUGGGAAAAAGUCAGAAAGUUGGUUUGCCAACAUUUUUAAAUGUUGUAUGCUGUAUGGUCUUCAUUUUCUAGACAUAUGUUUCUUUUCGAAUGCAAUUAACUUGCUACUAGACAAGUAAUGUAUUAAUCUGAGGAAUGAGUUCCCUCACAGGAGAUGCUGCACUAAUUUUCCACAAGGAAAGAUCUAAAGCACCAUGAAGCAAAUGUUGGAGACCUCUUAUUAUGUCUUGCAAAACCUAUUUCUCUAACUGUCUGAUAAAAAAUCAAUCCAAGCACAAAAGAUCAGUUCCCAAAUCUAGAUAGCAAAGCUGCCUCAAAGUAAUAUGAAACAGAGGAAACGAUGGAGAAGUGUCAGUCUUCCUUCUGCUCCUUCUCCUUUGAUUUACUCUUUCUGGACUUUAUGAAGCAGAAACAUAAGCAGCAGGGAAAUUGCAACAAGAACUUUGUCCUGUUGGUUCUUUGUCAGAGCAUAGCAUCUAAGUCAAUUAUGUUUUAUGACACAAGAUAUGUAAGAGUAGACUGCAUUUUCUCGGCGUGAAGUUUUUAUCCCUUUGUUUACUGUAUGCACUCAUAUUCGCUAUUUGCAUGCAAAAUGAACAACGUCAGCUUUUGUUUCAGUUAAAUUGAAGUUCAUGCUAAAUAAUUAAUGUUUUACAGGGAUUAUUAUGCUUGUGUUGUGUCCAUUAUCAGAAUUGAAAAUAUAAACUUAUGUCAAGAGGGGCGAUAGUCGAUGAUACUAUGGUUUCCAAGCCUCUUCACAUUCCACAAUAUCUAAAUGUCUUAUUGAAUUUUGGAAUGGUAACAAAGUGUUCAAAUGAAAGAUCUAAAAACUCAGUACUAGUGUCAAUUGAAACAUAUAUUCUACAUAGAAGAAUGUGCAUUAAUUUUGGGAAGCACGAAAAGUUCCAUUGUCAAUUUCUGUCAAAUUUUCAGGUCUUUUGUCCACUUGAACACUUGCACGAAAUAUCAUUGAUGCAUGGAACUGGACAACCACACCUAUCAUUGCAAUCAACUCCAACUUGUUGUCCCAUAGUGCAAGAGUUGUCAUUCAACUCGAACUGAUUUAUUUUCGCUCCUUCGAAACCAUGUAAUUCUUGUGCCUAUGGUUAGAAUUAUAUCACCAAAAAAUUGAACACAUAAAUAAAGAGAUGAAUAAAAAAAGACAAUAAACAAUCUUUUCUUAAAGAAGUAAUUAUUCAUGAUCACAACUGUAAUAAUUUACCUUGAGCAAGCCGGUCAUGUUCAUGGAACUGAAAGUGCAUAGCUGGCCAUAAUUUUGUUGAUUAACAUCCAAAUUCACAAACUAUCAACCACAAAAGUGAAAAAUAUUCAUGAACUUCAGUAUAAACCAAAACAUAAAAUUUUUAUAAAAUAAUUUUAUGCAAAUAAGAAACUAAAAAAUUACCGGUGUAGGAUGAUAUGGUUGCACAAAGUUGCUUUGUUGAGAUUGCAAAGACUCUAUCAUACUUACUGGCAUAGAAUAACAUGGUUGGAUAAAAGUUUCUUGUUGAUACCGUAAAGAUUCUACCAUGCUCCCCUCAUUUGUAUUUGCCUAAAAAUAAAAAUAAAUAAACACAUUUAUAAAUAGUUUGACAGUAAUAAUACUUAAUUGUUAGUCUACAUAUAAUGUCGAAUCAUUACCUCUUGUAAUCCAUGCUGUUGCAUACUGCACCUCGUAGAUACAAUAUUUAUAGUAUCUCCUAUAGGCUAAUGAAAAGAAAAAACAAAGAUUGGAUGCAUAAUAUAAGAAAAUAUUGAAUUACAAAUAUAGUAAAAUUAUAAUGCAAUAAAACCUCAUUAUGUGAUGGCGCUGGUAACUCCAUAGUUAUACUAUUUUGCAAACUUUUUUUGGUUGAUCUUCUUCUCUUAGUAGCCUUUUCUAGACUACUCUUCAAUCUCUUGCAUGAAAUAGUCUUCAUCUUUUUUUUAAUACCCUUGAUAUUGAUACCACUUGCAUUAGUAGUGUUAUUUGUGGGGUUGGAAACUUUUGCUGCAUUUGACAUCUCAUUGCUCGACCCCUCUUGAUGUAACCUUGCAUCAACCAAAUCCAAUAUUUUCAAAAGGCCUUCUUUAGCAAUUUUAUAAGUUUCUUCUGCUUGAGCAGCUUUUGUGAUCAAUUGAGUAUAUAGUCUACACAAAUCUCUGUAACGCUUCGUAAAAGCCACUUUUGGAUCCAAAUCAUUAUUGAUAUUGCAACAAUUGUUGUCUUUAACAUAUCCAGCUUUUGCUUUAUUGGUCCAUCUCUUUAUUAUGUAUUGACUAGGGAUCUUCAUGAUAUUUCUUAUAUUAAGAACUUUCAGAGAAUGAGAGCAUAAAAUCCCAGAGAAUUCAAACUUCUUGCAACUACAUGAAAUCUGAUCACCUAUUGAAUCAAAUCUAACCAUAUGAUAGUUUUUUCUGCCUUUAGGAGUGAUCUUAUAUUCUGUCACUGUUCCAACCUCACUGUAGGUGAUUAUACCACAAUCAUAAGAUUUACCCCACUCAAUUUCAAACCAUUUGAAUACUUCAAGAGUAUAAACACUUGCAGCAUGUUUCAAAACAUCAACAUCGAAUGGUAGUACUGGAGUACUCAUAUAUGCUCUAAAGUCAGCUUUAAGUUCUUUAUAUCUCUGAUCAUCAACUAACCUCUCAAAAUGAUUGAAAAACUCAUGAAAUUUAUUCUUAUAGGUUACAUACCUUUUUAUCACACUAUUCAUGCUUUCGCUCCUUUGAGUUGUUGUCAUAUCUGCACAAAAUGUUUCCCUUCCAUACACCAAUGCCCAUUUUUCUUUAAUCUCAAACAUACGUUUUAAUCAAUCAUUGUCUUCAAGACCAUAUUUCUUCAACAUAGUAUUCCAUUCAGAUAUAAAGUCUUCUUCUUCAUCAAAAUCAUAUACACAUUUACUGAAAUCAUUCGCAAAUUGUUUAAAACUUUCGAACACAUGACUGAGAUGAAUAGCUGCAUUUUGAAAUAUAUGCCAUAUGCAAAGACAGUGACGUGUUUCAGGCCAUGUAGAAAUUAGUCCUUUAGCCAUUGUUGCGUCCUGAUCCAUAAGUAUAGUAUUUGGUUUUUUUCCUGACAUUGCUCUCGCAAAAGUGUCAAACAACCACUCAAAUGUUGAAGCAGUUUCAUCAUAUAAUAAAGCAGCCCCAAAUAUUGCAGUCUGUUUAUGAUUAUUCACUCCAACAAAUAAUGCAAAUGGACGGCCUUCAUUAUUCUUUCUAUACGUCGUGUCAAAACAAACAACAUCUCCAAAACUUGCAUAAUCUGCCCUCAUUAAUCCGUCAGUCCAAAAAAUAUUUGUAAUCAAAGCAUCCUGAUCCACUUGAAUUGCAUAGAAGAAAUUAGGAUCCUCUAAUUGCAUUUUUUGUAAAUAUUCAAGUAUGCCUCCUGUAUCUCCAACUUCCAUUUGUAUUAUUCAUUUAGAACGUAAAUAAUUCCUGUAAUCCUUAGGAAUGAAACCUAAGUUCUCCCAUCCUCCUACUUGUAGUGCCAUAAGUUCAUGAGAAACUUUUGGUGCUAUACCCACACGGUAUGCCAUAUCAAUUUCAGCUGCAUGAAUAGAAUUUAUCUUUCUAUGUGAUCUGUGUAAAUGACUUUUGUUGGAACUUGAAAGAUAGUGAUUAUGCUCAAUGAUCAACUGACAUAUACGAAACUUACCAGUUUGUCUACUGUUAACCUUCAUCUUCGCCGAACAAUUAAAUCGUGUUUCAGGACGAGGGGCUCUUACAUUGAGAUCUCUUUUAUCCUUUCCUCGUUUUCCUUCAGCACUACAACAAAAUACCCUAUCCAUGAGCUUACCAUUACUAUCUUUGUAGAAGCUACUUCUUUUGAUUCCAAAACCAACUUCCUUUGCAUAUGCUAAGUAAAAAUUAUAAGCAUCUUCUUCACUCUCAAAUUCCAUGCCCAUCUUCGGAAUUAGUUCAAAAGAAAUCAAUGUAUGAAUUUUAUUUAUAUCCUUUAUCACAUUUAAAACUGGUGGAGUGGAAACCUCAUCAUUGGUAAUUUGAUCUACCUUGUCAAAAUCCAAUCUACGACAAGAUGAUACCUCAGUUUCCAUAGAAGCCUUAGCAUCCAUAUCCUGCAACCUUUCAAGAGUCGUGACACAGGCAAGACUUGCUCUAACGCUUGACCCACUGGAAGCUCCUUCUUGUUUUUGCUUUUCCGGGCUUUUUCCUUUCAACAACCCUCAAAUCCCGUGUCAACAAAAACCACCUAAAAAUGACAACUAAGGUCAAAAGCUCCAAAUUUGACAUAUAACGAAACGUGAAAUGCAAGAAGGCAAUGUUUCAGGUCGCAAUAGAACACACAUUUGACGUACAACUAUACAAACAAAAUAAUAGAUUACUUUUGAUUUAAUCAUCAUGUUUUCAAGAUCAGUACAUGCAUGCUUGUACUCCUUAAAAAAAUAGUUGAAUUUUCAAUUCUACUUGUUCACUACUACUACUUGCAACUAGUUAGAAAAGCUAUUGUUACUUCUUGUAUCUUUUUUUUUAAAUUUGGUACAUUAGUAAAAUUUAUAACAAUUCUUGAAAUAAUAAAUAAUUUUUUAAUCCCACAAAGUAACUUAUUUUCCAGGUAUAUUACAAGUAGCGUGUAAGUAGUCAAUUUGACCACUCAAUUAAUAUUUAAUCUUUCCACACUCACAAUUCAAUGUAAAUUUCACUUUAAUGGAAAUUGAAAAUGAAGAUAUAAAAUUGCAUAACAUAAGGUAGGGUGAUAUUGCUUAUGAGUUGUUAAAAUACUUACGAAUUGUUGUCUAUUUCCUAACUUUCUUAAUAUUAAAAAAAUUGAAAUUCGAAAUCAAGAUCAUGGAGCAAAUAGUGAUAUUGAUUUAAUAAAUCAAAGCUGAAAAAACUCAAGACUUAAACCGGAUGCAAGGUUGGAUAAUUACCUGAAUGAUGUGAAAUGUUUUGGUUUGUUCUUUGCUGGAGAAAGCUAGGGAUGGUUGGGCUUUAAUUUGAGUAAUUCCUGAAUCUUUGUAGUCAAUUUGCUUCAAUAGUCGGCGGCUGCAGUUUUAGCUUAUUCGACUACGAUUGAUUGUUCUAAGCCAUCAACGAUAAAAAGGCUUGGACUUUGGAGGCAAUUGUUUAGGGUUUUCUUUUUCUUUUUCCCAAAGCAACCGAUCUUGAGUGGUUGCUGUACAAAAGUAUUGGUAAUGGAAUUAGACCGGUUGGUUAAUUUGGUUCAAAGUUUUAGAGGAUAGAGAAAAUUUGUGUUAAACCAAACCAAGUUGAAUUAUUAAAAAAUUAAAGUGUAAAUAAUAAUAGACCAAGUGGCGCAAUACUAUAGGUGGCACUGGAUUGGCAUUGGAUUCAUGUCACCGAGGAUCUCAAGUGACUUUUUUAGGUCUAUUUAUAGUAUAGUUUAGGAGUAGAUAAAAUGAGUUAUUUUUAAAGCAAUAAGAACCCAUUGCAUUUGAUGAGGAUGUGGCAAGGUGAUGAACUGACAAACAGUUUACUAUCCACACGAAAGAUGGGACUUCUUUCCACCUUAUUUGUUUCCACAUCUUAUUUUUCCUUCUUUCAUUUAGUUGAUAUUGACAAUUACUCAAUAAUGCAUAUUCAAAUACUCAAAAAAUCUAAUAAAGUUGAAGGUAACAUGCACACAAUGGGCUUGUUUAGAUAUGGAUUAUUUGUAAAAAAUUUUAGUUACAUUAUAAAUAUGUUUUUAAUGACAUUUUUAUCUCUUGCACUUCCUUUUUUUCUUACAUAUAUUACAUCAGGAAAAAUAUUAUUGUGAGAACCCGAGAAAAUUUCGAGUAAGCUUUGUACGUAUUAUUUUUAUUUUGCUAUUAGAAAUAAUAAUUGGUCUAUUAAAUGUCUAAAUUUAAAUUUUACAACAAAAUCAAGAAUUUAUAAAUACUUUGUAGUAGUGUAAAAAUGUACAUAACAAAAGUUAGGGGUUCAUGCAAGAGAUUAUAAAGAUUUCAGGCCUUGGAAAGCAAUUAAACUACAAUUUAAAAGACCAAACUAACCCUUCAAUUCAGCAAAUUCACCAUGCGACCAUUAGCUAUCAGAUUAUUUGAAGCAAGAGUGAGUGGAGAGCUUCGGUAUUAGCAAUCACCAACAGAUGAAGCUUUGUGUGAUCAGUCACUUAGUUAUUAUCGACUAAGAGGAACAAAAGAAGAGAAGUGAGAGCGACUGAAACUUCUUUCUCAUCUUCAUUUCCGAAGCUGUGCGAAAGAGUGAGAGUGAAGGAGCAAUUAUGGUGCCUUCCAGCCACAACCGAGUGAGUGAUAAGAGGAGGAAGUCCGGAGUGAUCACCGAGAGAAGGAAUGAGAACCGACAGCAGAAUUCACCAUUUCUUCAUCCUUUUAUCAUCCUAAACCGAGAGCUAAGUGAGUGAAAGAGGAGAAACCAGCUUGCAACUUCAGAUAUCAGCAGCAACUGUGAGGAAAAUAGUUGGAGCAAGAGCUAGAGGAACCAAAACAGAGGAAGUUGGAGUAAUCUGCCAUUAUCGAAUUUAAGGGGAAAAAAGGUAAAGAAAUUCUGUAAUCACCUUUUAUUUACUAGAUAUCAGAGAGUAGAUUGAACGCAUGUUAGUUUAGCAAGGGAAUAACAAGUUUUAACCGAAGGAAAAAUCUGUUAAAGAGGAAAAACUUGGAACAGGAUUGAAGUGCAGGAACCGGGAGUUAUUAUCUAAUGUUGCAGCCUGUGAUUAGUGUAAAACUGGAAACUAAUGGUAGAUUUUGCAUAUAAUACGUUGGUCUCUGUUGUUUGAGAGGUUUAGUUGAAGAAAACUUGGGGAAAAGUUGGAUUUUGGAUGGAAACCAAGGGAAGUUUUCUGCUGCAAAAUUUUCCAGCUUACCCGAGAAAGAAAAUGACAGAUUCUUAACUGUCUUCAUGAUUUUUGGUCUUGAUUAUCUAUGUUAAACUGUAACAUAUGAUGUAUAAGAGCUUGGUCUGAACAUGCAUGAAAGAUUUGAGCAUGAACUGAAGAGAUUAUUAGAGAGAAAAAUUGUGUUAAGAUUGCUGCUAUAAUUCUGGGAAAAAAAUGCCGAGGGAGGAAAACUGAGAGAUGAACCAGUGUUGUUCUGAUUUACCUUGGCUGCCAUUUUGUUUGUUUGCUGAGAGUACUCUGUAGUUUAGUUGUUAUUUUAGCUCGUGAUUUGGAAGUAAACUGAAUGGAUUAGGGGAAAAGCUUUGAACCAUGUAGUUCAUUAUUUCACAGCCGAGAGAGAGGAAAAAAAUAGACUGAUCGGUUUUCUUUUCCUCUAAGUGAGCUGCACCAUCUUUUGUGUUCUGUACAAGGCUCAUUUGUAGUUUAAUAAACGUGGUUAACAUGUCUAGUUGGGAUAAAAACUUGGAAGGAGGAACUUGAGUGAAACGGCAAACAUUGGACCGAUAUGUAUGUUUGCCUGAUAUAUACAUAGCUAAGGGAUUGCUUAAAAGCUGUGGUAGUUAAGACUGAUUUGUGUGCAUAGUUUGCACAAAACAUUGGUUACAAUUAAAUGUUUCUUAUCCUAAUACAUGUUAGAUUAAAUGUAAGUUAAGUAGUUGAUGAUUUAAUCAAGUGAAAAAUGAAGUUAUUGGAUGAAAACUUGAAGUUUUGUUGCUGAAUUUAUGUAGAUAGGUUGUAUGGCAAUGAGUUAAAACUUAUUUGAUAUUUUAGAAAUUCUAAAGUAAUUUGUUAUGGCCGUAUUCAUGAAAUGACUUCUAAUCGCUUAAAAUUGGCUUUCUUAGUAAUUCAAAGACUAUAAAUUGUGAGAGGUGAAGGUUGUGAACUAAGUUAAUUUACAAAUAACUUAAAGUUUAGUUAGCUUAAAAAGGGAGUGGAGUAUCUAUAAGCCAUAAUUAAUAUUGGAUUGAGAAAGUAUAUUGGAUUGAAUGAGUAUACACGUUAAACUUGAAGAUAGGUAUGUUUCAUGGUUUGAAAAUGAUAAAUUUAAUAAGUUUUGAAAAUAAAAGGAUAAAUGUUAAGAAUGUUAAAUUUAUGUAUUAAGGUCAAACUUGAUUUUAAUAGUUUAAAUAAUAUUGUAAAAAUGAUAAGUGAUCACUUACGAAUUAUAAAUUUACCAUUGAAAUUAUUAAUUUGCUCAGGAAGUAGCUGUGAGCCAGGAAACAAACCCAAGACUCGAGAAUAAUUUACUUGGAUAAUUGGUAAGUAUUUUUCGAAUUUAUGUGUUAAACUGCUUAUGUGUACCUAAGUGAAAUUACGUGACAAAUGUGCUUAUUAUGAAUUAUUACUAAAUGAUUCAGUGUAAAGUAUAUCUCACUUGUCCCUCGCCUUCUAAGUCGAGGGUGUACUUUAUCGCACUCGGUUUAGCUCAGUUUGAAGUUGAUAAUUGACUGAAUGUUACUGUAAGUGUGCAUGAAUGUAAGCCAUAUGUGUGCCUCGCCGCAUCGGCUGAACUGGGCCCCAAAACCCUCUGUUCAACGGACUAUUCAAGCCAGCAAAGGGCUUGGUCGGGUAGGACAGUAGCUUUGGGUAAAUGUUUCGGUAUACUCGAGUAUUACCACGAGAUUAGGAGAUCAUUGCACUGAUUAUUGAAUGUAGGGGAUUGUUUAUUGUUUUGGAGGACAUAAGGAGGUGAAUUGGGAGAAAGUUAGUGAUAUUGAAAUGAAUGUAUAAUGACAGUGAAAUGAGUGUCACUUGACACUGAAAUGAAUGUUCAAUGACAUUGAAGUGGCUCUAAUGCGAGCACUGUGACAGCCCACCUCCCCUUAAAGUGGACCAGAGGGUUCGGCGGACCGCCUGUCCAACUCUCGCUAGGGCUACGGAGUCAAAACACUCGUAAACCCUAUGAAACGCGCGAUAGAACCCCAAGAAACCAACAAUCAGAGAUUACUAAGCCGGAAACAUGAUUACCAAACCAUACGGUGAAAUGGAACUUCAACUAAAUGCUUCAACGAAAGUGAAAACGAAGAACGAAAAUGAACAGCCGCGGCCACGUCACAAUCCGGCCGGAUCCAAGGCAGUAGCGAAACCAAAUUUUUCCACCAUCCCCUGCCAAUCCGGCCAAUAAUUGGCCAAAUAUACGGUCGGAUUCCCUAAAAGAUUUUCCCGCCAGAAAUUUUUCUUUCCUCUUUCAAAUGCCGCGGUCGCCCGAUCGUCCAACGAUCACAAGUAAAGUUCACCAAAGCAGUAAAACGUACCAUCUCAUACGAAUACACUCAAUAUACAUGGUUAAACACCUAUAUACAUACAUUGAACAAAUAAAAAUGUGAUAUUUAAGUAAUAUACAAUUAGGGUUUCCAUUACAAAGGAGCUUAACAAAAGAACAUUUACACUAGCUCGACCCUUUCUUCUAAAAUCAUGGUUUCAAAGUUUGCCCCUAUAAGGAAAACAAAGAUAACGGGAAGGGAGCGAGCUUACGCUCAAUAAGGUGCCCAAAACACAAGCAAUCAUGAACCAUGGAGAUUUACUUUCAAUCACUUAAAUAGACACGGCAAAUAAAGAAAUAAAUAAACAUCUUAAAUGGAAAGGAUACAGGUGGCUCUUAGGAGCUAAAUUCCCAUUGCAGUUUUUGAUCCAAACUCGUUGACCCUCCGUCAACGUUUAAUGAAACAAACAUGUCCGUAGACCCCUCUUAGAACACCAAAUCUCGUUCACCAAACAUACCCUUUGCCGGGCCCGAACGCCAAACAGGAACAAGAAUGGGUAAUACUCGAGUAUACCGGGAAUCCAGAGUCUCCAAUAUCCAAAAAUUCUCCAGGAACAGUCCCCAUGGUUUGUCAAUUUCCUUGACCAAUCCCUUGCUGGCUCGAUUCAAUUAACUCCCUAUGAAGUUUUGAGCUCAAAGUUAACAAGGAGGUCGUUGGAUACACCUCCAAACGAUAUCAGGUCAAGCACAAUAACAAUUUUCAGUUUAUACAGUAAACAGUCACCCAGGCAAGAGAACGAAUAAUAGAUUCAAGUAACAGGUACAAGCACAUACAGUGGCUCGACAAAUAAGCAAGAGAGACGAGUGUGAUGAAGUACACCCUCGUCUCGUCCAGAAUUAAGCAGGUGUUACAAUCAUUCAAGUCACAUAUUGCAGAUACAGGUAAAACAGUUAAGCAAUAAGUCAUACGAGUGGUACACUCACCAGUUCAAGUAAGGAUAACUUCAAAAGUUUUCUCCCAAGAAAUGCCCUUGACCGCCGACACGUCCUUAUAACCACAAGAAAGAUGGUAGCUUAGGAUUCUUCCUCCCAAAUUUACUCCACAACCACCUUGGAAACUACUUUAGCUAGCACUUUUAUGGAGUGAUUUGCAAAAGUUAUGGUUGGAACUCAAAAUUUGAGCAAGAAAUUGAAGUGGAAAUGAACUCUCUCCCUUGGUUUUUCUCCUCACCAAAUUCGGCCAAGACUCGUGAAAAUGAGAAGGAAUUUUGGUCAAAAUUAGGUUUUAGUAAAGGCAAGAAAGGUUGGUCAAGUCCAACUUUGAAUAGGGCCGCGACACAUGGCACCUUUAAGGUUUUGUUCUAAUCUUCUUGUCUUCCAAGGCUAAUCUAUCUAACUAACCUCUAAUUAUCUCCUAACACCUUAUAAAAUAUAAUAUCCCUUUAUGCAAAACAUCACUUAACUUAAUCGUUAAAAUUUCAUCGCACUAACCACACUAGCGGGUCCCAUGUCCUUAUUACACUUCUAAGUUAACUCGAACUAAUUUAUACUAGAAAAAUGUUUUAAAAACUAUGUUCACUUAUAAAAUGUCUAGAGAAUUAAGGUAGUAAAAUAAAAUAAAGAAAAUGCAUGAAGAGAAAUAGAAUAAAAUGAUAUAAAAUAAGGGAAUUUUACGGGUCCUCAAAAGCACCGUAUCCUUUUAAAAAGUGAUUGUUUAGUGAAGUGUUUCCUCAAUUGCUUAAUGAGAGUAAUUGUACCGUGAAAUGUGUACUACUUGCUUAAUUAUACUGAUUUAAGUGCUUAUUGAUUGUUGCUUGCAUGGAAACCUCACGGACGAAAGCUCACCGUUUUAGUUUUGUUUUCCUUACAGGAGUUGGAGAUUGAAGAGUGAUUGGAUUGAACUAGAAAGUUAUUUUGGGAAGAUCCGUUACUCUGUGUAUAUAGUGUAGUCAUGGUUUCUUUUGAAUUUUGAGGCGGUUGAAUCUUUUGUUUGAGUUGGUGUGAUAUUAAGAAUAGAUAUUUAGAAAAGGUAUUUUGUUUCUUUUAUAGGACAAAUUUAUGUUUCAAACUGAUUGGAAAUGUAUUUAAGAGUGAAUGUUCAGUUGUCCAAUGGUAAUGUUAUCUCUGAAGUUAAUGUAAGUGAGUGAGCCCUGGCGAGAGCCAGGCAGGCGAUCCACUAACUUUUAGGGUAUGCCUUAGGAGAAGGUGGUGUCGUCACAAUUAUAGCAUUAAAAUAAAAUAUAUGACAAUAUACAGGUAGAGAUUUGUAAUAAUAGAAAUCUUGUUUGAGUUAAUAAAUAUUUUACUUUGACUCUAUAGAUAUACAUCCCCCUACUUUUAAACUGUACACACUUCGAGAUUUGCUUCUAGUUUGCAACAACAAAGGAUAAUUUUGUUUAUUUUUCAUUCUUGUGACACGUAAUGUGAAGAACGUCUCGUACAAAAUUGUUUUAUUCUAUUCUUGUAUGUUUAGGUACCUUGACAAAGUUAUUUUAUUUAUGCAUGUAAGUCUAUUCUUUGUUGCGAAUAUUUUCUCACCAAUUUUUGUGGCUUCACUUGUCUAUUUCUUAGAUUUUCCUCAACCACUUGAUCAGCAUAUACUUUAUGAAAACUCUUUUGGACUGAUUAUUUAUUUAGUACCACAAAUGAUCAUCCAUUUCAAGAAAUGAAGCACUAUCAUCCAGGCAUGGUGAUAUGUUUCUUUUCGUCAUUCUUUCUCGCUUGACUUUUCCUGAGAGUAGAAAUUCGUGUUUUCUAUUUUUCCUAGUAGUUUUAGUUUCAAAUUUUUGCUUAAAAGAAAAAAAUUAUGAGCUACAAUUAAGAACAUACUACAUUAAUCAAAAGAUCUAACUAAGUGAACUAAAAAACAGCAAACUGUAAUGACUAAAUUACCCAAAAAUUGAUAAACAAAUUAAAAAAAAAAGAUUUUGUCAGUAAAGAAGAGAGAGAAAGGCCAAAUCUCAAGUCCAUUCUUUCACCAUUUCAACCAAGAGUGUCAAAUUUGGCUUCCAAAAAGCAUUGAAGUACUCCCUUUGACUAAAAUGAAUAAGAUAUUCAGGUUCCUGAUUUUCCGCUAAUCUACUCGAACUAUGGCAAUAUAAUUUGAUAAGCCUAAACAAAGUUAUAAACGUCACAGGUAACAACUUUUGUGGAGCUUGAUAUUUGCGUAACAUGUUGCGAAAAGUCACCGCAGUGAGAUUUAAAAUCAUUAUUACCGCUGAGCUUUCCUGGUAUCACAAUGUUUCUACCCCGCACGUGGCUUGAAUCUGUUGCCGGCGUUGUGCAGGAUAGACUUUUUUUUGGGCCACUGUAGCCCCGUGACCAAGCGCUAUUGGUCUUCACAUUGACGUUCCACCGGAGCCCAUUUUUCCUUUUGGCUCUUUAGAAAUUACAGGUGAAAUUUGUGUCAUCAGGUAAUAUGUCUAUUAAAUCACUGGGCUUGGUUCAGUUGCCACCAGUGAGGGUCUAAGUUCCUCAUUGGAUUGCAGGUUUGAACUUAAAUUCCACCUGCAGCAAAAAAUAUCCAAAAGUUGUGUCAAAAUACUCUCUUGAUCUAAUAAGGUCUGUGUGCCUGCUAGUCCCAAACACAAUCUCUUUAGCCCAUUUUUCCUUUUGGCUCUUUAGAAAUUAUAGGUGAAAUUUGUGUCAUCAGGUAAUAUGUCUAUUAAAUCACUGGGCUUGGUUCAGUUGCCACCAGUGAGGGUCUAAGUUCCUCAUUGGAUUGCAGGUUUGAACUUAAAUUCCACCUGCAGCAAAAAAUAUCCAAAAGUUGUGUCAAAAUACUCUCUUGAUCUAAUAAGGUCUGUGUGCCUGCUAGUCCCAAACACAAUCUCUUUAGGCUUCCUCUCCCCUGUAGUUUAGGAUAGAUAGAUUAUACAAUAGUUAUCAUUCCGGAAAACAAAUGAUAAUAUGUCUGUUAACCACUAAGCCAAUGAGUUAAGAGUUCAAUGGUUACCAAAAUGGGAUUAAAGUCAUUUUUUGAGUUGUAGAUCAGGGUUCGAAUCCUAUUUGCAGUAAAAAAAAUUUAAAAAAGGUGUCAUAACACCCUUUUGAUCUAAUAGAUUCUUAUACUUAUUAACCCCUUAUACAUAAUCUCUUUAGGCUCCUUUUCCCCAUAAAUUAAGAUAGAUUAUGUUAUAAAAAUAUUAUUAUUGCCAUAAAAAAAAGGGUAAUAUGUCUAUCGCCAAUGGUUAAUAAUCUCUUUAGGCUCCUUUUCUCCAUAAAUUAAGAUAGAUUAUGUAUAAAAAUAUUAUUAUUAUAAAAAAAAAAAGGUAAUAUGUCUAUCGCCAACAAUCUUACAGCGCGUCCUUGUCAGAGCUUGAGCUCUCCAUCUAUUUAAGCAGCUCCAAUCCGAGAUUCCUUCAUAGCAAACAACAGCAAUUUUAGCUACUCUCUUCGCCUUUUCUCCCUACAUUUCCAGUACACUAACCAAGGACCAUGUUGUUUGCUUGUGCUAUUAUUGCUCUCAUUAUUGUGCUUUUCAGCCACUGGGUAUAUAGGUGGAGAAACCCCAAGUGCAACGGGGUAUUACCACCAGGUUCGAUGGGACUGCCAAUUAUAGGAGAAACAAUUCAGUACUUCACCCCUUAUGCAUCAGAUGAUAUUCCACCAUUCGUACAAAAAAGAGCGGCUAAGUAUGUCUAUCUCCUUUUAUUUUACCUCUUAUUUUUUUCAUACUCUUCUCAUUUCUAACUAUCCGAUACAAAAUUCGAAUCUUGAACUAGACUAUGAAGAAAACUCUAAUAACCUCUCCUAAUCAUUGGAUCAACCUCAGUACUCCAGUGGUUGUCUAACCACUUCUUAACCAGCUAUCACAUAUAAAUUUUAACAAUAUUACAGCAGUAACAGUUAAGGAUAUUUUAUCUUAACUAGCUUUUCUUUGUUUCUUUUUUUUUUUUUUGGGAAUUUUCAGGUACGGGCCAAUUUUUCGCACGAGUAUAGUUGGGGAGCCAAUCAUUGUAUCGACUGAUGCUGACGUCAACUACCGGGUCUUCCAGCAAGAAGGUAAUGCUUUCCAAAUUUGGUAUACUCAGAGUCUCUUCCAGAUAAUUGGGAAACAAAGUGUAGUUGCCCAUCAUGGAGACUUCCACAAGUACCUCAAGAGCUUAACGUUCAAGUUUGUUAGCCCCGAAGCCUUAAGAGAGAAGCUAAUAUAUGAAAUGGAUGAGAGCACUCAAGAAUCUCUAAGAUCUUGGAGUAAACUUGGAAAAUUAGAUGCUAAAGAUGGAACUGCAGAGGUAAAUUCAUUAGCAUCCUACUAUUUGAUUAUAUUAAUCAGGACGAAUUCGGACUAUACAUACAGAGCAUUGCUGAAAAGUAGUAAUUAACAAUCUCAUUUUCUCCAGUUGGUAUUUAAAUAUGCUGCCAAGAAGAUGCUUGGCUAUGAAGAAAGCAAGGAUCAGCAAAAAUUGAGAGACAGUUAUAAGGCAUUCAUGGAUGGCUUGAUCUCGUUUCCUCUCAACAUCCCUGGAACACCAUUCCAUGCUUGCUUACAAGUAAUCAAUUGUUAUUGUUGUUGUUCGUCAUUUGGAAUUAUUUUUACAUUGAAAGAUCGAUGUUCACUAUACCUACAAGAAAAAAAAACAUAUUCAUUAUAAAUAUAUGACUAAGUAAAAUAUAUAUGCUUUCAUAUAUGCUGUAUCAGAUUGAACGAACGAUAUGAUUUUCAUUUUCCAGGGACGCAAGAAAGCAAUGAAGGUCAUCCACGACAUCUUUGAGAAGAAGCGCUCAGGCAAUGAUGCAGCUGCGAAUGACUAUGACUUUGCGGACCAUUUACUCGAGGAAAUAAAGAAAGAAGACACUUUUUUGAAUGAAGAAAUUGCGAGGGACCUGGUAUUUUUGUUUCUGUUUGCUGCCCAUGAAACGACUUCAACAGCUUUGACUGUGGCCUUGAGGUAUCUAGAUGGCCAUCCACGGGUUAUGGCUGAACUAAAGGUCCGUGACUUUCCGAAACAAUUUCUCCCGUUGUCAUCUGUAUUUACCCUUUAAUUCUCCAAUUCUUGUGCAAGUUCAAUACUUAAAUGAUUAAUAUUCUAUAUAUACUGACAAUAUACAUUAUUAUAAUUGAAUGUUUACACUAACAGAAUAUGUAAGAUUACUUCAUACUUAAACAGUCAAUCGUUUUUGUAGAGAGAGCAUGAAAAUAUUCUUAAACUGCGAGAAACAAAAGAUUCUGCUGUUUCAUGGAAAGAGUACAAAUCUAUGACUUUCACGCACAUGGUACGUUUCAAUUAACUAGACUUUUCAUUGUAUCUAUCAUUUGAAUCAUAUAGUGAGCUAGACCAUUUACAUCUUAAGUUUUGUUGUCUACUGUAGGUUAUAAAUGAAACAGUUAGGCUUGCAAAUAUUGCCCCUGGGAUUUUGCGCAAAGUUGUCAAGGAAGUUGAAGUAAAAGGUAUACUUCAAUCUGUCACUUGGCAUCUUCUUGAAAAUCAUUUGUCACACUUUCUUUAUUUGGACCGAUGAUGCCUUUCUCCUGCAGGAAAAAGAAAAAAGAAAAACUCUCUUUAGUAACUACAUGGGUUGGGCAUUUUUUUCAUGGGAGUAAAUAUACAGAAAAUAAAUGAUAUGUUUCCUUUGUUCUUCUUUUCCUCCAUUAUAAACUUACAGUUCCGACUAAUAAGUGCGAAUGAUUUGCAGGUUAUACAAUUCCUGCUGGCUGGACGAUAAUGGUUUGUCCACCAUCUGUUCAUUUGGAUCCUAAUCUAUAUGAAAACCCCCUUGAAUUUAAUCCAUGGCGAUGGGAGGUAAUUUGAUCAUCGACAAAUUUGAGUAAUUUACGCACAAAAAAGAUAAACUUACAGAACAAAAGUUAAAUAAAAUCAAGUAAAAAUAAUUCAGGUUUUUUCUGCUGUUUUUCCAAUCAAAAGGGCAAAGAAUUACAUGCGGGAUCAAAAAGUUUCAUGGCAUUUGCUGGUGGUACGAGGCUUUGUGUUGGUGCUGACUAUGCAAAGGUGCAGAUGUCAAUUUUUCUGCAUUACUUGGUCACAAAAUACACGUAAGGAUUUCCAAAUCACAAUUCCCACCAUCUUCGCUUAAAUGCAUAUAGAAGAAGCUAAUUCCUAUAUAUUAUAAAUUGAUGUCUACUUAACUUCUUUGGUUUUUUAAUAUGCAUGAUUGCAAGAAGAAAGUGAUAACUGAUCAAAAAGCUUGUCUAAUUUGAAUUUUCAGCUGGAGAGUUAUCAACGGAGCAGAGAGAAUCCGGACACCUACUGGUAUUCGUUUUCCCAAGGGAUUGAAUAUUGAGAUUUCAGAGAACAAAUAGAUUUUAAACCGGGCAUGCACAAAUAAAGCUUGUACUUUCAGAAGCAUAUUUAUGAUGCAGUAAUUUACUAUCAUAUUGUAAUUUUACCUUCCAGCUGAGUUUCACUACAAUGUAAUAUUGUAAGUGUCCUAAUAAACAACAUUUUAAGUGGUGUCUUUCUUGACACUAUUGUAAUUAUUGAAGAUUUUAUAAUAGUUGCAGUUUGAGUUUCGACUAAUUAUUUUUCUUCACUAAAUCAAUACAAUGAUCUUAUGUACGAGGACAAUCUUAGAUAUAUACCAAGUCCUAGAUUGUUGUGAUCUUCAUUAUUUAAUAACUGUUACGUAUUACAAAAGUUUUUGUUUAGAUAAUAGUAUGUGAACUCAUAAAAAGAUUCAUGCAUUGAACUUUUACAGAGUGUCUCAGGAGUAAAUGAGUAAAUGGAGAAAUUAAAUAGAAAUAUAUCAUCUAAUUUAUAUAAAUCACAAAUAAUUUGGAACAAUCCAACAAAGAAAGUAUGGCGAUACCAUUGGUAAGAAUGGUAUGGGACGUUCCCAUCGUAGGAACGUCAAUCUGGUGCCAGUUUAGCACGACACGUAGCUUCAACGCAUGUGCUGCUCCCAAAACUCCCCACAAAUUCCAAAGGAAUCUCGUGUACGGGAUUCCGGCAAGUUGAUAUGAACAAAUAAAAGAAUAAAAAAAUUCUCUUGGGCCACACCUCAUAAUCUGAUUUUGAUGGACAUGACGCUGGGGAUAGUCAUAAUUUACCGCACUAAAAUUUUGCCGCUUUAGUUGUUCUAAUCAAGGCUGGCAAAUUACGAAAACAACAUUUCUUUUAAGUAUCGUUUCGUCAUUAAGACAAUCAAUCAUGUGAUAUAAUAUGGCAUCGCUUUUGUAAUAUAAUUUAUACUCCUUCCGUUCAAUCAUUUUAAAAUAUUUCCAAAUAUUUAUCAUAUUUUAAUCUUUCUUUUUAAUAUAAGUUUUCUUUCUAAUCACGUACAUGUUACUAUUCAAACUAGUGUGAAUACCCGUGCUAUGCACGGUGCUGACAUUAUUGAAAAAAAUGAAUAUAAAAGGGUGAAUAAAAAAAGGUUAAAAAUUUGUGCCAAUACAAUUAAAAUAUAAUAUCUGUCUAACAAUAAUUUGAAAUAUAAUAGAAUGUGUAUCAUUCAAGUACUGCCUUUUUUCAGAAGAUGGAUUCUGAAAAAAUAAUAAAAAUUUAUAUUAGAAAAUGAAUAAUAUAUGAAUAAAAAUGAAUGUAAUUGAAUGUUGUUAAAAUGAAAUACUUACAAAUAUUAUGCAUUCGAUUUGAUAAUCUUGCAUGAAGAUGCGAACACUCUUCACACCAAUCAACUUUUAGUGCGAAAGCGAAAAUUAGUGAUUUAAUUAAUUCUAUUGAAUUUUGUGGAGUGCGUACUACAAAUGAAAAUGCAGGAUCUUUGCAUGAAUUGAUUCGUUGGUUGAACAAUCUAUCACAAUUUUCCUGAGAAUUAAGUACGUACGAAAUUCAAAAUUAAUGUAUUUUUUUUACAUAGUAUAUAAAUAGCAUUAUAAAAAAUAUAUAUAUAUAUAUCAAGAAAUUCUACAUUCCUUUGUAAUUCUCUGAGAUAAAAAGCAUCACAACCAAAUACGAAUCGUACAUGUCUGUCUUGUAGAUUAAGAUACAUGUUACCACUGAAAUCUCUUAUUUGUAUGUUAACAUUAUAUCUGUUUCAAAAAUAAAAUGUUAUAUGCAAUACAGAAAAAUAUGUUGAAAUUAAAGAUACAUGAAAUUAAUUACUUAACAACAGUGUCGACCACGUCAUUACAAUGCAUACACACUGUUUUUGAAAAAUGACCUUCACAUAGUUGUCCACAAUUUUUGCAUAGCCCAUAAAACAUGUACGUUUCAUUUUCUAAACCAAAUGUCUUCCCCUUUGUUAUCUUGCGAGUUUAAAAUUUAGCUGGCGUUAAAAUGUUUGUAGGCGGGCAUGUUCCAUAGUGAUAUUAGGUUAAAGGCUAAGAUGGAUACCAUAAAAAAGUUAAAGGAGGUAAUAAGUUAUUGGGGAAAACGCAAGAAAGAUCUCCUAAUUGGAGUGAGCACGCAAGAAAGUUGAAUGAGAAUACUAUGUUUUGGAGAACUUUUAAUUGGAGUGGAAUUCUUAAAUUAGAGAACUCUUAAAUUGGAGAACUCUUAAUUGGAGUAAAAAGUGGGGGAAAUGUUGAGAAAAUGUGAGCAUGAUUAUAGGAUUUUUAAGAGCGGUUAUAGGAUUAGUUAAGAAAUAAAACAUUUCUUAAAUUAGAGAACUCUUAACUGGAGUGGGAAACAUGGGGGAAAUGUGGAGCAUUGCAAGUUACGGCAACGUGCCAGUGGCAUCUAGUUCUAAUUUUUUUUGGGUCAAAAUCUAGUCCUAAUUGGUUCUACUGUUUCUUGAUCAUGUUGUAUGCUUCCGAAUUCUACUUAGCGUUUAAUAAUUGAUAAUGGCUUAUUCUAUUGUUUCAUGGUAUUGGACAGGCAAAAACCACACCAGAAGUAUGGUAAAUUUACUAUAAACUCCUAAUAUUAUCUACCCUAAUUUUUGUAUACUUUUUAAAAAAUUUAAACUUUUGUCAACAAUAGGAUGGUCACGCAAAUUUAAAAAAAAAAGGACUGGUCACACGUCUCAUUCUUUGCCCUAAAAAACUCAAUUCAACAAAUUUCUUAGAAUAAUGGUGAAAAAAUCAUAACAAUGGAGGAACCUGGGUUUGUUUCUUUUUUUUUUUAGGAUCUGAAACAACCAUGUUCAUUUUGAAAAUAUAAAUAAAUUGGCCAUCUUACGUUCAUUAAGAGAGAGACAAUUUUUUGGUCACUGCACAUGGAUGUCCAGCCAUCCUAAAGGGAAAAAAAUCAAUGGUUCUGUUCUUGCGAUUUUUUUUAGGGUUUAAUAUAGUAAGCCCCUUAACUUUACAUUUAGUUGCACUUUACCCCCUCAACUUUACAAUUAGUUGCACAUUUGUGAAGUAGAUAGUGGGAAAGUUUUAAAUUUUAAAUUUGACUGGUGAUAGAGUUGGUUAUAACGUUACAUUUAGUUACACUUUACCCCCUCAACUUUACAUUUAGUUGCACAUUUGUGAUUUUUUUGAAACAUGAUUGUAAUUUGCAAAGCUCAUUUGUAGGGGUGGUUAUAGGAUUAGUUUAGUGAUAAAUAUUUCUUAAUUAUUAAACUGUAAAAUUGUAUUAAAAUAACAUACAAAUGAGCAUUUGUCUUUAAUUAAGGAGUAAAAAGAAUUUAAAGUAUAAAUAACAAACUAUAAACGAUUUAUGAUGUAGAUAGUGGGAAAGUUUUAAAUUUUAAAUUUGUCUGGUGAUAGGGUUGGCUAUAACCCACUACUUUUUAUAUAUUAAAAUAAAUUCAAAAAUCCAGAAAAAAGAAUGAAAAGUUUGGAAGCCAUUGAAAGGGUCACUCCUAAAAAUCCAUUCUGCAAUACAUAUAGAUAUAGAUUUAAAAUUUAAAUUUGUCUGAUAAAAUUAAAAAAAAUAGUACAAACAUCACAAUUAAACUACUAUUUUUAAAAUAUUGGAUUCUCCGAACAUGAUUAAAUAAUUGAGAUGAAUGAAGUAUAUAUAUAUAUAUAUAAAUAUAUAAAUAAUUAAAAAUAUAAAAAAAUAAUUAAAAAACAUAUUCAUAACGCAAGUUAAAUAAUAUUUCAAAUAAUUUUAUAUUCAAACACAGCCAUCUAUUAAUUAUGAUUGCUUUUAUAAAGAUAAGGAAAAUAAAAAAGUAGGCCCGUGCAUUCGUAAAUCUUAUCAAAGCAACUUUGGAGUAAACUGCCAAAGGUACAGGCAGCAGCACUACGUGAUGUUCACAUUUGUAUUAUAUGAUUUGAAGGAAGACAGCAACAUGGCAGGAAGGGAUUGGCAGGUUUGUCACGCCUUUCCAACGACUAGUCUUAGGCAUCUGUUUAGGAAAGCUGACGAAAGAAGACUUUUAUAUUAAACAUUUAUAAAUUUGUUGAAAAUGAUUGCAAGGACUUCUCUAGAAAGUCUGCUUAAUAUAGAUAGAUAUAUAUAUAUAUAUAUAUAUAUAUAUAUAUACAGCAACAUGGCAGGAAAGGAUGGGCAGGUUUGUCCAACCUUUCCAACGACUAGUCUUAGGCAUCUGUUUAGGAAGGCUGACGAAAGAAGACUUUUAUAUUAAACAUUUCUAAAUUUGUUGAAAAUGAUUGCAAGGACGUCUCUAGAAAGACUGCUUAAUCUAUAUACAUAUAUAAUAAAAGCGGGAGUUGGCAAAUGAAUAGUGCCAUUUUGGUCAAGCAGCUAUGCCGUUAUUUUUGUGACUUUGAGGGGCGUUUUGAUCUUUUGGAAUUGGAUGGCAAUGGCUCUGCUGGAAAUUGAUCUUUGGUCAAGCGGUUAUUCGAUAAUUAUGGACAACUUUGUUGGCUUUUGUAUUUGUCCUUCAUGUGUGUGUUUGGUUUCUCCAAGUGAACCGCACAAAGCUCCUACUUUUCCUCCCAAGUCACACCUGUUCCCACUUGAAACUCCUAAACGGAGUUGCUUCGGUCUUUUAUCUUCUCCAACUGAAUUAAGCAUACAGGGAUUCUUUCUUUUAAUCUUUUCUUUAUUUUCUUUAUUAGAAAAUUUUUAGUGCCCUUAUUUUUAUUAUUAUAGUUUUCAUUCUAUUUAUAUGUGCGUGCUAAGCCAUUUUUAGUGCCCUUAUUUUUAUUAUUAUAGUUUUCAUUCUAUUUAUAUGUGUGUGCUAAUUUAUGAGCUUAUUUUCUCUUUAUAAAAGAUAAUAUCUAACAAUAUAAAAGGGAAGAAUUGGGUUAUGAAUAGUGCCUUUUGGUCAAGCGAUUAUGCUGCAAUUAUUGUUGGAUGUGGAGGCUAUUUUUGUCAAUUGGCUAUUUUGGCUAUUUCCCGUUGGUGGUUUACUUUGUGAGGCAGUAAAUAAAAGUUCUGUGUGUGCCUCUUUUUCUAUGCAAUUUAUUACUCGUUGCAUUGGGUGGAGUAGUUGUCUACCAUGUUGACAAGAAGCUUCUAAUUGCAUGAUUCCCAAAAAUUGAAUCGAAAAAAAAUAGAAGUCCAACAUUGUCAUCACAGGUAACGAAAAUUGGCUAACGUGUCAAGAUUUGGAAUUAAAAAUGGUUUUUAAUCCUUCUACUAUUUAAGACACACAAUUAUAAAAAAAAAAUAUUAGUCUAUAUAUCCAUAUUAAAUGUAUGUAAUUAUUACAAAUUUUUUGAUGUCCUUAUCUUUAUUGUUAUUUUUCCAUUCUAUAAACAUAAAAUUAUUUCCGCCCUGUAUGUGAGUUAGAUUGUUAACUUACUUCCUUUUUAAAAGAAUUAAUUUCUUAUUUUACUAACAUAUUCGUAUUUAAUAUAUAUAAUUAUUAUAAAUUUUUUAACACAUUCAUUUUUCCCAAUGACUCUAAACUGAAAAGCAAUAUGGUGUGCUAUUUUUUUAUUAUUUUAGUCAAACAUGUAACAUUAAUUAGAUUGUUUCUUACAUUAAAAAACUAAAGGACUCUAAAUUUCAAAAAAAUAUAAUAUAAUUAUAUAUAUAAUACAAAAGGGAGAGUUGCCCUAUGAAUUGUAUUUUUGGUCAAGUGGUUAUUCUGCAAUUAUCUAACAAUAUAUAAAAGGGAGAGUUGCCCUAUGAGUAGUGUUUUUUUGUCAAGUGGUUAUCCUGCAAUUGUUAUUGGAUGUCGGGGCUGUUUUCAUCAAAUUGCCUGUUCUGUUUGUUUAAAGCAGGUAUAGUUUUGGUGCAUUUACGGGACAUAUUGAUCGAAUUGGUAAUUGGUGGUGUAAAAAGUGAAACUUUUGAAAGUUGGUUUUUUUGUGGUCAAUUAUUUGAUUUUAAAGUGUCCUGUAAAUGCAAAAUUACUUAGGAAAGAAUUGAUAAAUUAUUGCUAGCUUUAGUGACUUUAAAAAUGGCCUUUAUUACUGUAACAUGAAAUAAAAUUGUUAAAUGUUCUGUAAAUGCACAAUUAUUGAGGAAACAAUUAAUAAAUUAUUCUUGGCUUGACAUGAAAUAAAAUUGUUAAGUGUUUUGUAAAUGCACAAUUAUUGAGGAAACAAUUAAUAAACCAUUGCUGGCUUUAGUAACUUUAAAAAAUGGGUUUUAUUACUGUGACAUGUGGUGAUUAAUUUUAAUAAUGCCAAGUUCUAUGGUUUAAGUGCUUAAUUGACUUGCUAGGUCCCCUCUUUUUUGUGUCAACAAUAAUCAAUACUUUUUUAGGAAUGAUUCACUUUAUAAUUUUCUAAUUAUCUUAAUUCAAAUGCAAAAUAACCUUAUACAAUUUUUUAAUUUACGCUUAUGCAUUCUAUAUAAGCGCCCUCAUGCAUUCUAUAUAUUAUUGUUCUCAUGUAUUCUAUAUAUUUCAUAAUUGUCAACCUUUAAUAAAAACGAUAAUUCUCUAAUGAUCUGCAUGAAUUAGAUAAUAACAUAGAUAUAUACUAAUAAACCCACACAAUAAAAAAUAGUUAACACGGGAAAUAUUAGUCCACCUGCGCAACGCGCAGGCCGUCUCACUAGUUUAAUGUAAUGAUUAUCUUUCAUCAACGAUUGCAAGUAUUUUUCUACAAAUUCUACUUAAUUUAAUGUAAUGAUUAUCUUUCAUACCGACAAAACAAAGAAAGAUCCAUGUGCUGAAAUCUAUUACAGGACCCAUAACGUCAACACGUCAACGGUUACGAAGAGCCCAAUCCUUUGUUUAAUUGAAUGUGUAAUGAUUAAUUAAUUCAAUUUAGUUCUAGAUAUGUAAUGAUUAUCUUUCAUAUUGAUGAAAAAAUGAUUUGGAGAAAAUUCUAUUGCGAGACCCACAACUACGACGCGCAAACGAUUAUGAAGCGCCCAAUCCUUUGUUUAAUUUAAGGUAAUGUAAUAUAUAUAUAUAUAUAUAGUAAUUAUUAUUAGGAUUCAAACGCGGAAUAAACAACUAUUGAGAUAUCAUAUCGACAACAAUUUAAUUAGGAACAAGCCACAAGCAUGAAAGAUAAACGACACACAAUAUUUAACGUGGUUCGACUCCACCAUUAAAUCUACGUCCACGGAGAGAAAUCAGUUCUUUAUUAUGAGAGGCAAAUCCUAUACAAAAAUACAUCUUGAACCCAAAUCCAAACCUUGUAUACCAUCUCUCAUCUCCCAAGAAUCCUCUCUCACCCUAUAUAUAAGGCUACAUGUCACCUCUUAUAUGCCCUUGUGUGUCUCUUGUGUAGUAUGUCAACCCAUCUAUUUAUAGGAAACAUUAUUUGGCCAAAAAUCCAAAUAACAAUAGGAAACCAAUUCUAAUUCUUAGACUUAUACAGAAUAGGAAAUAACUUCUAAUUUUAAACAAAAUAGAAUGUUCCUUGGCUACUACUUCAAGUAACUAAAAUCAAUUAAGAAACUAGUUACUUUCACAUAAAACAAGAAUCCUACCUAAAAAAAUUAAGCCAAUUUCCUAACAAAUCUCCACCUUGGCGAAAAUUUCUUUUAGCAACUAUUUGCCUUCAACUACCAAAUAAUAUGGUACCAAACUACACACUCGAAUCAAUACAGUCCUGAUACCAAAUUGAUUCAAUUGGCAAAUGAACAUGUGUAAUUGCCCCGAGUCUAACCUCCUGUUGACUCGCGAGAAGGUGCCUCAAUUCACCAUCUCCCUUUGCAGGAUUUUUUCUCACCACCACUUGCAAUCCUGGAUUCCCUUUUGUGAGACCCUAACCAUUGAGGUAACCAAGUGGUAAAAUCAACAUAUUUCUUCAUAUCCUCAAAACUGUCUCACCACGUAUGGUUUCCAAAACUCCACCUAAAACGAAAAACUCGUAACUUUCAGAGUCUUCUGGCGCAUGAAAAUUUUAUUUCCUUAUUUCUUUGGGACACGUGCCAUACUACCUCAAAAACAUAACCAAAAUCUAAAAACCACCGGGAUGAAGUAUUGACCAUUGGAGAUGUGAAAAAGUCUCCAACAAUUCAUGUCUGAAAUCAACAUUGGACUCCACCUUUUCCUUGACCCUUGAAUCACCUGCCUAGAUUCACCGUCAAAUAUCUUCAUACUUUUCGACUUCCUAUCCUUCACUAUCAAUGCUUUUUGCUAAGCCAUUAAAACAAGGAUACCACUCAUUAAAUUAUUCAAUUAGUAACAGCUACCAAUCCACUUGAUCUCAAUAGUUAACUAGGAUCCAACCACGAAUUUUGCUCAUUGACUAGUCUCGCAAUCUGAAACUCUCAUACCACUUGUUAGGAUCCAAGCGCAGAAUACACAACUAUUGAAAUAUCAAGUCGACAACAAUUUAAUGAGGAACAAGCCACAAGCAUGAAAGAUAAAUGACACACAAUAUUUAACGUGGUUCGGCUCCACCAUUGAGCAUAUAUCCACAGACAGAAAUUCGUUCUUUAUUAUGAGAGAAAAAUCCUAUACAAGAAUACAUUUUGAAUCCAAAUCCAACCCUCGUAUACCAUCUCUCAUCUCCCAAGAAUCUUCUCUCACCCCAUGUAUAAGGCUACAUGUCGCCUUUUAUAUGCCCUUGUGCGUCUCUUGUGUAGCAUGCGGACCCAUCUAUUUAUAGAGAAUAUUAUUUGACCAAAAACUCAAAUAACAAUAGAAAACUAAUUCCAAUUCCUAGACUUAUACAAAAUAAGAAAUAAUUUCUAAUUCUAAACAAAAUAGAAUAUUCCUUGGCUAUUACUUCAAGUAACUAAAACCAAUUAGAAAACUAAUUACUUUCACACAAAACAAGAAUCCUACCUAAAAGAAAUUAAACCAAUUUCCUAACAAUUAUUUUAAUUAGAAUUAUUUCUCACUCUUACGUUACAUGCCUAAUUGAAAAAAAUUAAUGAGUUAUGGGUCAUUUGAGUUUUAUACAGAUUAAAUUCUAAUUGGAUUAUAUUAUAUAUUUAAAAAUUAUCUCUAAUUUUAAAAUAACUUUAAAAAAUAACUAAUUCUAUCUUAAAGAUAUUGUUUUAAAAACAACCAACCUUAUCUUAAUGAUUUUACUUUCUAUCAAAUUAUUACAUUUAGAGCUAUAGUAAAACCUCAAAUGACAAUUAUUGAAAUUUUACAUAUCUCAAAUUAUUUUCUAAAUCACAAUUAUUGAAAUCUUAUAUAUCCCAAAUUACUUCCUCUUACAACCGUACUGUUGAUUAGUAUUCAAAUUGUUCCUCAUUUAUUCCCAUAAUUUUGAAUUAACUUACUGUAAAAAAAAAUUAUCUAUUACACCGAUAGAUUUACCAAUAUUAUUGAAAACUAAAUAUUUAUUGAUCGAGAAAAAUGAACUGCGAGAUUUUUCUACUUAAUUAAAUAUGAAUAUAUAGUUCUAGAUUUAUGGUCAUUAUAACAAUUUAUAUUGUCUAAAAGAAUAUUGGUUAAAAAAAGAAUAUCUACCAAAUUUUUGAUAUGGUGCACAUGAUUUAAUAUAUAAUAUCCUAUUAUAGUGAAAAUAUGUAAACACAAUUUUAAAAAUUAGUAAACAAUUGAAAAUUUAGAAUACAUUAAUGUUUUUAAGUUAAUAUAGAUGAACAUAUAAGAUUGUUGUUAAAUUUUGUAUUUAUAUUAUUUAUAUUUAUAUAAAUUUGCAAUAAAUAAAAAAAAUCAUGCUAAGAUACGGGCAAAAUUCUAAUGAUCAAUUUAAUUUAAUUUAGUUUUAGAAACUCUAUUUAAUUUAAUGUAAUGAUUAUUCUUCGUACCGAUAAAAAAUGAUAUUGGGGAAGAAUCUAUUGCGAGAUCCACAACCACGACACGCAAACGGUUGUGAAGAGCCCAAUCCUUUGUUUAAUUUAAUGUAACGUAAUGAUUAAUUUAAUUGAAUUUAGUUCUAGAAAAUCUUUAAUUUAAUAUAUUAUCUUUCGUACCGACGGAAAAAAAGAUUAGUCACGCUUAUCCGUUCUUUUGCCGAGGGGAUGAAACUUGAAAGUAGACGGAAUCGAGGCCAGUGAAUGUCCAAUUUGACAAAAAGAAAGAAAGAAUGUCUGUUAUAGAAUGAAGACUGAUUUGAUACAGGAUUUGAGUUAUUUAUGAUGUGAAUAGUAUGUUAAGAAAAAUAAAAAAAAUUAAAGAGUUCAAGAGAAAAAACAAGUAGGAAAAGAAUUAUUCUUAUGAAAUUUCAAUUUUCUAUUACUUUGAUACAAGAAGAUUUACCCUUAUUUACAAGGGAAUUCAAAGUACAUCAAAAACAUUUUCAAGACGGCAAUAACAUCUUCCUGUAAGUCGUCAUAAUUUUAUUGAUAGUCGUAUCAAUUUUAUCAAAAGUCGUGAUAAUUUAUCGAAAGUCAUGUCAUCUCUGUCACCUCAAAAGUUAUGAUAUUCUGAAAAAUGUGAAAAACUUAUCACUAUUUAGAAGUUGAGAUAAAAGUGAUAUACAUCCAUAAUUUUUAAUUAUUUCGUAGCAACGUCCAAUUUGACAACUACAUCUAACUAAAGGAGUAAAGCACCCAUACCUGACUAAAUUUUUGGACGUUUGUUGGGAAAAAAAAAAAAGAAAAAUGACUAAAUUUUUUGCAUAUCCCAUAGAAUUUUGACCACCAGUCAAAACAAACCAUUUGAUUGAACGCGAACCAACUAUUCGUUGGAUGAUAGAGCAGAAAUUUAACUCUAGACCGGAUGGAAUCAUGUGACCAUUUUGUCCGGAAGAGAUGAUUUUGGAUGAAUAUAAAAUUUGACUAAACAAAUUGAAAAUUUUAAUAAGUCAUCUAUGUCUAUAUCUAUGUUUAUAUGUAUUGUAGAGAGGGUUUUUAGGAUGGUUAAAUUAGAAUGUUUGUAACUCCUCAUUCCUUUUUUUAUAUAUAGAAUUUUGAAUUUUUUAAAUUGUUAUGUAUAUUUUCAUUUUUUUGAAUUAAAAAAUAAGAAGUGGCCCACUUAAUCACUUAUAUAGGAAUUUGAUUUGAAAUAUAUUAAUGUGAAGGUAAAUAAAAAAGAAAAAUCACCAACCCUACUAAAAGUAAAAAAGUAAAUAAUAAUAUUUUACCCUUCAACUUAUUAAUUCUAAUUGAAAGGGAAAAUUAUAUAGAAAAUAAAAAAAUAAUAUUCAUUGGUCAUGGACUUAAAAUAUCAAAAAUGGUACCAUUUGUGAAUCCUAAAUUAUGAAAUCACUGAAUAAAAAACAAAAUAUUACUAGCCUAAAAAAACAAAUUAUGGAUUUAAAGGGUUUGGGAGAAUGGUGAAGGGAAAAUAAUAGGAAAUUGGGUGGCAAUGAUAGAAAACUAGAGGCUAACUAUAGGCGAGAGAAAGACAAUAACAAAGAGUUAAAGAGUGAUGGGAAAAAUUUGGACGGAGAGAGGAGAGACAAGAAAAAUCUAGAAGAAAUGAUGGGAUUGUGGGCGUAUGACAAGAAAGAUGGCACUGUAAUAAAAGGUCUGAAAAUCAUAGAAGACAAUAGAUAGUCAGUUAGCAAGUAAAAGAGAAUGGAAAUGGUGAUAGUCUUUAAUAAUUUUGAAAAUUUUAAAAACACAUUUUAUAAAGAUAAUUUUAAAUCUAUAUUAAAGUUUAUGAAAAACAUUAUUCUAUAAGCACUCGACAAUUUUAGGAUUACAUGAUGGGAGAAAUAAUUUUCUAAAAUUGAGGAAAAUGGAUUAGUUAUACUUUAUAUUUUUAAUGUUAAAAAUUUUGAUAUACAAGUAUAAUAUGAUAUAUUGAUAAAUAAGUUUACAAUUACUCUAUCAUGUAAAUCAUUAAAAUUACAUUAUUUUAUUCAAAUUGUUAUCAUAUAUUGAUAAAACAAUAGGUUAACAAAAUUUGGUUUCAACUUAUUUAAGAUAUUAAAAUUAAGAAAGUCCAUUUUAUAUUUACGAAAUAAACUUGUUUUAAACAUGUUACGCAUAUACUUCUUUGAAAUUUUUCCCCUUUUGCAUAUACUUUAUCCUAUACUAUAAUAUCUAAGUAUUGUUUUGAAUUGAAAUAUAAAUCAAUGCAUUUCAUGGAUAAGAAUGCUAGUGAAUAGUGUAUUAAAAUGUAGGAAAAGUGGUGCCUUCUCAAAUGGCUAAAUGAAGAAUUUAAUCAAGCGUUUCUCAACAUUUGAAAGAUUAAUGAUUUCACACCCUCAAGAUAAGGAAUUAGGGCUAUUGUAAAAUAAGGGGCUGCAUGCAGUACAUGCGGCCCUUAGUUUCCAAAAUUUUUCUAAAAGAUAACAUUUCUAAAAAAGUUCAAAAAUAAUAAUAAUAAUAAUAAAGAAAGGUGUUUAGUAGCUGCAAUAAAGAAAGAUGUUUAGUAGCUGCAUGUAAGCGGUGCCAAUUUUUGUUGAUUUUGCCAAAAUCGACACCCCUAAAUGAAGAAAAAAUCCACCACCUCCCUUAUUUUUCCGAUUUUCUUUUAAAAUAUUUUUAACAAUAUUUUGAGAAAUAUUAUCCUAUACGAAUAUUGGGGAUGCAGAGAGUAUUUAGAAUAUUAUCCAAUUAGAAUUACUAUAUCUCUAAUUUAUUUGCAAGUACUCGCUUCAUGAAAAAUUUUAUGUUAGACAUGACCAACUACUUGGUACGUAGGACAAAUUAAUAAAAGCUUCAUUUGGACAUACAAAGUUCCAACUCACAUUUCAAAUUUCACAGUCAGGUGUAUAUGGUAAAAUAAAAAACCAAUCAAGCAAAUACAAAGCUUAACAUUUUCCCCUAUUUAAAAAGAUACAUAGGAAGCUAGAUAAUUAUUUAUAAAUUCAAGGAAAGAAUACGAGCAACAAUUCAUCAUCAAGGUGGAGAACCAUACGAACUUCAAUCCACAUGAUUGAUCACGAAGGAGUAGCCACGUUACCUUGAGGAAGGCAAUACAUUUCUACAAUGAUUGCAACUACAAUAACCAAAAAUUUUCGAAAACUUUUCUUAGACCUUGCACCCCCUAGAUGUUUUUAAAUUGUAUUUUUGCACCUAAACAGUUUUGGCUUAAUUUAUCGAAUGUUCUCUUCACCGUUUUGCCUUCUUAUGCAGAUGGAACCAUAGAACUUUUAUACUAUGGAGUAAAAAAGAACAAAGAGUAAAUGGCAUUAUUCUGUAUCCAAACAUACAAAAUUGUGUUCAAUUGUUCCGAAACUCACGAUUCCCGUGAAAAUUGCUUCUCUGACUUUAGCAUUGCAAAGAACAAGUGGAUGAACCAAGGGUAUUUUUAGAUGAAUAAAAGUUAGUAUUGUACGUCAGGAUAACCAAAUAUACUGUAAGGACCCGAAUUUUUACUUAUUUUAAUCUUAUUCUAAUGGCUUAAUUAAUUAUUUAUUCACCCGUUUUCUCCGAAUAAUUUAUUCCAAUCUUUUUAGAUCCAAUUACAUGGAACUAUGGCUUACAUGUAUUUUUAAAAUGACUUGUUACAAAAAUUUAAUUUUUGGGAGCUCGUUUAGUGAAAAUAGUGAAUGCGCGUGUGGAGGGAGUAAUCGAUUCGAGGGUACAGUGAGCUUGGAUAUUGAAGACUUAUACAUUAGUUUUAAAAUAGGUAUUUUUAUGUUUAAGUACUCAAGUAUUAGUUAGUUAUACCACCGUUAUAAGAAUUUUUUAGAAAUUUCGCCGUAUCACGCUCAAAUCGAAAAUUCGCGUAUAUCGAACCGGAGCAGUUAAUUGGAGAUUUAAGAAAUUAUUUUAGACUAUUAAGAGUGAAUAAUUAUAAUGUUUAAGAAAGUGCAUUGGAGGUUUAGUGCACAAGUGAAACAAAUUCGAGUGGAUUCAGGCACGAAACGCGCGCGAACACACACUAUUCUUAGUUGACUUUUGAAGUAAAUUUGGGCCACAAACACUUAAGCUUCUCAAGGAAGCUUCACCAUCAGCAAAACACUCCCUCUCUCUUUACUCUUGCUGGCCGAAACACCAUAGGAGGAAGAGGACCAAAGCUCUUCAUCAUCUUGCUUCAUCUCUUGCUCAUUUUACUUCAAAUUCCUACCACACCUUGCAAAUAACUUGGAGAUCAUCUUGGGCUAAGAGAAGAGCUUUUUUCUCACGGCUUUCUUGAGUUUCUUGUGGCCGAAAAUUUCUGGUUUAAGAUCAUCUAGGAGGUAAUGAUCAUCUAACCCUUAAAUCUUAGCUUUAGGAAGUUAAAUUGCACUUGGAAGCUUAUAGCUUUAUGUAGGUACCUCUAUAUUGUUGGAAAUCUUGUGAGUGGACUCUAUGAAAUCUUACAAUGGACUUGAUGAACUGAUAUGAAGAUGUUGGGUGUUGUUUAUGUUGAUUUAGUGAUUAAACUAGUGAUUAUAAGUUGAAAAGUGGAAAGAAAACUCAAAGGAAGUGAAAUGGAAGAAGGGCCGGUUCUGCCCUAUCUUUGCCGUGCCCUUUGGUGCGAUAUUUUGUGGUUAAAUUGACUUAGUUUUGAUUUAGAUAUGUUGUAUAGGUUGUGUGGAAAUUUUUCACCAAAAAUGACUUGAUUUGGUUGGGCAAAAGUUGAAUUUUCGAAAUGGUUUCAAAUCUGGAAAACAUGUCCCAAGCUGCUCUGGCAGCGAAUUUCAAAUGACUAUAACUUUUUGCUCCGACGUCAAAAUCGAGUGCUGUUUGUGGCAUUAGAAACUAGACACUUCCAGGUUUUCAAGGGUAUAAAAUAUAUCCCCUGAUUCCAUGUGAGUGAACCGUACCAGCCUUUCAAAAUCACCUGCCCUGUUUCUCUAUUGUGUUAGAGUCUGUUAAGUGCUGCGAAUUAUUGCUUGAAUAUGAGCUAGUUAUGGAUAGAAUUUUAAAAUGAUUCCUUCUGUUAAAUUGUAGCCUUAUGAAUGUAGUUUCCUAUGCCACCAACCAUGCUUAAUUUCAAGUUGAAUUGAGUGAGUUGUGGCCGAAAUAUGAAACUGUCUCAGUGAUGGAAAACCUUCUUUUUGGCUAGUUGAAUGUCUUAAUUUGAAUUGGAACUUAUUAUUUCGAAAUUCUUGGUGUUAACUACCUACCAAAUGUAUUUUGGAUGUUUCUUACACCUUGUCUUCAUAAAUGAACCAGAUUUAAGUCGAUUCCAUUGGGCCAAAAGUUAGAAAAGGAAAACUGAAGUACAAGGCAGAUUUGCCUUGGAAAUUCUUGAAACUUUAGUGGCUUUGUUAAAGGAUCUUUCGUGCGAAUUUUUGCAUGAAAUUUGACAAAGGGAUAGAACUUAUAUGGUAGUGUAAUCAUACCAAAUUUGGUGCCAUUCUGAGUCCAUUUCGAUGCCCAACCAAAGUCUCAAAGUCAAUGAGGAAAUUUCAGUAACUUUGAGCUGCUAUAUCUUGGUGCUCAAAACUCCGAUUCUUGUUCCGAUUAUUGUGUUUUAAACUUUGAUUAUAACUCUAAUUGAGUUUCAAAUUUUAGAGGCUAGUUCACAUUUCGUGAAUUUUUGCCGAAUUUUUACAAUUGGCUAAAAACCAACCUCGAAACUGUCUUGGUAUUCCAAAACAGCAAAUUAAAGCCGAGAUUUGAAUGUCUUCCAUUUGGAAUAAUGAAAAAGUGCCUUCCAGGAACUUUUAAUCGUUUGGAAGUAGUUUCCAACAGUGUGAAGUUUUCCAAUUUUGGGCUUACAAAAAGUGAGAUACGAUUUUUCAAAGAUUGCGUGUCAAAUCUGAAAUUUCCAAACUUAAAGGAAAUUGAGUUUUUAGAACUCUCCAUUUUUCUUCGACACCACUUGACCGUUUUACACUUGAUUUCAAAGAUGAAAAUCAGGUUUUCUUGUAUUACUAAAACCCCUCUUUUGAGUGUCGAUUUACGAGUAAUUAAAGCUCAUUUUCAUGAUAUCUUCUUAGAUUGUACACUAGUACAAUCUUCUUCGAUAAUUAGGGGUUUUAAGCGAUAGUGUGUAAUAGUUUAUUAUUAAUUACUCAGGCACUCAAGAGGGCCUUCAAGAGGAUCCCAUGGUGGACGCCUGAACCCUCGAGUGGACAUUGCUCACUUGUUUUUUUUUUUGAUUGGUGAGUGUCAAGUGUAUGUGAACAUAUUACGUGCUUAAUUGUUAUUAGUGAUUGAAUAUUUUGAAAAUGUUGAGUCGAGUGUAUACUUUACCGUAUUCGUUCUCAUUUAAGUGAAGUGUACUUGAAUUACGUGACAUGAAAUACUUGAAAUGAAUAUUUAUGUGAAGUGUACUUGAAUUACUUGAAGGGAAUUGCUUGAAGUGACUUGUUAAAUGAAUUAAGUGAAGUGUUUCAUUUUUAGUGAUUAAUUAUGCUAUGGCUGCAUAAGUCGAUUGAAGCGAUGUCUCAUCGACCACUGAGCGAUAGUAAGUACCACACCGAUUCGGGUGGGAGGUACCUCUCGUGUCGUUUCAGAACCAUAAACUAUUCUAAGUCGAUUGGAGCGAUGUCUCAUCGUACCACACCGAUUCGGGUGAAAGGUACCUCUCGUGUCAUCUCGGAACCAUAAACCAUUCUAAGUCGAUUGGAACGAUGUCUCAUCGACCACUGAGCGAUAGUAAGUACCACACCGAUUCGGGUGAAAGGUACCUCUCGUGUCGUCUCAGAAACAUAAAUGGAAUAAGUGAAGUGUUACGAAUUUAAUUACCUAUCCGGGUGACGAAGUGUCGUCCCGAGGAGGUAUUGGAUUGAAUUUUGACAAAACAAGUGGAAAUGAGCUCCUAAGAGCUCUUGUAUCCUACUCAAGUGUGUUUUAUUAUAAAUUGUGAAUUACUUGAAUGUUAUAGUUUUUAUUAUUAUGUAAGUGCUAUUGUUAUUGAACUACGUGUUUUGCAUGUUUUCUUGGUCUCACGAGCGUUCGCUCACCUCCGUCAGAUUUGUUUUCCUUAACAGGAGUUGGAAUGGAAAGAAAUGUGAAGAAGCCGACUCGAUGGACUUUUGAUUGGAGUGUUUGAAAGUAAUUGUUAGACAACUUUUAGAGAUUGUAUUUUUAAAAAAUGAUGUACUUUUGAGAAUUGCAUUGUGAAACUUGAAAGUUUAUUUAAGGAAGUUACUUUGCUUCCUUUGACUGUUAUUUCUUGGUUGUUUAUCUUAAGUUUGAAUUGAAAUUGUAUCGAAUUCUGGCGAGAGUUGGGCAGGCGUUCCGCGGACACCCUUGGAUUCGCCCUUGGGAGAAGUGGGGGCGUCACAGUUGGUAUCAGAGGUUAGACUUCAGAUCUUUGUAGAGUGUCCUUAGUUUAAAAGUUUAGGAUGUCGGACUGUGGGAUUUGAUUGUGUAUUGCGUGUAAUGUGAUCUUGGUGCUUGAGGUUGUAGCACCAUUUUGCUCACAAAAUGCUAUAAGACUUUACUCUUUAAAUUAGGCUGGAGGUGAGUCAAGAUUAGGAAAUUUAAAUAGUCAUUUGGUGAGUUUAAGGGUUAGGAACCUUACUUCCUCCAUUAUUUUGCUUACCGAAUUUUCCGAAAGAAAAGUUGAACUAUUUGAACAAUUUUGGGCUCCACUUUGAACUUGAAAAUGAGACAUCUUUUGCAUUCCAUUUGGUUUGACUUAUUACCAUAACUUGUAUAAGAACUUUCACCUUGAAUCUAGUGAGGAGACUAAGAAUUUAGAAAAUAACUUAGGCUUUUGGAUGAAAUUUGGAGUUUAUAAUCAUUUGAAUGAUGUGGCUUGGUAUCCGGAAUUCUUCUAGUUUUGUCCCUAACUAGACUUAUGAUUUUCUUUUGAUCCUGCUUAAUAUAGUAGGGGUGGUGCUCGCUGUAUGAUUUUUUGUAUUUUGCCUAUAUACACUCUUAUAUUUGUGACACUUAGUUGCUUAUGACCUGUAUUUGAUAUUAUUAACCCGUUGUAUGCGCAUCGACAUAUGACAUGACAUUGACAUUGACAUUGACAUAUGACACUUUAAUUAAAAGUGUUAUUGUAAUGUGUACAUGUUUUUCAAUUCACGCGCUUAUACUUUUCACUUUUAUUAUGCGUUUAGAAUCUUGUUAAAUGGAUCAGCGAGAACGUGGAUGGGGGCGUGGGCGUGGAUUUCGACAACCCCACACUUUCGAGAGAGGUGAGGGAUCCUCGAGUGGACCAAACCAAAAUCCUAGAAACGAAGAGAGUGACCAAGUGGUUACCGCCAUUAACCGCAUGAUCGAUAUUCUCGAGCGCUUAAUUGAGCGCCAGAGACCUGAACCAAUCAACUAACCUAGGAACCAAGAGACGGGUACGGAUAAAGCCCUAGAACGAUUCUUGAACUUCGCUCCACCUAAGUUUAAUGGAGGUCCUGAUCCCGAGGUAGCGAAAAAUUGGUUUGAAAGGAUGGUUGACAUUUUUGCUGCUCUAAAUUAUACCGAGGAAAGGCACGUGAAUUUUGCUGAUUUUCAAUUUGAGGGGGUAGCACGCUUGUGGUGGAAUGUCGUUAGUGCAAAAUGGGAAAGAGAACAAAUCCCUUGGACUUGGAUAAAAUUUAAGAGGGAGUUUAAUGUUAAGUUUCUCCCGCCAAUUAUACAAGAAAAGAGGGAGGAUAACUUUAUUAAAUUGAAACAAGGAUUAUUAAGUGUGGCCGAAUAUGAGGAGCGGUUCACCAAACUUUUCAAAUUUGCCCCUAAACUUGUAGUCACCGAAUAGAAAAGGAUAAGGAACUUUAUUCAAGGGUUAAAUGUAGAAAUCCAAGAAUCUCUAACAGCAUCCCAGAUUACCACUUUUACAGAUGCCUUGGAUAAGGCACAGAGGGUAGAAAAUGUUAAGUCUCAAUUUAAGGUAUUUCAUGCUAGAAAGAGGGAUAACUCAAGUGAUACCUCUAAACAGUCCGAGAUGUCUACCCAACCCCUUAAAAUAGGAAAUUGGGCUGGAGGAGUGAAAAUGCCUGAAAAAUUCGAAGAAACUCUAUCAAACAAAACCCCACCAAAAGGAAAUCUGAGUAGACGAGAUCAACAAAAAGGAAAAUUUCAAACUGGUCAAGCUGUGACUCCUCACGUAACUUAUGGAUACUGUGGUCAGAUUAACCACACUAAGGCCGUGUGCUGGAAAAAGCAAGGAAAAUAUUUGAACUGUGGUAGUACCGAGCAUAAGUUUUCGAAUUACUUUAGAGAUUAUAAGGGAAAAGGAAAUUCUCAACAACCUACUAAAUCCACUGCAAAUCAGUCGAGUGCCAGAAGGAGUGAUUAAUGCUGAUGAUUGUAAGAGGAAUUCAAUUAGUGGAAACUCUACGCAUAGGGGUGAAUCUGACUCCACUCGACAAAUAGGGAUCGUAGUCUUACCCUAGCAUAGACUGGCACUUUUAGAGGUUGUAAUUUUUUAUAUAGGGGAUGACAUCUUUUUGUUGUAUAUUGCGACUUAGCACAUUUCAAUCUUGUUGUUUUCCCUUUUCUUUUGAAACGAUUUGAUGAAUUUAGUAUAAUUUAGUGUAACUAUUAUGAUCUUUUAUGGCAUAUGAAAAUUUACCUUGCAUUUAAUUGAUUUUACAAUUUAUAUGUAUAUGAGUUCGAAGCUUCACUUAACAAACACAGAAAAUUUCAGGUUUAACCCUAAUAUAGUUUCUGAAAGGGCCAAGAUUUCUUGUUCAAAUCAAGGGAAAACUACAUGUAUGAUAGGUCCAUGUUUCAAGUAUAAUAUGGAGCAAGAACAUGUUGAUUAUAACCUCUCUGUCUGAUCUUACUUCAACCUUUCCUCCUCUUCUACAAAUGUGAGAUGAGCUCAUUUAGAGAUAAAGUCUCCUUUUGACAAAUGCAACUUACCUUAAACUGAUUAAAUUGUGUAUGAAGAGAUAUUAAAAUCAAAUACAUUAGUAACUCUUCAGAGAGUAUCAAUUUAAGUGCAUUUAAUUUUGAAAUAAGAUCAGACACUCCAUAAUGUAUUCUCUGAUAUUACCUUUACCACUAUAUUUUAUUGAAAUUAGACGUGUCAAGCGCGUACUAAUUUCAGUUUUUUCAUUCUUGACAAACCUUUUUUCAAUGUCCUGAAGGAACUCUUUAGCAGUUACUGUCGUUUCUGACAUUGUUUUUCUGAAUGCUUUUGGAACGGUUUUUUUGAUGAUUAUCAAACACAAGCGAUUUGAUCUCACCCACCUUUUCUUAUCCCUCUUUUCAUCAGAAGUACUCUGAUCUGUAAGAGGUAGGAGAGAAUCAUUCCUUAACACAAGGUCGAGAUCCAUUAUUUCAACUAUUGUUAAGAGAUUUUCUUUCCAUAACUUGAAAUUUGUGUCAUUCAGCAUAGAAAUAUUAUUGAUGUUGGUAGUAAUAUUCGUAAAAUCAUUUGCAACUGAACAGAAAACAUAAAAUAUUUUUAAAAAACUCACAUAAAUCAAAAUAAUGAUAAAUUCAAAUAAUGGUAACCCUAUCUCAAGAUACCGAUGUUUCAUUAAUAUUUUAUCUUUGGACAAAAUAUUAAUUUUUAAUUGAUAUCUUGGUGCAGUAAUAAAUACUGAUAAUAAUAACAUGUCAAACAAUAAAUUUUCUUUUGGACCAAUUUAUAAUUCACAUGUAAGAAAUUCAAAUAUUCAUAACGUAUUUAUUACCACAAGUGCACAUGUAAUUUUAUUAAAUAUUGAUCUUCUUUUGGACAGAUCAAUAUUCAUAAAUAAAAUUAUAAGUACCUAACUAGUUAUAUUUUAGAACAAAUUAAUUUUCACAAUAAAGGUCACUUUAGCGGCAUAUUGUUUCAAUUAAUUUAUUCUAAAAUAUAUAUAAUCAUACCAAUAUUCAAAUUUAAAAUUACAUAAAUGAAACAAAAAUUUUGACCAAAGUCAACUUUGGUCAACUCUGAUCAAAACGUGGUCAAACAUGAUCAAACCAAUCAAAUUGGACCAAAAGUCCAUAUCCAUAAUUGAACCAAAUUUAUCAUUUAAGUCCUAAAUUUUCUUGAAGUCCAUAAAUGCUUUUUAAGACUUUAUAUUUAGUGGGCCUAAUGUAUGGACUUUAUAGGGUUUAAAUGUCUUAUUAACUUUAUUAGGAUUCACUUAAAUUAAAGAAACUCUAAUUUCCUUAAUCAGAACAAAAAACUUGUUGGUCGUGCAAACAAAACCAAAAUUAUUCAUAGUUCUAUAUAAAAAAAACUCAAAAUUUAUGAAUUUUCAAAUCCAAAUUAUUUCCCAAUAAUCAACCAUAUUUUACACUAAUACCACUUGUUAUGAUGGAUGUUUAUAUUUAACUUUUGGUGAAAACCAUCACCUAUCAAAUCCAAAAUCUAUAUGGCGAAUAUUAAGAAAUAAAUUAUCAGAAAAAUUGCGGAAGUGUACCUUGAUUCAUAUUGAUAAACUGGUGCUUGAAUUCCUAAAGAUUUUGGGGUGGUCUUCUAGGUCAACACGUAUUUACCAAUCUUUGAGAGAGCCCUUUAAUUUCUGAUCUCUAGUAUCUUUCCUGGCGAUGGAAUAUCAGGAAAGAGCUAUUUUGUCGGUACUAGAAAAUAUGGCAAUAAGAAUACUUGUGACCUGUGAACUAUAACCCUGUUUAUAAGUAACAUUCUUGCUACCUUUUGAAUUUCUAUUUCAGCUCAUUAUAGAAAUAAAAAAUACCCUUAAGUCUCUACACAUUAAAUGCCCAUAUCUUGCUAGAUACAUUAAACCCAAAUUAUAGUUAAUCACUUUAACUGGACUUAACCUUAUUUGACAAUUGUAUUACAUAAUUAUUUACAUAUAAAUCCAACAUUAGAUUAAAGAUUCAACAUGCAAGACACACUGAUAAAAGGGAGAAUGGCCAGGGACCUUUAAGAGUAUUAUUAACUCUUCAAAAGGGGUAUAGCUAUUGGGCAUUCUGUACCUUUUGGAUGUACAUUUGUAGGGACAAACUGAUUUGGUAACAUCCCCUGUAGCAAAUCAUACCCAAAGUGAAGUAAGAUCUAUCAUGUCCAAUAAUGGAGCAGAUAAUUGAGAAAUGGGCUUCUAAGAAAAUUAGGGCUCAUUGCAUUACGUCACCUCUUGCAUAGAUAAAAAAAUGCAUGACUGGGAAAGCGCUCAAGGGUACAAGGUUUCCAGAGAUUUUCGUCAGAUCCUUCAACAUUUUUGUAUGUGCAUUCCUAAGAAUCAUUGCAUUACCUAAUUAAAGUAAAUUCCUCUAAAUUAAAAUCGCAUUUUCAUACUCUCAGCAGCAAAUAGUUAAACGUGGAUCAAAUAGUAUGGCAUCCAAAUCUGAAGAGGAACUAUUUAUGAGACGAUGGAUUCAUUCCAGUCAACCUACUCUUUUAAUAAUAAAAAAUUUAUCAGUAAUUUAAACCCUAGAUAAAAUUGAAAAAUGGAAACCCAUUAAAAAUAAUAAGAAAGCCACAAAAUGAAGGAGGAAAAAGGAAAACAAAGAAGACCGUAACUUUAGGAUCAUUACCGAUGAUAAUCAUUGAGACAGCAAGAGUGUCGAUGUGACAUCACACUUGCACUGCCUAUUGUUGUAGCGGGAAUCAUAACAGCACCCCGAAGCCAUCGAAAACAAAGUUGCCGCCCUGUUUGAAGGCAAUUUGAAAAUUAAGCAAGAUCAUCAAUUUAAGUGAGCGGUGUUGAGGAGAUGGCCACAGGCUACAGCAGCCGUGGAGGAUUUUCUUUUGUUUUUUCUUUGGAUAAUUUGAGAAACCUCCCCUAAAUUUUCUGAUAAUUUCACUAGCCUUCCCUGAAAUUUGUAAAAUUACACAAACCUUUCUUAAUUUUAAGGUUUUGAUAACAAAAUUAGUUCAUUUAAAAAAAGUAACAUUAAAAAAGUAUUUUAAGGGGAGAGAUGAAACUUUUAUUCUAUAAAUACUCCUUAUGUAUGUAUAUAAGUUGCAUUAGUAAAAUAAUAAAAAUAAUUAAAAGUUAGAAACAAUCAAUACACAUAUUUUACUACUAAAAAAGUUCACAUUUAAUAAAUUAGACAACACAAAUAAGCAACAAAACUAUACUAAUGAUCACAAAUAAAAGGAGGACUUUGGUAGAAAAGAAAAAUACAUGACAAAAGAAGGUUGUUUAUGGUAAUAUUUUCUUUGAAACUCUUAAAGUUGUGACAAUUGCAAAGUAAUUUCACAUAAAUAAAGGAGAAAGGAGGGAAAAGUAAAGUAAAUUUUGAAAAUUUUUCUAUUUAAAAUCACAAGAAUCAUGGUAAAUAUCAUUUAAAAAAAGAUAACUAGUGUAUUAUAAUUAAGAAAUUAAGGGAGCCAAAUCCUUAUCCUUUAUGGUGAUCAAACUAGGAAAAUGCACAUGCAAUUGCACAUGUAUAGUGUGUAAUUGGGAAUUUCGCCAAUUUGGUCCCUAAACAUUUUCACUUAAAUCAAUUUCUUCCUUCAUUAAAAAUUUUAACCAAUUUAGUCCCUGAACUAGUUUUUUACUUUCAAUGUAGGACUUUUUACUACAUUUUACUCAAUUCGCGUGGACCAAAGGGGUAUAAUUGUCACACUGGUUUAAUCUCCUCCAAUUAUCCACCGAAAAGGAUUAGACAUCAUUACAAAAAGGGGCGAGCAUCUGGUUUGAAGACAGUAGGGCUCAUCUUUAGUUGCCUAAUUGUAUCUGCAAAGGAGCACAUGUAAGAUGCAUGAAGGGAAAAAGUAUUUCAAUGGAGCAUCAAGUUCGUGCAGCUUCCAACACUCAAAUCAUAAGGAUGAGGAAAGUGGAAAUUUAUCAGGGGUGAAGAGAGAGAAGGUAGGUCAGUACAAUGGAUCUGAGAUCGUGUUUUGUGAUUGUAAUGAACCACGUCGAAUAGCUACUUCGUGGACAUUGUCAAAUCCAGGAAGAAGAUUCCAUGGCUGCAAGAAUUAUGGGGUAUUUUUUCUAUUUUGUUAAUAUAUUUCAGGGGAAAUUAAUUUUUUAAAUUUGGCAAUAUAAUCAGAUAUGGGUAUUUAGUAGUAAUUUGUGCUUUAGAUUAACUUGCAAUAAUAGGUAAUCUAAUUGGGGUAUUGAUAUUGAUUAUAGUCACCGAAGGCUUGCAAGUACUUUUUGUGGUAUGAUCCACCAAUGCCGGAGAUGACAAAAAUACAAUGGCAAAACUUUUGAAGGAACUAAGAAAAGCUGAACAAGAGAACCAGUUCAUGAAGAUUGACCUUGCAAGGUAGAAAGAAGAGAAGAAGAUGAUGAAGGUUGAAAUUCGAAAGUUAAGAGAUAAGAGCAAGUUGCUAGUUUUUGUUGCUGUUUGUUGUGGUUGCUUGUUAAUUGUUGUGCUUGUUGGCAACGAGAAAAAAUGACAUGCUAAAAAAGACUUGGGGCUCCAAAUGUUGGUUUAGAUGAAUUAGGGAAACGUAUGUACUUGCUGUUAGCCUUUUGUUCACGAAGUUGUAAGGUGGAUAUGGUUGGCCUUAAUUUUGUCUGACUAUGAUUUGGUUGUAAGGCUGUGUAAGCAUUUGAUGAAGCAUUUGUCUAAGUAAUAUAUGCAAUGGAUAGGCAAAUUUUGUAUAUGGACAUGUUGAUAGGCCUUCCUGAAUGAGAUUAAAAAUUAGAUUUAGCCCAUCGUAAUCUGUUUUGUUGGAAGCUGUCUUCUAUUGAUGAAACGCAGAAUUAGCAAAUUUUGUUGGAACCUAUAGUUGAUCCGCAGUUUUAUUUGCUUUCUCAAGUGUCCUUAUCUGAUGUAGGCUAGUGAGGGAAUUGCAGAACCUCAUUCCAAAUCUGUUUGUUCCCACUCUAGAUAAGGCUGAUCAAACUAAAUGGCUAGGUGGUUCUUGCAGAACAUCUCAUAUCGGCAGUGGAGGUGCUUUAGUUGGCCAGCUGAGUUUGUGCUUUGUAAUGCUACAAGGAAUCUAGGAACACCUACUUUUUGAAUAUACUUCUGGGUUUGUAUGGAGCAGAGUCCAAGCUAUGUGCUCUAUUUUUAGGGCAUUGAGCUUAGCUGGAUUUGCCAGUACUGGAAAACCAAUUCCUUUGUUGAUUGAUUCAGAAGAUUGGUUCUGGCUAUAACUGUAUAUCAGGCUUGGAAAGCCAGAUAUGAAGUCAUUUACAAUCAUCUCUCUGCAACUGCUAAAGUAAUCCUUGCUGCUAUUGUGGGUGCUGUCAGGCUUAUUGAUAUAUUCUUGGAAGGAAAUUCCACUCACUAAAGCUAAUUGGGAUAUCAUCAUGGAAUAGUGUUUCGCUCAUAAUUGUUUUGAUAGGUGUAUCAUGUUGCUGAUUAUGUUUUCAUUGUUCAUAAUACGGAAUAUAUAGAUAUGUUUAGUGAGCUAUUGAUGUAACUGAGUUGACUGCUCCAUGUAUAAGCUUUACAACCUGAUUAAUAAAACUUGCAAAAUUAAUAAAAACUACUAUUUUGCUCCCAUUCUCAAAAAUUUUUUGCAGUGAUCUCUCAGGAUCUUCAAUUCUCCUUGUACACCGAAAGCAGAGGAAGACACAAGCGUGUCAGCCAAACAAGAAUUUCUAGGUUAUCCCUUCAAUUAAUUACUUGAGCAAAAUGCAUCAAAAUUAUCAUUACUCUAAGAAAUUUUACAUCAAAUGGGUUGAAAAGUCUUAAGAUCUUUGAGAAUUCAAGUACAAAAUCCAUGGAGUAUGGAGUCUUUAAAAGUUUAGAUUUCUGUUAAUCAUGUGCCAGGUAUGUACACAACAUUUUGAAAAAGCUUAGAUAGAGUUAGUUAUACCAAACAAGGAAGGCAGACGAAAGGAAAGCUACAUAAACACGAGAGAGUCAUGACUCCAUCUCUCGUACCUGUGCUACUAAACUCUGAAAUGUCUAUACCAUCCAGAGUUAGGUAAGGAUAGACAUGCUAAUUCUGCAAUUUUAAUCUCAUUCUGGAUGGUAAGGAUAGCCAUUCAGGUAGCUAAUGGUGUCUUAAAAAAUUCGGCAAGAUUUCACCUUAAAAUUUGACACUCUCUAAACACAACCAACCCAUGUAACACCUGAUGAUUAUGCAACCAACAAAAGAUAUUAGGAAUUUCAUAUAACCAGUGAAUGCCAAUUGUCCAAAAGAGAUCAAUGCAGAAGCUCAUGUCUAGGCAAUGAGAUACAUGGCAAGGUAACAUCGGCAGACUUUUACAAAACAAAACAAUCACAGGAAUAUUUUCUAGGCUCUUUCCCCCACAAGAUCAGUACGCUAUAAUUACAAUUGUAAAAUCUAUAUUAGGGAGACUUCAUGCCCUAAACAUGUGUAACAAAAAAUUAAGCAGUCAGGGGGGGUUCACAUCUGUUAAUCAUCCCUCCAGUAUUGCUAUGUCAGCUUCAUCAUCAUCUUCAUCUAACACCCUAUGUGCCUGCAUAAAUCACAUAUAUGCAUUAGGGAAUAAAGUAGACAAUGAAUUUCCAAUUUUGCUUAACAAUUAUACACACAAACGGACCGUUUGUUUUCUCCUGGCCCCUUUCCAUUUUGAAGGAGAAAAUGGACCAUAAACUGACAUAGCAGCCCGUCUUUUUCUCCAAGAUCGAGCCUGAAAGGAAUCACAAGUUUGCCUAUUAUGUCCAGUUUUCUUGCAAACUGAACACUUCAUCACCUUUUCCGGCAAAUCAGUAGAAAUAGCUUGGGGAGUCGAAAGCUGGAACUCUAUCACUUCAGCAUCUUCAGUACCAGCUUCUGUAAUUCCACCUGGGACUAGAAAAGUUUACAAUUAAUUGAGCAAAAGAACAUACAACCAUUAAAAGAACUGUAGUCAGAAAAAUUUAGAAAAACAUAGAAACACAGCAAACCAUUAUUUGAUGAAGAUACAGUAGCAGUUUUUUGUUGGUCUCUUCCACUUUCCCCAUCAUUGAAAGCCUGAUAUACAUCUGUUAAAGAAAAAAGUAUCAAUUUAUGUUAGUUUUGAAUUAAUCAUAAAAAAAAAUAAAUUCAGCAAGCAAUCUUCAGUAUCAGCUAUGGUAGUUGAUCCAUGGUCUUCAUUCACUUCAGGCCUCUCAGUUGUCUUACUUAGUUGUGGACAAGUCCUCUUGUUAUGGCUUUUCUCCUUGCAGAAGCUGCAUUUUUUGGAGUUAGACGAUGGUGGCCUACCACAGGAUGAACCGGGCAGCUCAUUUACAGGAAUGAUCAAUGGGCAUUUUCUAACAGUAUGACCUUCUAAAUGGCAGUUUGAACACUUUAUUUUCACAAGUCCUCUUCUAGGCAGUUUUGUUACACCUACGGAAUUGGCCCUUGGCUCAUCAAGCUCUCUUCUCCGUGCUUUUCUUGGCCUACCAGGGAGCUUUAACUUCGUUGGAGGUAGCACUGGCUCUUUUUUGGAUUGGACCCAAGCAUUCGGACCACUCAUUGGAGCUAUGGCUGGUUCAUAUGCUUUCAAGUAAUUCUCUCUUGAGUAAUACUGAUGAACCAUCGAUUCCGGAGUUACACCAGUCAAGGAAAUACAACAUAUGGCAUGGCAACAAGGCCAGCCAGUCAGGUCCCAUCUUCGGCACGUGCAUGUUUGUUUUUUGAGAUCAACCACAUACUUUCCGCCAUACGCAUGUGUCACUUCAAACUGGUCCUCCUUGGACCAUCUUGCAAUGUUUGAAGCAGCUUCUGUUUUUGCCUUCUCAAGUUUUUUCUGAAUUUUGAGACAUAUCUUGUCAUUUCUCUUCUUCAUACAUUCUCUCUUGGUUCUCAGCCUUUCCAUUAGAUAAAUUCUGAGUAUCUCAAGCAUUCCCAAAAUUGGUUUUUCCCUAGCCUCCAUAAUGACUGAAUUAAAACUCUCGCACAAAUUGAUGAGCAGAAUAUCGCACUUUGGUGUGAUCUGAAAGUGCGAUCUUGACCAAUGACAAGGUGAUGUGUUUUCAAUUAGCCAUUUCCAUGCUUUUUCAUCAUAUUCCUUCAAACUCUCCAUCUGAUUUUCAAACCAUGUCAUGUAGGACACCCGAGCACAAGUCCAAAAUCUCUCCUUCAAUGCCAAGCCCGGGUGCAACUUCUUGAAGUUGUUGUGGAGGUGCCUGACACAGUGUCUAUGCUCAAUUUCUGGAAGCACUUCAUGAAUUGCAGUCCCUAAACCCUGUUAUAAGAUUACAUAUAAAAUUAAUUAUUAAAUUUCAGUAGGAAUGAAAAUUAAUUAAUUCAGCAAGAGAGUACCUUUUGUCUAUCACUAAUAAGUGUCCACUUUCUUUGGUCAUAAAUUUCCAAGUCGUACUUCAAAAAUUCGACGAACCACUUCCAAGACAUCUUGUUUUCAGCCUCUACUACUGUAUAAGUAAUGGGAUACAGGCAAUCAUUUGGAUCAAUCCCAACAGCUGUCAAUAGCACUCCGGGGUGUGGACCUCGUAAAUGGCAGCCAUCCACUCCAAUGACGGGCCUACAUGCAGACUUAUAUCCUAUUUUUAGUGCCCCAAAGCAGACAUACAGCCUUUGGAAUCUCUCUCUCCCAAUGUCUUCAUCUAACUCUAUCUCCAUGUACACAGUGGAACCCGGAUUACAUUUUAGCAGCUCGUCACAAUAAUCCCAAAGCCUUUGAUGCUAUUCUUUAUAGCUCCCAUGGAUUAUGAUCUUUGCUUUCAUGAAUGUCUUGUAGACUUCUGCUAUAGUGAUGUUAACAUUAAGUUCCGAAUGCACAUUCUCCCUAAAUUCCUCAACAGUGAUUCUCUUAUUCAACCUUAAAAAUUCUACAUAUUUUUUAGCCAGAAAACCUGAUAGCUCUCUUGUGGUAGAAUGUCCGGCUACAAGUGUGCUCAGGUCCCAUAGUCUUCAUCACAAGAGAGUCAUCACCGGCCUCAACCUUAAAGGCAAACAACAUCCAUUGACAAUUUUCUGCCUUGCAUUUAACUCUCAUCCGUGUAGCAUCUUGUUUUACCCAUUUGAUAUCCUUGCCCCACUUGACUGCGUAGUUAUCCACAGCUAACUUGAACAAUUGUUUAUUAUCAAAAACUUGUCCAACAUGAAAUUUAGGAUCUUCCAUAUCCACAUCAGGCUUAAACCUCACAAGACUCGGGUUCUUAGCCUUUUUCUUCUUUUUGCUAUCUUCAUCCGAGAAGGACUGACAACUCUUCAACUCAUCUGAGGCAAGCGAAUCAGAUUCCUCCUGGACUGGAAUCUGAUCUCCUUCAUCUAAGUGCAAGUCCUUCAAAGAAUGAUCUUUAGCUCUUUCUUUUUUCUUCUCAGCUGUAGGCGUAGACAUUUUUUGUUUCUUACACUCCUUGCCCCUACUUUUUGCUCCACCAUCAAGUUGUAUCUUUCCAAUUCGACAACCUAACUCUUGCUCAGGUGUAACAACGCAACUCUGAAAUAUAACAUCUUCUUCAUCAUGGCUAAAAUCAUAAUCGCUAUCAUGGAAGCUUUCUGCUCUGGAUGAAUCCGAAUGGACAGCAUCAUUAUCACCAUCAUCAUUACCAUCAUUUCCUCCAUGUUCAGCAGGCUCUAUUUUUUCAUUUUUUGACUUCACAUGCUCCAUCAUUUGUUCAACUUGGACUAGUAUUUCUUCAAAGUCAGCUACAUCAAUAUCAUCAAAGGUGAGCCCCACAUAUAAAUUAUCAUCUUUUACUUGAAUCUCCUCAACAGUUGCUGCACCUAAAUCAGUGUUGCUAUUAACAUCUCAUAUAUGAAAUUCAUAGACACCAUACACAUCAACUUCUCCAUAUUUUUUACCAAUGCAAGCCACGUCUAUUGCAUCAUCCUCACUAUCUAUUUGCCGAAGCUUUAGGACCUUUUUUCAUAGGGGAUUCCAUACAUCAUCUUUGAAUCCUCCCGACAGGCCACAAAAAUGCAAAAGUCAUGCAGAAUUGACUUACUAACUCUCUCUGGAAUAACUUCUUUAAAUGUUUCCACGCUACCCCCUACGUAUGCUUGUUUUGGCUCUUUAACAUAGACGCCACCAUAAUGUACUUUCAAAGUAAAAUAGUCCACAUCUUGACCUGUUUUUUAUUAAAAAAAAAAAUAGAAAUCUUUUAUUAUUUCUCAGAUGCAGAACCUUGGCCCCAGUUAUGUCUGACUUUUCAUCAAUAUGAAAGCAACGCAUAGUAUACUUUAAAGGCACAGGGACCACAUCACAGUUCACAAACAAACAAAUUUACUUUAAUCGAGACCAAAUUUCACCACCUAAAUCAAAAGCAUACAUAUUCAAUUUCAAAAUUACCAACAUUUCAACAUCACAAAUCUCAGGAAAACAAAGUAAAAUUUUGAAAGUACCAUACCCAAACUAAAUGCUUUAUCUUACCCAUGUGGAAUCUAUAAGCACUUUAACAAAAAAUUUUAACAUCCCCUAACCUGUUCAUGCCUCGCCACUGAAGUACAAUACUGCAAAAUUAAACCCCCCCUCCCUCAAGUCCUUCCAUUAUACAUUAUAUCACCAUUCCAACAUACUAGUGGGUAGUGGCACUCAACUCAAGCACCUCAUGCAUACGGUUGAUGAAGGUUAGGUUUGAAGUUAGCCGACUUACCUGAUCUUGUUGAUGACUCCACUUGAUCGUUGCAAUCCUUGACAGAAUCGCCAUCGUCCAUUGCCUGAGCUCGUGGCGUAGAGAUUUCGAUUCUGCCCUCCAUCGUCUGUUCACCCAGGCCUGAUGACUCCACUUGAUCGUUGCCAUCCUUUACAGAAUCACCAUCGUCCAUUGCCUGGCGUAGACAUUUCGAUUCUGGCCUCCAGCCUCUGUUCACCGCUCGCCCUAGUUGUUCUCCCAAUUUUCCCCAUUUGAGUUCUAUUUCCGACGAUAAUCGCAUGGGCGGGAUAAUGAUGUCUAAUCCGUUUCGGUGGAUAAUUGCAGGAGAUUAAGCCAGUGUAACAAUUAUACCUCUUUGGUCCAUGCGAAUUGAGUAAAAUGUAGUAAAAAGUCCUACAUUGAAAAUAAAAAACUAGUUCAGGGACUAAAUUGGUUAAAAUUUUUAAUGAAGGACGAAAUUGAUUUAAGUGAAAAUGUUUAGGGAUUUUCUUUUGUUUUUUCUUUGGGAUAAUUUGAGAAACCUCCCCUAAGUUUUCUGAUAAUUUCACUAGCCUUCCCUGAAAUUUGUAAAAUUACACAAACCUUUCUUAAUUUUAAGGUUUUGAUAACAAAAUUAGUUCAUUUAAAAAAAGUAACAUUAAAAAAGUAUUUUAAGGGGAGAGAUGAACCUUUUAUUCUAUAAAUACUCCUUAUGUAUGUAUAUAAGUUGCAUUAGUAAAAUAAUAAAAAUAAUUAAAAGUUAGAAACAAUCAAUACACAUAUUUUACUACUAAAAAAGUUCACAUUUAAUAAAUUAGACAACACAAAUAAGCAAUAAAACUAUACUAAUGAUCACAAAUAAAAGGAGGACUUUGGUAGAAAAGAAAAAUACAGGACAAAAGAAGGUUGUUUAUGAUAAUAUUUUCUUUGAAACUCUUAAAGUUGUGACAAUUGUAAAGUAAUUUCACAUAAAUAAAGGAGAAAGGAGGGAAAAAAAGUAAAUUUUGAAAAUUUUUCUAUUUAAAAUCACAAGAAUCAUGGUAAAUAUCAUUUUAAAAAAGAUAACUAGUGUAUUAUAAUUAAGAAAUUAAGGGAGCCAAAUCCUUAUCCUUUAUGGUGAUCAAACUAGGAAAAUGCACAUGCAUUGCACAUGUAUAGUGUGUAAUUUAUCAUAAAUUGCUUUUCCAAUUAGGUAAAUCACUUAAUGAUUGAUUUAAUUUCUUCUCUUUUCUUUAGUUAUCUCCUAUCUUAGUCGAUCUUGGAUCUGUUCAUGUCCUUUUUUUAGGUUUAUUUAUAGUAUAGUUUAGUAGUAGAUAAAAUGAGUUAUUUUUAAAGCAAUAAAAACCCAUUGCAUUUGAUGAGAAUGUGAUAAAGGUGAUGAACUGAUAAACAGUUCACCAUCCACACGAGAAAGAAAGAGUUUGAACCCUUUUUUUUUUUUUUUGUAAAUGAUUCAAACUAUUAUUCGGGAGAUGGGACUUCUUUCCACCUUAUUUGUUUCCACAUCUUAUUUUUCCUUCUUUCAUUUAGUUGAUAUUGACAAUUACUCAAUAAUGCAUAUUCAAAUACUCAAAAAAUCUAAUAAAAUUGAAGGUACCAUGCACACAAUGGGCUUGUUUAGAUAUGGAUUAUUUGUAAAAAAUUUUAAUUGCAUUAUAAAUAUGUUUUUAAGCACAUUUUUAUCUCUUGAACUAUCUUUUUUCUUACAUAUAUUACAUCACAAAAAGUAUUAUAUAUAGCAUUAAAAUAUAUGACAAUAUACAGGGUAGAGAUUUUGUAAUAAUAGAACUCUUAUUUGAAUAAAUAAAUAUUUUACUUUGACUCUAUAGAUGCACGCCCUCUACUUUUAAACUGAACACACUUUGAGAUUUGCUUCUAGCAUGCAACAGCAAAAGGAUAAUUUUGUUUAUUUUUCAUUCUUGUGACACGUAAUGUGAAGAACGUCUCAUGCAAAAUUGUUUUAUUCUAUUCUUGUAUGUUUAGGUACCUUGACAAAAUUAUUUUAUUCGUGCAUGUAAGUCUAUUCUUUGUAGCGAAUAUUCUCUCACCAAUUUUUGUGGCUUCACCUGUCUGUUAGUAAAGAAGAGAGAGAAGGGCCAAAUCAGAAGUCCAUUCUUUCACUAUUUCAACCAGGAGCGUCAAAUUUGGCUUCCAAAAAGCAUAGACGUAUUCCCUUUGACUAAAAUGAAUAAGAUAUUCAGGUUCCUGAUUCUCUCUCUCUCUCUCGCUUAUUUUUUCUGCUAAUCUUCUCGAACUAUGACAAUAUAAUUUGAUAAGAAUACUUUUCAGAGGAAGAAAAUAUCUAGUUGCAGGUCUCCUCUGCAAGACUGUAGUCAAACUCCUCUUUCACUCCGACAACGACGUCGGGGCACGGCUGUUUGUUUAUAAUUCAACAGGCAUUACCCUCCGAUGACAUUCAACGAAUUAAAUAUUUUUUGUCAAUAUAUAUAUAUAUAUAUAUAUAUAUAUAUAUAUAUAUAAAUUAUUAAAAUCCAACAGGCAUUAUCCUCCCACAAUUUCACUGAGUUGCCCCUGAACGUUAAAAAAUUACACAUACCUCCCUUUUCAUUUAAAAUAACAAUUUUAUCCUUAAAUAUUUUAAUAAAUUUUUUUUAUUUGGUAUGCUUAUACUUAGAAUGAGUUUUAAAAUUAUUUUUUCAUUCUUUCUAUAGAACUACCACUAUUGCAUCUGGGUUUCUAUUAUAAUCAAAUGUCGAACUAAUGAUUUUUUUGACGAGUUAAUUUUAUAUGUAAUCCAAUGUUUUUGCUGAUCUUUGUUUUUUUUUUUUUAGUAUUAAAAUUAACAAUAAAUAAAAAAGAAAUGGCCCAAAAGAACUACUAAAUUAUGAUAAUCCCACUACUCCAAAAAUUUAUAAAUUCUAAAUGAAUUAUUUCAACAUUUUCUUUUUUAUCUUAUAAAUCUAAAUUCAUAAUAAAAUACUGUAAAAGAUAUCAUAUCAUAGUAAUAAAAUUAUUAUUAUAGUCGUUUAUCAAACAGUAGAUAUAGACAUGAAAAAUUUGGCAUUUUUUCCUUAUAAUUAUACUAUAUAAUCUUAUAAUUGUAUAUGAAAAUAAAUUAAGACUCAUUUCACAAGGGCAUUUUUUGGGUAUUCAUUUAAAAAAUUGUCCAAAUUAAUAUUAUUUUAAGAUUUCGUUACUAAAACUAUCAAAUUAAAAAAGAUAAGUGUAAUUUUUCAAACCUUAGGAGAGUUCAGUGAAAUUGUUAGAAACGUCAGAAGAGGUUUUCAAAAUUAUCCCAAAGAACAAUUUGGCAAACUAAAAAAUUGGGUUAAUUCCACAUACCUCCCGUAAUUAUGAAGGUAAUUACUCAAUUAGGCUACAAGUGAGGAUACAAUGUCAUGUUCCGGACGAGCUUUGAGGGUCGCUAAGACACUGUAUUCUUAGUUGUCAUAGACACCCACACCACCUAAAUCCAAUCAUACUAACUCCAUAUGGUAGUGAUUUUAAAAUAAAUAAAAAAUUUAGUUUCCUCUAUACGUAGAUUAUUAUUGAAUUAGUUUUGUUGGUUAUGUAGGUAUCAACAUUUUUUGAGGGAACAGGUACAAAUUUACUAGAGAACUUUUAAAAUUUACUAGAGCACUGUAAGCAAAGCUACCGGACGUAUGAAGUAUGAGACCAUGCACGAGCAGUGCAAUUGCAAGUCAGUAAAAGGAUUAUUUCCUUAUAGCACCCUCUAACUUGUAUGGAAUCUUGAUUUUGCAUUUUAAGUUUCAAUUUUGAACAAAUUGCACCAAACCCUCAAAUCUUGCAUUCAUCCUGUUUGAGUAACACCUCAAGCAAAAUUACCUUACUCGAUUCCCCUUCAAUGUAUAUAUGGAAUUACAUAGAUGAACGAACCAAAAUAUACUCCAAAAGCAAUGCAUUUGUCAGGGACAAAAUAAAUAGGAAAAUAAUGCAGUAACAUAUGUUAAAGGAAAGCCGCUUGUGGAGAAAGUAUAGAUUGGAUUGAUUUUGAAAUAUUGUAAUUCGUUCAUCAGAAAUUCACCUAAACAUAUUCAAUGCUUCGAGCUAAGAAGCAACUAUAUUUAUGUGCAAAAGAUAAGAGAGUAACUAAUUUUGCCAUUGUCAUCGAAAGAAACGAAACAAUUAAAAUAAAAACAAAAGCUUAAAUAAGAGAUAUUGAGCUUUCCAAAAACAAAUUACUCCAUAGAUAAUUAAAAUUGAUAAAAGAACAAGAGGAUUGAUUGCACUAGUUGUGAGACAAAAUCAUGUACAGAUCAUGGUGUUUUCUUUCCGAGUUAAUGAUUGGAUUGGAAUGGGAUAGAUUCAACAAUUUAGAAGACGGUAAUCUGUCCAAAUUUAAAAUUUAGCCAGAAGGAACAAAAAAAACACAUUAAGGUUUUGAGUAUAAAUAUCCCUGAUCUUGUUUGGAAUAUGUGGUUGAAGAUCACGGGAACUUCCAAAAAAAAAAUUAAUAAAAAGAUCUGGAGUCCAAGGAUCAACAUAUAAGAACGAGACUUAACCAAGAUUCAACUGGCUAGCUCGAACAACAUCAUGGCAUAGAGCUUUCUUUAAUGCUUUCGAUUCCAAUUAACUCCGGCUUCAUCCCCUUUUUCCCCCAAUCUCUGGCUUGUUUGAUGGACUGAGCAUUUGAAGGUUUCAAUAGAGGAGGAAAAUAAUGUGAAAAGCAAGUAAAAAUGAAGUCUGAGCGUCCAAUAUCGCAGGUAAAAGGUUAGAAGAAUCAGUACUCCAAGAUGUUAUGGAGCUUGAUACAUGUAUACAACAUGUUGCCAAAAGUCACUGCAAGUCACUGCAGUGAGAUUUAAAAAAAUCGUUAUUACCAUAAAUAGUGGCAGAGCUUUCCUAAUAUCACAAGGUAUCUUCCUCGCACGUGGCUUCAAUCUGUAGCCGGCGUUGUACAAGAUAGACUUUUUCGUGGGCCUCUGUAGCCGCCGUGACCAAGCGCUAUUUAAGCAGCUCCAACUUCCAAGAUUCCUUCAUAGCAAACAACAUCAAUUGUAGCUAAUCUCCUCCUCCUUUCCCUACAUUUCCAUUACACGAACCAGCGACCAUGUUGUUUGCUUGUGCUAUUAUUGCUCUCAUUAUUGUGCUUUUCAGCCACUGGGUAUACAGGUGGAGAAACCCCAAGUGCAACGGGGUAUUACCGCCAGGCUCGAUGGGAUUACCAAUUAUAGGAGAAACAAUUGAGUAUUUCACCCCUUAUGCAUCGGAUGAUGUUCCACCAUUCGUACAAAAAAGAGCGGCUAGGUAUGUCUAACCCCUUUUUUUUUUUUUCGUCUCCUAUUUUUCUUUUUACCCUUCUCAUUUUUAACUAUCCGAUACAGAAUUCGAAUCUUAAACUAGAUUGUGGAGAUAAUUCUAAUACCCUUUCCUAAUCAUUAGGCCAACCUCAAUACUCCACUGGUUAUCUAACCACUUCUAUCACAUAUAUAUAUUUUAAUAAUAUGACAGCAGUAAUAGUUAAGAAUAUUUUAUCUUAACUAGCUUUCCUUUGUUUCCUUUUUUUUCUCUUUGGGAAAUUUCAGGUACGGACCAAUUUUUCGCACGAGUAUAGUUGGGCAGCCAGUCGUUGUAUCAACUGAUGCUGACUUCAACUUCCGCGUCUUCCAGCAAGAAGGUAAUGCUUUCCAAAUUUGGUAUACUGAGAGUCUCUUCCAGAUAAUUGGGAAACAAAGUGUACUUGCCCAUCAUGGAGGCUUCCACAAGUACCUCAAGAGCUUAACGUUCAAGCUUGUUAGCCCCGAAGCCUUAAGAGAGAAGCUAAUAUAUGAAAUGGAUGCCAGCACUCAAGAAUCUCUAAGUUCUUGGAGUAAACUUGGAAAAUUAGAUGCUAAAGAUGGAACAUCAGAGGUAAAUUAAUCAGCAUCCUACUAUUUGAUUAUAUUAAUCAGGAUGAAUUCGGACUGUACGUACAGAGCAUUGCAUGAAAAGUAGUAAUGAACAAUCUCAUUUUCUCCAGUUGGUAUUUAAAUAUGCUGCCAAGAAGAUGCUUGGCUAUGAAGAAAGCAAGGAUCAGCAAAAAUUGAGAGACAGUUAUAAGGCAUUCAUGGAUGGCUUGAUCUCAUUUCCUCUCAACAUCCCUGGAACACCGUUCCAUGCUUGCUUACAAGUAAUCAAUUGUUAUUGUUGUUGUUCGUCAUUUGGAAUUCUUUUUAUAUUGAAAGAUCGAUGUUCACUAUACCUACAAGAAAAAAACAUAUUCAUUAUAAAUAUAUGACUAAGUAAAAUAUAUAUGCUUUCAUAAGUGCCGUAUCAGAUUGAACGAACUAUAUGGUUUUCAUUUUCCAGGGACGUAAGAAAGCAAUGAAGGUCAUCCACGACAUCUUUGAGAAGAAGCGCUCGGGCAAUGACACUUCGAAAGACUUCGUGGACCAUUUACUUGAGCAAAUAGAGAAAGAAGACACUAUUUUGAAUGAAGAAAUUGCGAGGGACCUGGUAUUUUUGUUUCUAUUUGCUGCCCAUGAAACGACUUCAACAGCUUUGACUGUGGCCUUGAGGUAUCUAGAUGGCCAUCCACGUGUUAUGGCUGAA
This 102949-nucleotide long non-coding RNA is filed under the name Coffea arabica (coffee). RNAcentral describes it as "long non-coding RNA (CARA_LNC001190)". Lineage: Eukaryota; Viridiplantae; Streptophyta; Magnoliopsida; Gentianales; Rubiaceae. The record is from RNAcentral.